Molecule: long non-coding RNA, 101496 nt
Filed under: Citrus maxima (pomelo)
Lineage: Eukaryota; Viridiplantae; Streptophyta; Magnoliopsida; Sapindales; Rutaceae
Description: long non-coding RNA (CMAX_LNC000711)
Source: RNAcentral
UUCAAUAUUCCAUACAUCAAACCAAUUGCAGUUUUGAUAUCAAAUUCAAUUUUAUUGUUGGUGACGAUUCUGAUUCCUUUCAUUCUCACAAAACGGAACCAUGGUUGCUGUUGGAGAGAUCUUACUCAACGCCUUCCUUGAGGUGUUGUUUGACAGGUUGGCUUCUCGUAAUUUGCUCCGCUUUGUGCGUCAACUCCAAGGCGGGGUUGAUUCGGAGCUCAAGAAGUGGGAGAAAAAGCUGAAGAUGAUUCAGGCUGUGCUCUGCGAUGCAGAGGAGAAACAACUGACCGAUGAGGCUGUGAAGAUGUGGCUGGACGAACUCCAAGACUUAGCUUAUGACGCUGAGGACAUUCUUGAUGAGUUUGCUACUCAAGCUUUGGAAAGCAAGUUGAUGGCGCAAAACCAGGAUAGCUCUGGCCAGGUUCUCAGUCUCAUCCCGGCUAGUUUGAAUCCGAAUGCUAUUAUGUUCAAUUAUAGCAUGGGGUCCAAGAUUAAAGAUAUGACUAGCCGGCUGGAGCAACUCUGCCAAGAAAGAAUUGAACUUGGACUGCAACGGCUUACUGGAGGGGCGUCAUCAACCGCUGCUGCUGCACACCGGAGGCCACCCAGUUCGAGUGUCCGAACAGAACGUGAAGUAUUUGGAAGAGAAGAAGAUAAGGCCAAAAUUCUUGAUAUGGUCAAUACCCCAAGUGAUCACGCCAACUUUGUUGUAAUACCUAUUGUUGGAAUGGGCGGGAUAGGAAAAACAACUCUUGCUCGGGAGGUCUACAAUGACAAGGCAGUUGAGGAUUCCAAGUUUGACGUAAAAGCAUGGGUUUGUGUCUCCGACAACUUUGAUGUUUUCAACAUUUCAAAGGCACUUCUCGAGUCAAUCACCUCCGCAGCUAGUGAUCUCAAGACUUUAAAUGAAGUGCAGGUUCAACUGAAAAAAGCAGUGGACGGAAAAAGAUUCUUGCUGGUCUUAGAUGAUGUUUGGAACGAGGACUACAGCUUGUGGGUAGACUUAAAAGCUCCGUUCCUGGGUGCUGCACCAAACAGUAAGAUGAUCGUCACCACACGCAAUUUAAACGUUGCAUCAACAAUGGGACCAAUUGAACAUUAUAAUCUCAAGAGUCUGUUAGAUGAUGAUUGCUGGUCCAUUUUCAUACAGCAUGCAUUUGAAGGUAGAGAUCUUAACGCAUAUCAAAUUUCAGAAUCAUUCAGCAAGAAAGUUGUUGGCAAGUGUGGGGGCUUGCCUCUGGCAGCAAAAACGCUCGGGGGCCUUCUGCGCACAACAAGGCAUGAUGCGUGGGACGAUAUAUUGGAUAGCAAAAUAUGGGAUUUACAUCAACAAAGCAGCAUUCUCCCUGUGUUAAGAUUGAGUUACCAUCAUCUUCCGUCUCAUUUGAAAAGAUGUUUUGCUUUUUGUGCCAUCUUUCCAAAAGAUUAUGAAUUCACUGAGAAGGGGCUAACUUUCUUGUGGAUGGCUGGAGGUAUUAUUCGACAGUCAAGAAACAGUGAGCAGCUGGAAGAUUUGGGCAGCAAGUGCUUUCAUGAUCUAGUGUCAAGGUCUAUUUUUCAACAAACCAGCUCUGGUAGUUCUAAAUUUGUAAUGCACGACCUUAUCCAUGAUUUUGCUGAAUUGGUUUCUGGAGAGACCAUUUUAAGGUUAGAGGAAUCCACCAACUUGUCGUCAAGGAGAUUUGAAAGAGUUCGCCAUUCUUCCUAUGCCCGUGGUUGGCUUGAUGGUAAAAAUAAGUUUGAGGUUUUCUAUGAAAUUGAACAUCUGCGAACAUUCUUGCCAUUCUGCAUAAGAGGUGGCCCUAAUACUAGUUACGUAACUAGUUUACUUCUAUAUGAUUUGUUGCCGAAGUUUAAAAAGUUGAGGAUGCUAUCUUUAGAAGGAUACCAGAUUGGUGAGUUACCAAUUCCAUUUGAAGAUUUGAGACCUUUAAGGUUCCUCAACCUUGCCGACACUGACAUAAGAAGUUUACCCGAGUCAACAUGCAAAUUGCUGAACUUGGAAAUUUUGAUAUUACGAAAUUGUUCCCGUUUGAUAAAGCUUCCGCCCAAAAUGAGGAAUUUGAUCAAUUUACGCCAUCUCGAUAUAAAAGGUGCAAAGCUGCUGAAGGAGAUGCCAUUGGGAAUGAAAGCGUUGAGGAGUCUUCAAACAUUGUCCAAUUUUAUUGUAGGCAAGGGUGAAUCUGCAUCUGGUUUGGAAGAUUUAAAAAGUUUAAACUUUCUUUGUGAUGAACUCUGCAUUGCUGGAUUAGAGAGUGUGAAUAGUCCACAGAAUGCAAGAGAAACCGCAUUAUGCGAGAAGCACAAUCUUGAAGCAUUGACUCUAGAAUGGGGGUCUCAAUCUAACAGUCCUCGGGAUGCAGUACUAGAGGAGAAUGUACUUGACACUCUACAGCCUCAUAAACGUAUAAAAGAGCUGGCAAUCAGGCACUAUGGUGGUGCAAGAUUUCCACUUUGGAUCGGACAUCCUUCGUUCUCCGAGAUGAAGGUCCUUAAAUUGGAGAACUGUGACAAGUGUGUAUCUCUGCCAUCGCUUGGCCUGAUGAAUUCACUUAAGCACCUUGCUGUUAAAGGGCUGAAGAAACUAAAAAGCAUAGAGUCUGCGGUCUUUCCAUCAUUGGAGAUUCUAAGUUUUGAGAAUUUGCCAGAAUGGGAGCAUUGGGACACCAAUAUCAAUGGAAAUGUGCACGUUGAAAUAUUUCCUCAUCUCCAAGAACUUUCCAUUGCAGAAUGUCCCAAACUCUCUGGAGAACUGCCUGAGCUCCUGCCCUCCUUGGAGACACUUGUCGUUAGUAAAUGUGAACAGUUGGCAGUUCCAUUGUCUUGCUAUCCGAUGCUCUGCAGAUUAGAAGUUGAUGAGUGCAAAGAACUCGUGUGCGGGACUCCAAUUAAUUUUAAGUUGGUAAAGUCUUUGACCAUUUCAAAUAGUUCAUUAGACAUGAAUGGAUGCAAUGGGAUGCUAUACCAUGGUCCAGCUGGCUCUUCACUGUCUAAACGCAUGACUAUUACAAAUGUUUUGGAGUUUGGAAAAUUAUUGAAGCCUGGAUUUCAGAUAUUAGAAUAUUUGGUAAUUGGCAAUUCUGAACAGCUCAAGUCAUGGAGGCGGGCCAGGAGACCUAGACGUUUUAAUGAACCAGAACACGGGCUAAAAAUUCUCGCUUCCCCUGAAGAGGUAACAAUUGAAGAAAGUUGCGUAAAUCUUGUUUUGUUUGCAGAGAUCAAUUUCUUUCCCAGAAAUCUGCGCUCUCUUCUAAUUUUCAAUAACAUACCUUUAAAAUCCUUACCCGAGGAAAUGAUGGACAACAAUUCACAACUGGAAAGCUUGUGCAUCAGAAAUUGCGAUUCUCUAACAUUCAUCACAAGACACAAGCUACCUUCAUCUCUAAAAAGUAUAGCAAUUAAGAAUUGUGAGAAAUUGCAACGUCCGUUCGAUGAUGAAGAGGAUGCUUCUUCUUCUUCUUCUCCUUCAUCCUCGUCUUCCCCAGUGAUGCUGCAAUGCCUGACUAUAGAGAACUGCCCAGAGCUCACCAGUUUAUCAUCGGGAAUCCAAUUCCUUGAGGCGCUUGAAGUACUCGAGCUAAGGGAUUGUCGAAAGCUGGAGUCAUUACCGGAUGGCCUGCAAAAUCUUAACUGUUUACAGAGCAUUCAUAUAGAUGGAUGUCCAAGUCUUGUUUCCUUCCCAGAAAGAGGGCUUCCCAACACCAUUUCGAGAGUUUACAUUCGUGGUUGUGAGAAGCUUGAAGCCCUGCCCAACGACAUGCACAAACUCAACUCUCUCGAAACUUUAAACAUACGGAAAUGUCCAAAUCUUGUAUCGUUUCCAGAGGAAGGUUUUCCUACCAGUCUAGUAUCACUUACAAUUGGAUAUGUCAAAAUGUAUAAGACACUCGUCCAGUGGGGGUUGCAUAGGCUUACCUCUCUUACACACCUCGAGAUUAUUGGAUGUGAUGAUGAAGCAGAGUGUUUUCCAGACGAGGAGAUAGGAAUGAUGCUGCCCACCUCUCUCACUCAUCUGCAACUUUCGGAAUUCAAAAAAUUGAUAUCUCUCUCUUCGACGGGUUUUCAGAGCCUCAACUCUCUUCAAUCUUUGUGGAUAUUGGGUUGCCCAAAUCUCACAUCAUUCCCAGAGGUGGGCCUUCCAUCCUCACUUUUGGAAUUACACAUUGUCAAGUGUCCAAAGCUUAAAGAAGUUUGCAAAAGAGACCAAGGAGAAGAGUGGCCCAAAAUUGCUCACAUCCCUUGUUUUGAGAUAGACUGGAAAUUCAUAUACGAUCCAGAAUCAGAGGAGUAGAUUCUCCUAUUAAGGUCAGUUGAUUUUUUAUUAUCCGUUAUAACAAGCUCCUCCUUUUUUAUUUUUUUAAUAAUAAUUUAGCAGUUCUAUAUAAUUAUAAAUCCUCCGCCCUUAAUUGAAAAUGUCACUCAUUUGAUUCCAUUUUCACAAGUCAGAUCGUAUGUUGAGGUUAUUUGCAUUUUAUCGGUGUUUAUUAAGGUAAUUAGUGCGUUAUAGGUUGAUUACUCACAGAUUAAGUUAUAACAUUUAUCUUAAAAUUUAAUGUCAUAGACAGAGAUGAUUUUUUAAUCCAAAGUUUUCUUGAUUCACUUCAAUUAGCAUUUUCUUUUCCCCAGAUCAGGCACGCGGAGAGUUCCAAUCAAGAAUUGGAGCAUGUGAAUGGGAUUUUUGUGAAAACAUAAUGAUGCAGGAACUGGGAUCUCAAAGUCAACAGAAUUUUAUUUACUCAUUGACUUUUCAACUCCUGUGGUUAUUUAUGGGUGAAAGAAAGAUAAGGGCAAUUUCAAGAAAUUUGCAAACUCUGUCAAUUUCUUUUAAUUGUACCAAUUUGUCGUUUAUGCUUUGGUUUUAUUUUUUCAGUUUUGUUUAUUGCUUAGAUGGUAGCAUACUUGAAAUGAUACAUAGCCUUCACCGGCAGAAUUCUAGUCUUGGCUUUCACCUCUCUAACUCAUCUCAUCUGUUCCUAUUGGGAUUCCAGAAAUUGAAAUUUCUGUCAUCAAUGGGUUUCAAAGCCUCACCGCUCUCCGAUUUUUGUGGAUCGGGAAUUGCACAAAUCUCACAUCAUUUCCAGAGGUGGGCCUUCCAUCCUUGCUUUUUGGAAUUACAAAUUGGAAAAUGCUACUUUCCCCGGGUCAAAUCCCAGGUCAAACCCCGAAUUAAACCAAAACGACACCGUUUUGGUUUCUUUUUUUUGUCCUUUUUGCUUCCAUGAAACGUGGUCGUUUCAGCCAAACAAAAGCAAAUGUCUUCGUUUUUUACUUCCUCUCCUCUUCGAUUCUCCUCUUCGUUUUACCAACAGACCAACAGAGCACAAAUUGCAGAAGUCACUUGCACAUCAAUUCAUCACAAAAUGCAGAGUUUUACUAAAGAAAAAAACGAUGCCGUUUUUCUUGCCAAAUAUUUUCCAUUUCCUUCGUUCAUGGAGCUCCUGCCACCGCCAAAGCCAAAUAUUUCCCCUUUCAUUUCCUUCGUCAAUCAAGCUCCAGCCACUUGCUUCGUCGAUCGAGCUCUAGCCACAGCCAUUCGCAAAUCGCAGUCCACAAUCCGCGCCUGAAAUUGUCAUUCACAAUCCACAACUCACAACCAUGACUUCACACAGAGAACGACUCCCACAGCCUUCACGCGACAGCGAGAUCGAGCUCUUUAACAUUCGAAGAACAUAUCUGGUUGCGAAAGUUGAUUUUUAAUUUGCUUGCGAGCUGAGAUGCUUCGAAUUCUCUGUUUUUUUUUUUUUUUUGUAAAUUACUAAGCCAAAAGCUUUGCAUAAGCUUCUGCUUCGGUUUUGAAGAUUGUGAAGCUGGAAAUGUUUUUUCCCUUUUUAUAAAUGGAUAAUUGAAAGUUUGAACUUUACCUUCGUACUUUCUUUUUCAUAAAUUGCUCAUGGUGCAGUCUCAUUUUGCUAGUUGAAGAAACAGUUAAGGGGGUCUGUAGUUGGGAAGAAAGAGGAAACGAAAAUGAAAAGAAAAAGCUUAAGUCUCGGUGCGUUCAAGUAGCAUUUUUUCAAUUAAAAAAUUUAAUUCUCAAAACGGCGUCGUUUUCUAAAGUUUCGGGGUUUGACCCGGGAUUUGACCCGGGGUAAAUAGCAGAACUCUUACAAAUUUACAGUUGUCAGAAGCUUGAAAAAGUGUGUAAAAGAGAUCAAAAUUCUUGUCUUGGCUUUCACGUAGGGAUGGCAAAAAUCCCCACGGGGACGGGUACCCUCGGGGAUUUUCCCCAUUCGGGGAGGGUAUGGGGAUAAUUUCAUACCCAAUUUCUUAUUCGGGGAGGGGACGGGGAAAUUUUGUUACCCAAUUUCUUAUUCGGGGAGGGGACGGGGAUGAGGUGGAAUCCCCAUCCCCUACCCAUUUCCCCAUUUUAAUUUUUAAUUUUAUUUUAAUUUUUUAAAAUUACUAGUAAAUAAAUAAUAAAAUUUAAAUUAUAAAAUUAUAAAUAUUGGUAAAAAUAAAAAAUAUCAAAAUAUUUAUAUUAUUAAACUUUUAGGCUUAAUUAACUAAUUAAAGUCCUAAAUUUUUAUUUAGGACAUUAAAAAGACCGAGUAGAUUCUAUUAGCCCAAAAGUUUUUUAUUUUUAAUAUUCUUUAAAUAUUUUAAACUUAAAUCUAUUUUUUAUUUAUUUUUAGAUGUUAUAAUUGCCCACAUCGAAUCACAAUUUUAAUAUCUAAUCUAAUCUAAUCUAAUCUAAUAUUUACUCUUGAUUUGCUCCGAUUUAACUAUUGUGUUGUAAAGGGAAUAGUCCACAUUUAUAAAGUGCCCACGCCACCAUUAAAAAAGUUAAUUUUGAAUCUAAAUUCGAUUUUAUUUGUAACAAUUUUGUAUUAAACUAUUAAUUUGUUCAUGAUAGUUUGUAAAAGAAGUUUGUAUCCCUUGCAUGCUGUGUUACUUACUAAUUUAAUGUAUGUGACUUUUGUAAUGGAUAUUAAUGUAAGAUAUAUUUCAAAUUUUACUUUUAUUUGAAUUUUUUAUUUUAAUAUGAUUAACUCAAAAUCGAAAAAAAAAUAUUAGUUAUUCGGGGAUCGGGGACCCUCGGGGAUCCCCUGUUAUUAUUCGGGGAGGGGAUGGAGAUUCGCUCAAGUAAUUCUGACGGGAACGGGGAGGGGACGGGGACAUACGCAAAAUAUCGGGGAUGGGUACGGAGAGAUUGGUCCCCUCCCCUCCCCUCCCCAUUGCCAUCCCUACUUUCACGGAUAGUUUUUAUCACGUAACCACGUGAGGAAGCAUGUGCUGGAGCCUGAAUUCAGUUAGUUAAAGUUUGUUAACCACGUGUCAACAAACUGUAUAAUCUGGAAAAUAAGCUAGCUAUUGAAACAGGGUAUAAAGGCUGGUUUUUCAGGGACUAUCGAGAGCUGAUUCUAGAGUCUUGUAGAAAGAGGUUUGUGAGAGAGAAAGUGUCAUCUUGUUCUCUGUAAAAUCCGAUAUAGGGCUCUGUAACGAUCUCCAUUGUUGAAUCAAUAAAACUCAUCUAGAAGCUUCUCUCGUGGACGUAUUCUGAGCAAUCAAUGCACAGCUGAACCACGUAAUAUCUUGGUUUCUGUGGGUUCUUGUUUUGGUUCUUGAUAAAUUCUUGUUGUUGUAUUGAGGUGUGAUUUGAUCUGUCUAAACUUGUAUCUGUGCAACUUGAAUUGAUUUGAUGAUAAGAAUCUUGGGCAGUGAUCAGAUUCGUUUAGUUUAAAGAACAAGCUGAUUACUACCGUACCUAUGCAUGGACCUGCAACCUGUGCUGACAAAACUGAAACUGUGAGUUUGAGGUAAAAAGGUCCUGGACCCUCACAGUUUAACUUUGACUUGUUGCUUUCUGGAUAAACAUAUUUUAGAAAUUUGCAAUUUGUUGUUAAUUAUGGUAUGUGAUUUUCUUCUUUGUUUUCGCUUUUGUAGAAUCUACCGUAUUACAUAUUGGCAGUUGUAUCUGAGGUACCUUUUUUGCAUUUAACUUGCCUUUAUCUGUUUUGCCUGUUACUUAACAACACAAACACAUCAUUUCCCAAACAUUUGGAGAAGCAUCUCAAGAUGCUUAACAAACUUGACAAACUUCAAGAUGCUCCCAAGCCUUGAUUCUUCACAAUGGAAGACCUGUGAGUACACUUAUGCCCGCAAUUAUUGUGAAGUGAUUGCAACUUUGAUGCAGCGAAAUGGUUUGCUGAUGCAAAGCUUUAAAACUGUUAAGAAUUACCCUGCAGGCUUGUUGGAUGUUGUAUACUCCAAAAGCCACCAACACCAAGAACUAUAACAGCAAGACUAGGUUUGCAUUAAUUCAAUUAGCUGAAAUAAUGAUGCAAAUGGCACUAUCCAGCUCGACUUAGAGACUAGUCAGGUCAAUCAUCCAUUUCAUCAACAGUUAAUGUCAGGAUGGUGGCUAGCAGAGGAAACAAAGGAUAUGUUGGAAUCAAUAAGAACAGUGAGAAGCAUGAGAGGAGCUUUGAUUAUAAGUAGGCUCAAUGAACUAGUGUUGGUAAGUGGUAAUUAGAGCAAUUUGUGAGCUUAGUAGAGUUUCAAUAUUUUCUGUUUGGGAUAUAGUUGAUAAGUUGAUACUCUGAUUAAGAAGGCUGAUUAUAGUAGCUGACUAUAUUAACCGGGUUCUCUUUUUUGGUUUGCUGUUGUUUUUUCUUUCAAUAUCUUUUUCAACAUUAGGUUUAGCUGUUGAAGAACAAGCUUGGGUUUGAUUAUCAGGUAAGAACAAAUGAAUGCUUUAACCAUGUUUCUCACUUAUCACAAUGCACGGAUUGAAGGCGUCUGAGUUGAUCCUGAAAAUUUGAUGGAAACACUUCUCUGUUUUCAUAAAACAGGACAACCAGAAAUAUCUGAUCAUGCCUGAGAAUUCGUCGCAUUGAAAUUUUCUACCAUUGCCAAACAUAGAAUAAACCAGGGAUACAUUAGCUUAAGACUCAAUUUUGAGAAGGAAGUUUGUACUUGCAGACUAUAAAAUCAUGUCUACCUUGUAUGUUUCUGUGGGGAAUGAAAGAUUCUGUGUGUUCUUUUACUUCGGGUUUGCUGAAAUCACAUUUGUUUUCUCAGAUGCUUUCCGGAAGGUAACAACGUCAAUUUCAAAAAUGUUGGGGUAAGAUGCAUCAUGCAGUGCUGCUCAACAUGAGAAUUCCUGGCCGCAUUACCCGUAUGUGGAAUGAUCUCACACUACAACCUUGAGAAGGUUGUAAGGAGUACACAACUAGAUGCGAGUAGUUUCAAAAUGAAUUCACAUGGAAUUAUAUGUUGCCGCUUAUUACUAUCACGUCUAUCCGAAAAUUCUUGGAAUUUGUCACCGGCAUUGAAGGAUUGUAUACGUGAAGACAUAGCUGAUGGCCUUGCGAAAGCUCCAUCAGCACUUAUAUCGGAAACAGCUGGUUGUAGUUGCUCCUGAGUGAUAUGAUUAAUAGAUACUGUAAAAAUGAACUGUGCCACUCAUAUCGAAAACCAGCUGUUAUGAUGUGUUGGUAAUGUGUUUGAUGCUUGUUUGAUUUAUGUUGUAUUCGGCUAUAAAUCAAAGAUCAGAACAUGGGUGUGUUACUGGUUUCCAAAUCAAAAAAUGCCUUGUGAUGUUAGUGUUCACUGUUUUCACAGGAGACCAGGUUCCUUGUUAAUGAGUCAAGAAGAAGACAAGUGAAUCCAUGUCUGAGUUCAAAUGUGUCUUUUCUAUUUCUUUUACCGACACAUUUAUUUUGAUUUCUUUGACUAGAUGACUAAAGAGUAAAGAUAGAAGAAAUCAAAACAAAUGAGUCAGGUCCCACCUGGCCCAUUGGCCCAUCUCUCUUCCAGCCCAAAUCACUCUCAUUCGCUAUUUUGCCACCUUCAUUUCACUGCCCUCAUAGCUCCCCGUUCUCACGGUGGCUGCCAUCUUUCUGCUCACGCAUCUUUCAAAUUUCAAACCUAACAGCAUUCUGUUGCUCUGUCGUGGGUACUUCAACUUCUGUCACCUUCGGUAAGCUUAUCUCUGCCCCUCUGUGGCUGUCUCUCUCUUUACAAUGUUGUUUCUUAUUCAAUUUACAGAAUUGAAUUCACUGUUCAGUUUAUGGGUUAGAUUUUUAUUCAAAAUAAUAUUAAACCCACCUCAGAUUUUAUCCCGUAGUAUGUAAAGUUCAUGUAAAGUUUCCACCUUUACGACCGUCCGAUGUUUAAAGUUCUAAUUUUGUUCCGGGGUUUUAUCAGUGUAUUUAGAAAUUAUGUCCAUUGUUUUUAUGAAAAUGGAACUAUUUUCAUUUGUUUAUUUCUCUAUGGAUGAGAAAACCGGUCUUUAAGCUUUAUAAUCUUUAUUUGAUUAUUAGAUUUCUCUUUUGUUAUUCAGAUGAGUUCAGUUUUCCAAUUCUGUGCAAUUGUUUUGUUGCAUUUUUCAAUUUUAUCUUUUUCCAAUGCGACGUUUAUGUUUGUAUUUUCUUAAAAGUGGACAUGAAUUUUGAUUUGUUGUUGCUUUGUUGUGAUUGAGUAGCCAAUUUUAAGUCCAUAUUAAACUUUCUCAAUUAUUAGUUGAAUUAUUUGGAUUUGAAAUUUUAAGUUCUUAAAACCGCCAUUUUAACUUGUUUGUUAAUGGCUCUGUUGAGCUUCAACAUUUGUUUUCAAGAACAAAAUUGAUGGAACUAUAAACCUUCGUUUCUCACAUGCGGGCAACAUGUUAUGUUAGACAGAGUGAAAUCGACAGAAGAAACCAAAACAUUGGAAACAGAGACACAGAGAGAGAUCAGCAGAAAUGGCUUGGUGCAGAGUACGCUCAGCUUCAUCGACACUCUUCAUUAGGCUUCUCUGCCCUUUCAUUCUCAACAAUAACACUACUUAACGCUAUCAGUCCUGUGGUACUCUUGUUUCUAUACUUGUGGAAUCUCUUUUUUAAUCCUCAAAGUUUGAAUUAAAUUAUAUUGCCUCUGUAUUUCUGCAGAAACGGAAUCAGUUGGUGAUGACAUUAAUUCUCAAGUUGGAAGUUGCAUGCCACUUUCUUGUAUGCAUGUUGGGACCAUCAUCAACAACAUUGAGGUAAACUCAGCCAAGAUUUUGAAAAAGAAUCCACUUCAAGGUACUGCUUAGUUUCUGGAAAUGAGAAAUUGAUUGACACUAGACGUCAACCCACCAUUGAUACAGCGUCUAACCCCAGCCAUGAAGCUAAGAUGCUUAGGAAGGCUGGUCAGAGCCAUUGGUUGGGCCAAAGACCUGUGAUUAGAGGAGUACCCAUGAAUCCAGUUGAUCAUCCUCGUGGUCGAGGUGAGGGACAAGGCAAAAGUAGUGGUAAGCAUGGAAGGUGUUCACUUACACCUUGGGGCAAGCCUUGUAAGUGGUGUAAAACUGCAUCUCGUAAGAAGAAAAGGAAAUUUAGCCGUCUGAUAAUAUUGUCCUUCUGUGCUAUUUAGCCUUUUUAAUAUUGUUACAUUGUUUGUUAUAUCUUUGAUGUUAGUUUUGGACCAGCUUUUAACUGAUCCAUAAUGAAACUGAAGUUUAAUUUUCGAUUGAACUUUUACUGGUUUUACUCCUGUCAUUUCAAUUUAGCUUUGAUUUAAGAUGCUGAAUUCUGUGAUUGGAGUAUGUAGAUUGGAAAGAGAGAUAUUAUGGGAUAGAAUAUAGAUUUUGUGUUUUGGUUUCUCAUGUUUAGAGAUAUUCUGUUCUUUUUCAUUUAUUCAAUUUGGUUAGUGGUGAUCUCUUAAAGAGUUAAUGCAUGUGUGUUUAUGUACUUUUCUUUUGGCCUUGAUUCUAUUUCUUGGGGAGUUUAUACAGAUUCCUCUUUUAUGCUUCACAUGCCACAUGCCACAUGAAAGAUGAAAGCCUUUUGUGUGAUUAGAAUUGACUUGCAUCAUAGUAACUUUGAACCACUGUAACAUUUUUAUAAUAGCAGUCUGCGAUCUCCUUGAAGGAUUCAAAGCAUUUUUUUUGUUAGUCUUGGCUUGCAUUAAAAUCCUUUAUACCGAUUGGUUGGUCUCCUUUAAAGCAAUUCCUGUUUUAAGUAAUCAAAAUCUUGAUUCGGAAGUGUGUUUUAGCACUACUAAAGGUUCUUUUAAAUACUAAAUUGAUUGUGAGUCUUCUAUAUCAUCUGAUUGAAAUACAUGAAAGCGAUAUUGGCUACAAAAGUACACUUGGGGUUGUUUAUAAAGUCUUCAACAGGAUUUUUUUUUCCCCUUCCUCAUGGUUUAUUUUUUAGUUGUUGUUUAACAAAACACUUAAAAGGUUCUCUUUAUAGGUUUCUGAAAAUAAUUUUAACAUAACCAUUUUUCAGAAGCACUUUAGAUACCUGUGGCAUUUAGAAAAUUUUGUUCCAGCAUUCACAUAAUAUACAUAGAAAUUUGAAUUUAUUUAAUUAUGAGCAUGUGCUAGUGCCUAUUGGCAUCCACUUGUAUAUACAAAUGUAUUAUACAAUACAAUAUUAGCUUGACUGUAGCAUAGAGGAGAAUAGGGUCGGAAUUGGUCUGAAUUCUGAUCUUUGAAUAAAUAUAAUAGCUGAUUGAAGCUGCUCAUGUGACUCCAUUGUCAGCAGCUUACACAAGGUCUUUUAGCUUUUUAAAAAGUUUUGUGAUAUUUCAUAGUUCACAUGGAUUGCUACAGUAUAGAAUACCCAAUUAGGGCAUUUUUAAUUCCUAUGCAUAGGAGUCUUCCUUCAUGCGCACGCGCGUACACACAUAUAUUUCCCACUUCCGUUCACUCCAAAAGUGAAAAUUGCGGGCAAUUUUUAUCUUCAGUAAAAUUGGAGUAGAUGUUGUUCUUAUUGGCGCAAAUUUGCGUACCAUGUUUGUGGGACCCUUAACCUUGCGCCUUUGUUACAAUCAUAUGCAUUCAGGCUUUUGGUAGACCCUUGGAUAGUAUGAUCAGUGUAUUAGAAUUUAGAAUUCGUGUUUAUAAGGGUCAGUUUGGUAAUGUUAUAAUUUUUAAAAUAAUUACUGUUAGCUAUACUAUAGAAAUAAUCAGUUGUGAAUAAAAUCAGUUAAACAGUUGAUAAAUUUUGUUUUUAAGGUGUUGUGAGUUUUAAACAAUUUGUAUGUAUUUAGUAAAUCUCGCUUUUAAAGUAUUAUAAGAAUGCAAAGACUUAAAUAGAUAGAAAUCUAUAAAAUUUAUUUACAUGUGCAUUUAUACAAUAAUAUUUUAUGCAUGUAUAUAAUAAUUAAUAACAGAAAUAAAUAUUUUUAUUUUAUUAAUUAUAUAUUUUUCUUAUUAUCUCAAUAUAAUUGGUAAUAAUAAUCUUUUUAAUAGUACAUUUAUUAAUCAGUAAUCGAAAUGGGCUGGAAUCGGAAUGGGGAAUGAAAAUCAUAAUAAUUUGUUUACUUUAGCUGUAGGAAUCAAAAUCACAUGGAGCUAUAUUAUCAUUAAUAUAUUUAUUUUGUCUUGGAAUCGAAAUAGAUUGUUACAAAUUACUAAACUGAUUUUAUUAUUAUCAAUAUUAUUAUUAAACAAGGUAAAGGGAAUUUUUAAUUUUCACUAGGUGUAGAAAUGUCGAUUCACUUCUCAUUCUCAUUCUCUGUUCUCAUUCCCCCUCCUCAUAGGAUUACCAUUUCACAUUCUCAAAAAUUUAUAAUUGACUCACAUUUCAUUCUCAUUCCUCCUUAUUUUGGAAGUAAAUAAGUUAAAGAAUCAUAUUCCUUUAUUCUUGUUUUUCAUUCACAUUCCUUCUCCUUAUUUUGGAAGUAAAUAACUUAAAGAAUCAUAUUCCCUUAUUCUUGUUCUCGUUCUCGUUCUCAUUCUCAAUUAGUAAGCACACUACAAAUGCAAUGAUUUUGUUUCCUAAUUAAACAAGGAUAAUUUUUAGAUUUUUAUAAUAUAUGUUAAGAUAUAUGUAGAAUUGUAUUAAAUAUGAAACUGACUCCCAAAAUCAUAUUUUAAAAAACUAUUUUUUUCUUAUUUUUUGAAAUUUAUUGUAGGCUAGGGUGAUUUUAUCAAAGUAAUUUUUUUAAAAAUUUUCGGACCCAUUUGGGAUUGUUUUUGGAAGACUCAAAAAGGAUUUUGAAUAGCUAAAAUCUAAGUUUGGUGUUUUAUAAUUUUUUUUUAAAAAAAUUACUUCUGAUAAAAUUAUCUUAUCCACGUUAAAUUUUAAAAAGAAAGGAAAAAGUAAUUUUUUAAAAUCUGAUUUUAAGAAUCAUUUUUAUACUUAAUACAAUUUCAUAAAUAUCCUGAUAUAUAUCAUAAAAAUUCAAAAUUAUCUUUAUUAGUUAGGAAAUAAAAUCAAUAAUUUUAAAAAGAUUAUUAUUAUUUCUAAUUAUAUUGAGCUAACAAAAAGAAAUAAAAUUACUAAUAUAAAAUUUAUUUUAACUAUUAAUUAUUAUAUUUACCAAUAAAAAACAUUUUAUAUACACGUUUAUAAAUAUUUAAAUAAAAUUUAUUCAUGUCGAGUUCAACCAUUUAUAUUAUUACAGCAAUUUAACAACUGGUUGUCGUUGCUCGGGAAUUAUAGAAUUACCAUAUGUUGUAAAAAUGCACUAAGCCAUGCCAUGUGUUUGAUACAGGUUAUGCUUGUUCGAUUAAAUUGUACUCACCUAUAAAUCAAAGAUUCAGUACAUGUGCAUGUUAGUGGUCUUCAGAAUCCAGAAUAAUAAAUGCCUUGAAAUGCUUGAGUUCAAUGAUUUCGCAGAAGACCAAGUUCCUUGUUAAUGAGUCAGCAUGACUGAAUCCUUCACUAAGCCAAAUUUGUUUUCACUUUUAGUUUAGAAAUUGUCAUUAAUUAAGAAAGUGUUUGAUAAAAUGCUUUGGAAGGCACUGUUCGUUGGACGUUUGCCCAGAAUUUAUGAAAUCAUUGGUGUUUCAUCCUACUUGUAACACUCUUCUUUAUUUUCUAUUCUAACGAAGAAAUCUUUUAUUAGAAAAGUGACAAGAUUGCACCUUUCAUUUGUAUGUUAAGGAGGUGUAAAAUUUUCUCGUUAAAAUCCCAUCAUGAAAAAAACUCACGGGCAAAAACCUACUGCAAAUUAAAGAAAGAAGAGUAAAUCAUGAUAAAUACACUCUCUUUUACAAUGCAAGCGGAUGCUUCAAUGAGUGGAUCAUGCGCCAAACUUGUAUAUCGUUGUUGGUAGUGCUUUGUUGAAUCAAUAUGAUAGAUUUUCACUUUUCUUUUUUUUCUUUUCUUUUUUUUUUCCUUGUGGAUACGAAAAUGAUUUGGGUUAAACUAUACUUAAUGCCGGUUUGGUACGACUUCUCUACUAAUUAAAAGAGUUUUUUUUCUUAAAUGUUCAAAAAGAUUUUUUAUUAUAAAUUGUAAUUUGAGUGGAUUUCUUGGGAUUAAACAAGUUACAUUUUUGUCUCUAUAAAGAAGUUCAAGUUAUAGAUUUUGGCAAUAGAGAUGUAGAGGUUUUUUUUUUUUCAGAGAACUAAAUUGUGGAGACUAUCUUUAUUUGGUUAUACAACUUUUUUUUUUUUAAUUUCAUAACAUAAUUUUAAAAGACUUAUUUAAUAAAUUUGAUAUUUUUUUGUAAAAAUUAUCAUUCACGUCCAAACUACUGAAGAUUUUUUUGUUAAACGCACUACUUAAAAGUUAUAUUAAUUAUAAACUUUCUAAAAAAAAAAAACAAUUCAAAGAGUUAUAGCAAACAAAGUGCUAGUUAACUUCAGUCGAUAAUAAUCUUCUAAUCCGUCCUACAAAUGACUUUCGACAAGAGUGGUGCUACUCACAUCUCUUCAAAACCCAUUUGACACCCCGUUUUCUUUAUUUAAAAUUUUAUACAUUUGAAAAUUAUUUUUUCUUUUACUUGACACUCUUCAAAUUCUAAAACUAAGCUUCAAAGAACCUUCGUCAUUAAAUCUCAUUGCCUUCCUUUAUUCUUGUUACUUGAGAAGAAGAAUGAGAGUCUGGAAGAAUGAAAGAAAAUUCAGCGAGAUAGAAAUCUAGUAAUUUCAUACCAUGAUUCAGAAUUUUUUUUUUCUCAAAAGAAUCUACUAUUCUUCUAUAUUUUAUAUAAAAAAAAGAGGAAAAGAGGAAACUGAGAGACUCUUUGUUUAAUGCUUGAAAGUUAGAAAGAAAAGGUCAGGAAGCUGCCUGGUAAUGAGAGUGAUGCAUCAGCACUAAUUUCUAUCUCGAUAGCUACCAAUUACCACCCCUAGAAAGGCUGUUGAUCAACAAGCCAUAUCUACUGGUUUCCUUUCUUUAAAAGUUCUAAUGGUCCCCUUAAAAAUCUCUAUAUGCUCAGUCUUCUCAUGAUAUAUCUGAUUUUCGCUGAGAAUUAUAGCAAGCGCUUCAGAUAUCAUAAUACUUUGUGACUGACUACUGUGCAUGCUUAAUUAUAAGAUUAUUCCUUGUGGCCAAAUAAAAUGACCCCCUUUAGAGCCUCUGUAUUUGAAAAAGCAAGACAAUGAGCUUAAUUAUUGUCAAGGUCUCCAGUAGGAUACUCCUAAAUCCAUAUACCCACCCACCAGAACUCCAAUCUUGAAACUUAUAGAUCAAACCAUAACUUAAUGUGCCUGGCAACCAGGGAUAUGUCAGGCCUUUAAAAAACCACUACAUACAUUUGAGUCUGAAAUUGCUCCAAUUAGUAUUAUGAUUAUUAUUUUAAAAAACUCAACCUAAGCAAAGUGCCUCAGCAUACAAUAUUUAUUGACAACUAAAAAGUAAUAGUGGGUGGGGGUUGCCCUGGGUUUUGUUUAAAAAUUGAAGUAAAAAAUUUUCAAAUUUCAAAUUUCUAGUACAAAGAAAAUUGAUGACUAAAUUAAAUUCUGCAAAUUAAUUUCUAAUAUUACAUGAAAAUAUAUCAAGUUAAUUGGUAACAUUGUUAAUCACUUAAUCCUCAAUCUAAUACGUUAUGUAUUUGUUACUCUGUCUUAAAUCAAAAGUGGCGGUGAUUUAUUUUUAUUUUCACUAAUAAGAAAGGCAUGUUAGAGCUUUUAUUUUGUUGAAAAUGAACCAAAAAACUCCGAUUGGGAGAUUAUAAAUGUAUUUAACAAUAAUUUAACUUCCAUUUUGAAAGUCAUUAUAUUGUUUAUUCAGGAGAAGCGUUCUUUUAUAUUUUAUAGAUAUAAUGUUUGCUAAUCCUAAUUUAAGCUAAAGCAUAUGCAUUUCCUAAUUAAUUCUAAUUUAAGCUUAUUCAACUGCAUUCAAUUAAUGUUCGAUAAUACAAAUUCUAAAUACUAUAUACUCUAAGAAUUUUAAUCGUAAUGACAAGGUGAUCAUUUAAUUAUUACCGUUAAAUUAUAUAUGUAUGGUGGAGACGAGUCCACACGGUUUUGACGAGAAAUUAAAGACAAUAUUUAGUUAAGCUAGUAGUAUUUGUUCUGUUUAGUACGUCGUUUUACCAGCAAGCAUCCCGGCAAUGCACGCAUUAAUAAAAAAAUUUAUCUGUUUGGACUGAUUGGUAGUGAAAAAUUCCACAUACUUUAAAUUAAGAAAAUGCUAAGUAUCUUAAAGAAAACAAUUAAAAUAUUGUCACUUGAUGCUUGAAUCAUUAUUGUUAAAUAUCUCCGUUGAGUUGUAUUCCCCAGCUGUGAGUAUCAUUAUUGUCUUUGCUAUCUAAUCAAUUCAAUUUUCUUUCUGGAGACAAGAUUUUGAUUCCUUUCAUCGUUACAAAAACGGAACCAUGGUUGAUGUGGGAGAGAUCUUACUCAACGCCUUCUUUCAGGUGUUGUUCGACAGGUUGGCUUCCCGUGAUUUGCUCAGCUUUGUCCGUCAACUUGGAGGGGGGGUCGAUUCCGAGCUCAAGAAGUGGGAAAGAAAGCUGAAGAUGAUUCAGGCGGUGCUCAACGAUGCAGAGGAGAAGCAACUGACUGAUGAGGCUGUGAAGAUGUGGCUGGACGAUCUCCAAGACUUGGCUUAUGACGCUGAGGACAUUCUUGAUGAGUUUGCUACUCAAGCUUUGGAAAGCAAGUUGAUGGAGCAAAAUCAGGAUAGCUCUGGCCAGGUUCUCAGUUUCAUCCCGGCUAGUUUGAAUCCGAAUGCUAUUAUGUUCAAUUAUAGCAUGGGGUCCAAGAUUAAAGAUAUUACUAGCCGGCUGGAGCAACUCUGCCAAGAAAGAAUUGAACUUGGACUGCAGCGGAUUACUGGAGGGGCAUCAUCAACUGCUGCUGCUACACAGCAGAGGCCGCCCAGUUCGAGUGUCCCAACAGAACGUGAAGUAUUUGGAAGAGCAAAAGAUAAGGCCAAAAUUCUUGAUAUGGUAUUGGCCGAUACCCCAAGUGAUCAUGCCGACUUUGUUGUAAUACCCAUUGUUGGCAUGGGCGGGAUAGGAAAAACAACUCUCGCUCGGGAGGUUUACAAUGACAAGGCCGUUGGCGGUUCCAAGUUUGAUGUAAAAGCAUGGGUUUGCGUAUCUGACGUCUUUGAUGUUUUGGGCAUCUCAAAGGCACUUCUCGAGUCAAUCACCCGCAGGCCAUGUCUUCUAAACAGUUUAAAUGAAGUGCAGGUUGAAUUGAAAGUAGCUGUGGAUAAAAAAAGAUUCUUGCUGGUCUUAGAUGAUGUUUGGAACGAGGAGUACAGCUUGUGGGUAGACUUAAAAGCUCCGUUCCUGGUUGCUGCACCAAACAGUAAGAUGAUCGUCACCACACGCAAUUCAAAUGUUGCAUCAACAAUGGGGCCAGUUGAACAUUACAAUCUCAGGAGUCUAUCGGAUGAUGAUUGCUGGUCCAUUUUCAUAAAGCAUGCAUUUGAAUCUAGAGAUCUUAACGCACAUCAAAUUUCAGAAUCAUUCCGCAAGAAAGUUGUUGCCAAGUGUGGAGGCUUGGCCCUGGCAGCAAAAACACUCGGAGGCCUUCUGCGUACGACGAGGCAUGAUGCGUGGGAUGAUAUAUUAGAGAGCAAAAUAUGGGAUUUACCACGACAAAGUGGGGUUCUCCCAGUAUUAAGAUUGAGUUACCAUCAUCUUCCUUCUCAUUUGAAAAUGUGUUUUGCUUUCUGUGCAAUCUUUCCAAAAGAUUAUGAAUUCAAAGAGAAGGAGCUGACUUUUUUAUGGAUGGCCGGAGGAAUUAUUCGACAGUCAAGAAGCAAAGAGCGGCUAGAAGAUUUGGGCAGCAAGUGCUUCCAUGAUCUGGUGUCAAGGUCAAUUUUUCAGAAAUCAGCAAUCUCUGCUAGUUCUAAAUUUGUAAUCCAUGACCUUAUCCAUGAUCUUGCUGAAUUGGUCUCUGGAGAAACCAUAUUUAGGUUAGAGGAGGCCAAUACUCUGUCAAGAAGAUUUGAAAGGGUUCGCCAUUCCUCCUAUGCUUGUGGUGGAUAUGAUGGUAAAAAUAUGUUCGAUGUUUUCAAUGAAAUUGAACAUCUACGAACAUUCUUGCCAUUACGCUUACGCAUAAGAGGUGGCUUUAGUUCUGGUUACAUAAGUCGAACGGUCCUAUCUGACUUGCUGCCAAAGUUCAAAAGGUUGAGAAUGCUAUCUUUAGAAGGAUACUGUAUUGGCGAGUUACCAAUUCCAUUUGAAGAUUUGAGACUUUUAAGGUUUCUCAACCUUGCUGACACUGACAUAAGAAGUUUACCCGAGUCAACAUGCAAAUUGCUGAACUUGGAAAUUUUUAUAUUAAGAAAUUGUUCCCGUUUGAUAAAGCUUCCAGCCAAAAUGAGGAAUUUGAUCAAUUUACGCCAUCUGGAUAUAAGAGGUGCGAAGUUGCUGAAGGAGAUGCCAGUCGGAAUGAAAGAGCUGAAGAAGCUUCAAACAUUGUACAAUUUCAUUGUGGGCAAGGGUGAAACUGCAUCCGGUUUGGAAGAAUUAAAAAGUUUAAACUUUCUUUGUGAUGAACUUUGCAUUGCUGGAUUAGAGAAUGUGAAUAAUCCACAGAAUGCAAGAGAAGCGGCAUUAUGCGAGAAGCACAAUCUUGAAGCACUGACUCUAGAUUGGGGGUCUCAAUUUGACAAUUCUCGAGAUGGAGUAGUAGAAGAGCAUGUACUGGAAAUUCUACAGCCUCAUAAACGUAUAAAAAAGGUGGCAAUCAGGAACUAUAGAGGUGCAAGAUUUCCACAUUGGAUAGGAGAUCCUUUGUUCUCCAAAAUAGAGUUCCUUGAAUUGGAGAACUGUGACAAUUGUGUAUCUUUGCCAUCGCUUGGCCGUUUGAGUUCACUUAAACACCUUGCUGUUAAAGGGCUGAAGAAACUAAAAAGCAUAGAGUCUAAGGUUUAUGGGGAGGGUUUCUCAAUGCCUUUUCCAUCAUUGGAGAUUCUAAGUUUCGAGAAUUUGCCAGAAUGGGAGCAUUGGGACACCGAUAUCAAAGGAAAUGUACUUGUUGAAAUAUUUCCUCGUCUCCAUAAACUUUCCAUUGUGGAAUGUCCCAAACUCUCCGGAGAACUGCCUGAUCUCCUGCCCUCCUUGGAGACACUUGUUGUUAGUAAAUGUGAAAAGUUGGUAGUUCCAUUGUCUUGCUAUCCGAUGCUCUGCAGAUUAGAAGUUGAUGAGUGCAAGGAACUAGCGUGCGCGACUCCAAUUGAUUUUAAGUUGAUAAAGUCUGUGACUAUUUCAAAUUGUUCACUAGACAUGUAUGGAUGCAAGGGGAUGCUAUACAAUGGUCCAGCUGGCUCUUCACUGCCGAAAUCCAUGACUAUUACAAAUGUUUUGGCGUUUGGAAAAUUAUUGAAGCCUGAAUUUCAGAUAUUAGAAACUUUGGUAAUUGACAAUUCUGAACAGCUCAUGUCAUGGAGGCAGCGUGGGAAUUUCCGAGAAGAAUAUUUGGCCGUUCGCCGAAGGCUUAUCAAACCAUUACAAGGGCUAAAUAUGCUCGCUUCCCCAGAAGAGGUAACAAUUGAAGAAAGUUGUGUGAGUUUUGUUUUAUUUUCAGAGAUCAAUUUCUUUCCCAGAAAUCUGCGCUCUCUUCUAAUUUGCAGCAGCACAGCUUUAAAAUCCUUACCCGAUGAAAUGAUGGACAACAGUUCACAACUCAAAAGGUUGUAUAUCAGAGAUUGCGAUUCUCUAACAUUCAUCACAAGACGCAAGCUACCUUCAUCUCUAAAAAGUAUAGAGAUUCAGAAUUGUGAGAAACUGCGACAUUUGUUCGAUGAUAAAGAGGAUGCUUCUUCUUCUUCUCCUCCUUCAUCCUCGCCCUCCCCAGUGAUGCUGAAACACCUGAGUAUAAAUAAUUGCCCAGAGCUCACCAGUUUAUCAACAGGAAUCCAAUUACUUGAGGCGCUUGAACACCUCGACAUACGGGAUUGUCGAAAGCUGGAGUCAUUACCAGAUGGCCUUCACAAUCUUAACUGUUUACAGGAGAUUACUCUAAACAGUUGUCCAAGUCUUCUUAGAGGGCUUCCCAACACGAUUUCAAGGGUUGACAUUUACAGCUGUCCAAGUCUUGUUUCCUUCCCAGAAAGAGGACUUCCCAACACGAUUUCAAAGGUUGACAUUUUUAAUUGUGAGAAGCUCGAAGCCCUGCCCAAUGACAUGCACAAACUCAACUCUCUUCGAGAUUUAAGCAUAUUGGGGUGUCGAAAUCUUGUAUCCUUUCCAGAAGAAGGUUUUCCUACCAGUCUAACAUCACUUAGAAUUGGAGAUUUCAAAAUGUAUAAGACACUCAUCCAGUGGGGGUUGCACAGGCUUACCUCUCUUAGACGCCUCUAUAUCGUUGAUUGUGAUGACGAAGCAGAGUGUUUUCCAGACGAGGAGAUAGGAACGAUGCUGCCUACCUCCCUAACUCAUCUAUCCUUUCGGGGAUUCCGAAAUUUGAUAUCUCUGUCUUCGACGGGUUUUCAGAGCCUCAACUCUCUUCAAUACUUGUGGAUCAGGGAUUGCCCGAAUCUCACAUCAUUCCCAGAGGUGGGCCUUCCAUCCUCACUUUUGGCAUUAUGCAUUAUCGAUUGUCCAAAGCUUAAAAAAGCGUGCAAAAGAGAUCAAGGAAAAGAGUGGUCCAAAAUUGCUCACAUCCCUCGCAUUGACAUAGACAGGAAAUUCAUAUACGAUCCAGAAUCAGAGGAGUAGAUUCUACUAUUAAGGUCAGUUGAUUUGUAUUAUCCGCCAUAACAAGCUCCUCCUUUUUUUUUAAAUAAUAAUAAUAAUUCUUACCAAUUAAUGAUGGUAAGAUGUGUACUUAUUCUUUCUUCCGGACAACCUUGCCUUCUUUCUUCGGUAGCAUAUCUAAUGAAUAUUUCUCUGUUUAGUUAAGGAUGAAUGCUUGGAGUGGAGUAUUUGGUAACAUUUCUGCCGUAGAUGAAACCUUGAAGAAAUGCCUGCACUUCCUGAGACCAAAUACAGGUCUGAUUCACAACAACACCUGUCCCAGAAAAUAUGAUACAAGCCAAAGCCAUGUUCUGAAGCAGAAAUAACGCAUUUCAAUUUUUAUCUGGUAAAAAUACACAGCCCUCGCCUACAAAAUUCUUAUCUUGGCUUUCACGGAUAUUUUUAUCACGUAACCACGUGAGGAAGCAUGUGCUGGAGCCUGAAUUCAGUUAGUUAAAGUUUGUUAACCACGUGUCAACAAACUGUAUAAUCUGGAAAAUACGCUAGCUAUUGAAACAGGGUAUAAAGGCUGGUUUUUCAGGGACUAUCGAGAGCUGAUUCUAGAGUCUUGUAGAAAGAGGUUUGUGAGAGAGAAAGUGUCAUCUUGUUCUCUGUAAAAUCCGAUAUAGGGCUCUGUAACGAUCUCCAUUGUUGAAUCAAUAAAACUCAUCUAGAAGCUUCUCCCGUGGACGUAUUCUGAGCAUUCAAUGCACAGCUGAACCACGUAAUAUCUUGGUUUCAGUGGGUUCUUGUUUUGGUUCUUGAUAAAUUCUUGUUGUUGUAUUGAGGUGUGAUUUGAUGUGUCUAAACUUGCAUCUGUGCAACUUGAAUUGAUUUGAUGAUAAUAAUCUUGGGCAGUGAUCAGAUUCGUUUAGUUUAAAGAACAAGCUGAUUACUACCGUACCUAUGCAUGGACCUGUAACCUGUGCUGACAAAACUGAAACUAUGAGUUUGAGGUAAAAAGGUCCUGGACCCUCACAGUUUAACUUGGACUUGUAGCUUUCUGGAUAAACACAUUUUAGAAGUUUGCAAUUUGUUGUUAAUUACGGUAUGUGAUUUUCUUUUUUGUUUUCGCUUUUGUAGAAUCUACCGUAUUACAUAUUGGCAGUUGUAUCUGAGGUACCAUUUUUGCAUUUAACUUGCCUUUAUCUGUUUUGCCUGUUACUUAACAACACAUCAUUUCCCAAAGAUUUGGAGAAGCAUCUCAAGAUGCUUAACAAACUUGACAAACUUCAAGAUGCUCCCAAGCCUUGAUUCUUCACAAAGGAAGACCUGUGAGUACACUUAUGCCCGCAAUUAUUGUGAAGUGAUUGCAACUUUGAUGCAGCGAAACGGUUUGCUGGUGCAAAGCUUUAAAACUGUUAAGAAUUACCCUGCAGGCUUGUUGGAUGUUGUAUACUCCGAAAGCCACCAACACCAAGAACUAUAACAGCAAGACUAGGUUUGCAUUAAUUCAAUUAGCUGAAAUAAUGAUGCAAAUGGCACUAUCCAGCUCGACUUAGAGACUAGUCAGGUCAAUCAUCCAUUUCAUCAACAGUUAAUGUCAGGAUGGUGGCUAGCAGAGGAAACAAAGGAUAUGUUGGAAUCAAUAAGAACAGUGAGAAGCAUGAGAGGAGCUUUGAUUAUAAGUAGGCUCAAUGAACUAGUGUUGGUAAGUGGUAAUUAGAGCAAUUUGUGAGCUUAGUAGAGUUUCAAUAUUUUCUGUUUGGGAUAUAGUUGAUAAGUUGAUACUCUGAUAAAGAAGGCUGAUUAUAGUAGCUGACUAUAUUAACCGGGUUCUCUUUUUUGGUUUGCUGUUGUUUUUUCUUUCAAUAUCUUUUUCAACAUUAGGUUUAAGAACAAGCUUGGGUUUGAUUAUCAGGUAAGAACAAAUGAAUGCUUUAACCAUGUUUCUCACUUAUCACAAUGCACGGAUUGAAGGCGUCUGAGUUGAUCCUGAAACGUGCCUCAGCAAGUAUUAUGAUUAUUAUUUUAAAAAACUCAACCUAAGCAACGUGCCUCAGCAUACAAUAUUUAUUGACAACUAAAAAGUAAUAGUGGGUGGGGGUUGCCCUGGGUUUUGUUUAAAAAUUGAAGUAAAAAAUUUUCAAAUUUCAAAUUUCUAGUACAAAGAAAAUUGAUGACUAAAUUAAAUUCUGCAAAUUAAUUUCUAAUAUUACAUGAAAAUAUUAUCAAGUUAACUGGUAACAUCGUUAAUCACUUAAUUCUCAGUCUAAUACGUUAUGUAUUUGUUACUCUGUCUUAAAUCAAAAGUGGCGGUGAUUUAUUUUUAUUUUCACUAAUCAGAAAGGCAUGUUAGAGCUUUUAUUUUGUCGAAAAUGAACCAAAAAAACUCCGAUUGGGAGAUUAUAAAUGUAAUUAACAAUAAUUUAACUUCCAUUUUGAAAGUCAUUAUAUUGUUUAUUCAGGAGAAGCGUUCUUUUAUAUUUUAUAGAUAUAAUGUUUGCUAAUCCUAAUUUAAGCUAAAGCAUAUGCAUUUCCUAAUUAAUUCUAAUUUAAGCUUAUUCAACUGCAUUCAAUUAAUGUUCGAUAAUACAAAUUCUAAAUACUAUAUACUCUAAGAAUUUUAAUCGUAAUGACAAGGUGAUCAUUUAAUUAUUACCGUUAAAUUAUAUAUGUAUGGUGGAGACGAGUCCACACGGUUUUGACGAGAAAUUAAAGACAAUAUUUAGUUAAGCUAGUAGUAUUUGUUCUGUUUAGUACGUCGUUUUACCAGCAAGCAUCCCGGCAAUGCACGCAUUAAUAAAAACAUUUAUCUGUUUGGACUGACUGGUAGUGAAAAAUUCCACAUACUUUAAAUCAAGAAAAUGCUAAGCAUCUUAAAGAAAACAAUUAAAAUAUUGUCACUUGAUGCUUGAAUCAUUAUUGUUAAAUAUCUCCGUUGAGUUGUAUUCCCCAGUUGUGAGUAUCAUUAUUGUUGUUUGUGCGAUAUGUUUCGACGAAGACCAGCAGUGAUGAGCAGGCGUCUGGUAGCAGGGUUCCUCGAACAGGUAUAUCUUGCAAGAGUCUGGUAGCAGGGGGAGCAAGAGCAGGAGUAUCCUGCUCGUCCACGAGUACGUCAUCCACGAGGCCGGUCUCCUGUUGGGAGCGUAAAGCCAUUCCUGCUAUAUUCCUGCUAGCGGUUGAGUCGAGGAGACCCGGUCAACGACAGUUGACGAGACAUGCUCUCCAGUCCGAGAAUCAAGGCGCGAAGGCCACGCAACCACCCACGACUACGGAAAUGGAGCAUCCACUUUCGAGAAGUGGGAGGAUGACAAGCGCAAAGGGAGGAAAUGCAUGGGCUCAGAAGUGGCCUAUAAAAAGGUAACCAACGAAGGUAAAAGGGUUAGCAAUUUUGAGAUUAUAACAGAGACUAAGGAAAUUCUAAAGAAGAGAAAACUAUUAAAAAGCCAUAAGAUCUGUGGCAAGCGUUCCCAGAGCCUUCAUAUCUGACUUGAGCGUCGGAGGGUUUACGCCGGGAAAACAACCGGCGUGCUCUGACUUGUUUCUGUGGACGCAGGAAUACUUGGAGAAGAAAGCAUACAAGGAGAGAUCCUGGUCGAGGUGAGGUUGAUUGAGCAGAUAUCCUGGUCGUAGGAAGAGCGUAACCAGAAUCUCGCAUCAAUAUUUUGGCGCCGUCUGUGGGGAGCUGAGCAAAAAGUUUCUGUUGAUAGCAAAGAAGAGGAGUGAAGCAAGUGAAAAGCAAUGGAGACAGGAGGAAGUAGUGCACAAGGGGGUGAUAUGAGGCUUAACGAUUCCGUGACGCUGAGGGAGAUAGCCAGUGAAGCACGGGAAAAAGCCAUGUUCGACCGGAUGGAACGGAUGGAAAAGCAGAUGGAGACCUUGACAACCAUCCUACAUGAGCUGCGGAGCGAACGAAGGGUAACCCAGGAGGAAAGGGUGAGAGGUGGUGGAGUGGCACCAGGUCCCGAUAGUGCGAGGAGAAGUCAAACCACCGGGAGAUUUGGUGGUGAGAGAGGUAACAUACCUCUGCAGGGAAAUUGCAUAGAGAGGAAGAGCAGUCCCCGGCAAGACAGAUUUUUGACGAGGACGACGGGGUGGCGAAUGCAGAGGAAGCAGAGUUGAGGCAAUACUUGCAUGAUGUAGUGCAAGAGCGGGAUCAAGUCGCAGCACGUGACCCUGGUCGUGCAGAGCAGCUGGAGGAGGAAGUGUGCAGGCUAGCGCAGAUAAUUGACGACAUACAAGGAAGGAGCAGAGCUCCUGGUUGGAGGAUAAUGCUGGACGGAGAAUCACCGCUCGCAGCAGAGAUCAUGAGGGCAGUUAUUCCAAGAGAUUUCCGCCUCCCAGACCUUAGAUAUUCGGGAUGAACUGAUCCGCUGGUGCACAUAGAGCGCUUCAACGACAUAACUGGGGUACAAGGAUUAUCUCAAUCCUAAAGGUGCAGGGUGUUCCCACUAUCCCUUGAGGGACGCGCACGAGAGUGGUACAGGAAACUUCCUCGGGGGAGCAUUAAAACCUUCGAGCAGAUGUGCCAGGAAUUUGCAGAACAGUUCCGUGGGGCAAUGGCACCAGAAGAUGACAUGAUGGAGUUGAAAAACAUGAAGCAGGGGGAACAAGAAACACUUCGGGAAUUCAUCAAGAGGUUUCACCGUGCUGUCCUCGACUUGGGAGCCUUCAACCACCCUCAAACGUUAAGGGGAUUGAAAGAAGGGGUGAAGAUAGGAAGGCUGUGGUACAACUUGAGAAGCCCAGUUAUUCAGACGUAUGCGGCCGCAUACGAGCAGGCUAAGAGAGACAUUGAGAUUGAAGAGGAGAAGGCAGCACAGAUUAAGACAGACCAGUUAGAAGGGUGGGGGAGGAAAGAGAAGAAAGCAUUACCGGGGAAUGGGCCGAUCAGGAGGAGGAACCACCAGGCCUCGAGUAGUGGAGCAGAAGGUCGGGUAACUGCUUACCAGCCUCAUCAGAGGCCACUACAGUAUCAGCACAGCAGGGCGCAACCUCCUCGUUCCCCAGCUGGGGAGCCUUGGAGAAGGCAUGACUCGGCGUAUGGUGGUCUUCAUCAACACUCCCACGGUAGUAGAAGGGGCAGACCAGAAGCGCUGCCACCGCCUCCAACUCAGAACGGAGCAAAUAGAGAAAGGGCAGUGCACCUGAUCGACCAGAACCAGGACUAUGGGCGAUAUACUUCCUUGAAGAUGUCCCUGGCCGAGGUGUACGAGGCCAUAAAGGAUCGAGGGUCGUUAUACCUCCCUGCCCCAAUAACAAAGCUACCCAGCAGGAGGGAUAGGGGACGCUAUUGUAAGUUCCAUGGCACUCAUGGCCACACCACAGCAGAUUACAGGGAUCUCAAGACCCAGGUUGAAGAUUUGGUGAGAAAUCGGUAUCUGGACGAGUUUAUAGAUGGGACCUUCCCAAUGGUAGCCUCGACCAGCGAAUGGGAGCAGAGUGACAGGAACUUGAGGCGCGAGCAGCCUGCAGUAAGGGUGAUAGCUGGGGGCCCAACAUUGGCCGGAGAUUCCAACAGGUUGAGGAAGAAUUACGCUAGAUACGCCAUGACCAGCAAAGAUGUAUUCUUCACCACCCCAGCAGCCAAACGUGCAAGAGUCAGGCAAGUGCCAAUUAUGUGGACAGAUGAGGAUGAAGAAGGGAUUCUAUACCCCCACGAGGAUGCUUUGGUCAUCAAGGCCACUGUUGCCAGCAAGAAGUUUGACAGGAUACUGGUUGACACAGGGAGCUCAGUUGAUGUGUUGUUUAAGUCAACCCUGGAGGAGAUGGGAAUAGCAGACCUGAAGUUGGAUUACACCAAUACCUCCUUGAAGGGGUUUGGAGGAGGAAAGUUGGUCCCUCUGGGCGUGGUCGAGCUGCCUAUCACGAUUGGGAGCUCCCCGACAGAAGGGACAAUGAUACUGGACUUUGUGGUAGUGGAUGAGGAAGGUCCUUAUCAGAUGAUCCUAGGCCGGCCAUUUCUGACGAUGAGCAAAGCGGUGCUGUCCAGCCAUUAUCUGGCUCUCAAGUACCGGGUGAAUGGGGUAGUUGGAGUGGUACGAGGAGACCAGAGGAUCGCAAGAAGCUGCUACUCCUCGGCAGCAAAGGAAGCAAUGCAGAUAACAUCCCUUGAUACCCGAGUGGAAGCCAGGAAUGGCAGCUAGUUGGACCCGGAGUUUACAAGCUGGUUCGCACGGAUGGCCACAAGGUGAAACGCCCAUGGAGCGCGACACACCUCAGGAAAUAUUUCUAGUAAGACUUACUCAUCUUUUAAAGUUAUUUCUGUUCGUGCCCGUUGUUUUCUAUUUUUCAUUUCUUAUUUCAAAGCAAUCUCAUGUAAGCCGAAUUCAAUAAUAAAUGAAUCAAUGAGGAGUUUCAGUCAACUACACUGUUCAAGAAAUUAUCAAAGGCAUGCAAAGGCUAGUCAAGUCUCAAAGCCUGUUUAUGGCGAGACCAGAAGCCAAGCGUGCCAGGAUCUGCUCGACCACGAGAAGGCGAGCAGAGUCCCAAGCUUUCAAGAAAUUAUCAAUGGCAUGCAAAGGCUCACCAAGUCUCAAAGCCUGUUUAUGGCGAGACCAGAAGCCAAGCGUACCAGGAUCUGCUUGACCACGAGAAGGCGAGCAGAGUCCCAAGCUUUCAAGAAAUUAUCAAAGGCAUGCAAAGGCUCACCAAGUCUCAAAGCCGGUUUAUGACGAGACCAGAAGCCAAGCGUUCCAGGAUCUGCUCGACCACGAGAAGGCGAGCAGAGUCCCAAGCUUUCAAGAAAUUAUCAAAGGCAUGCAAAGGCUCACCAAGUUUCAAAGCCUGUUUAUGACGAGACCAGAAGCCAAGCGUGCCAGGAUCUGCUCGACCACGAGAAGGCGAGCAGAGUCCCAAGCUUUCAAGAAAUUAUCAAAGGCAUGCAAAGGCUCACCAAGUCUCAAAGCCUGUUUAUGGCGAGACCAGAAGCCAAACGUGCCAGGAUCUGCUUGACCACGAGAAGGCGAGCAGAGUCCCAAGCUUUCAAGAAAUUAUCUAAGGCAUGCAAAGGCUCGCCAAGUCUCAAAGCCUGUUUUAUGGCGAGAUAGAAGCCAAGCGUACCAGGAUCUGCUCGACCACGUGAAGGUGAGCAGAAUCCCCAAGCAUCGGAAUAUUUUCCAAGGCAUGCAAAGGCUCGCCAAGUCUCAAAGCCUGUUUUAUGGCGAGACAGAAGCCAAGCAUGCCAGGAUCUGCUCGACCGCGCGAAGGCGAGCAGAAUCUCAAGCAUUGAAGAAUUUUCCAAGGCAUGUGGCAAAACCAUAUGCCGAGCCAGAACCUGCUAAACUAGACGAAGACGAGCAGAUUCUCAGACGAAAAAUAACUCAUGAUUACAACACAAGAAAGUAAUCAAAAACAUUUUUAUUAAUUUGUUAAUAAUUAACAGAGGAGAUAAUCUUCACAAACAUUGUUCAUUACAAUACAAGAAAUAUAUUAAGAGGACGGUGGAUCCGUAAGCCGAGCAGCCUCAGUCGGUUGGUCCACCUCAGGUGCUGGGGGAGUAUCACCGGUCGCGUCCGGGGGGGUGCUUGCCUCACCCACAUCAACAGGAACGGCACGAGGAGGAGAGUUUUCCUCAACUACGAUUGGUUCCACCGUUUCGGCAUCUUCCUUUGCAGCCUCCUCGUCCAUAUGUUGGGCGACACCAGUUGCAAGGUCGUCCAUCUUCAGAUCAGGAUGCUGCUUCCCGAGGACGACCAUGAUGCAACGAUAGGAAUGCCGAAGCCCCUAGUCGUACUGGUUGUCGGCCUCCCUCUCCAAGUUCUCGACCUGAGCUCGGUGGGAAUCGCGGAGAGAUUCGAGCUGAGCCUCAUAUAUAGCCUUCUGCCUUUGCAGAUCCUCCUCGACCUUGGUCAGCUCCUCCUCGAGGGUAAUGGCUUUUGCUUGAGCAAGAGAUUCUUGCUCUAUCAGCUUGAGGUUCUCAACAUUCAGCUCCCCUGCUUUCUUCUCGGCAGCGUCAGCUCUGGUCGUCGCCGAUUGAAUGUCCUCCUUAAUCUUGCGGUCGUAGCGGCCAACCUUCGCCUUGUAAUAGGUGGUCAUGCAGCUGAGGUAGAAAGCGCUAUACUGCAUGGCCCCCACCAGCUCACCCAAGGUGCAGCCGUCAAAGUCCUCCAGGUCCUUCUUGCUCACGAGUUUAGAUAACUCAUUGAGGUAGGGGACCAAGUGUUCUGCUUGGCUGUCAGGUAAGCGAGAUCGAGGCCCGACAGGAGGAGAAGAGGAAGCAGGAUCCGUGGCUGCUCCACUAGUUUCCCCAACUUUGGCAGGAGCAGGAGGUAAAGUCUUCAAGGGAGAGACUUGCUGUACGAUGUUGGCCUGCUUUGCAGAAGGGGCGUCCUUGUUCUGGUCCCUCUUCGUGGCUUGAGGUUGAGAACGUUUCCUGUUCAGAGCCCCAAUCACAGCGUCCUCCAUCUUAUGGCCAGGGAGUACCAAGCGAGACUCGAGCAAGUUGUAAACAGUUAUCAAUUCUCGGCUCGGGCAAGAGUUGGCUAGUAUAGCCUCGACCCGUUUGAGCUGAUCAGGUUGGAGCGAGAAGUGAACACCCCAAGAACCUGCAACACAAACAAACAUUUGAUUAGAGACAAACCAGUAAAGUGCAAACAACAAGGGAGACAAGACAUCUAAUACGAGCAGGCAACCUGGGACCAUGAAACGGGGUGGGACGCGACAAUCCUUCCCGUCUAUUUGUGCAACUUGACCCCAAGGACCCCCAGCAAAAAAGAAUUUCCUCUUCCAAGUCCCACCACCACCAGUUGGAAGAUCAGUUAUGGGUUUCUUGCUCUUGGUACUAGAUUGGAAGUAGUACCAGCCGGCAUCUUUGGGGCUGCUCUUUAGCUGGUACAGGUGCUUCACCUCAUCAACCGUGGGCUCGCUUUGGCAACAUCUGUCCCACAAUAUGAACAGACCAGAGAGCACCCUCCACCCAUUGGGGUUCAGUUGACCAGGAGCUAGAUUGAGCCCGUGGAGUAUGCGAGCAAAAUAGGGUUGCAAGGGGCACCUUAACCCGUACUUAAAACUCUCCUGGAACAAGGUGACAUAUCCCCUAGGAGGCCUGCUAGGACUAUCUUUUUUUCCUGGGAUCCUAAGGAGUACUUCACCAGGAAUAUGAUACCUGAGCCAGAGGUCAUCCAGCUCGUUGAAUGUGGUCGUGCAGGUCAUGUAAUCAAUAGCAUAAUCCCGCAACAAGGCUCUACCUCCUACUGUACUACGCCCUUCUGGUCGCAGUGUUCCCGGUGAAGAUCCCUCACCAGAGUCACCUCCUUGAUCCUCACUUAGGGUGUCUUCCGAGCCAGAAGGUCCUUCCUCGCCACUACUUCCGCUCGUGGAGGUUGUUUGGGGGGACAUCCUCCUAGCGCUAGUCCCGACACUAGACCUAGUGGGCUCUAAGGGGAUCCCGGGGUCAAAAGCAGAAUCAGUGAGCAGACUAGGCAAGAAACCUAGUUCGUCGUCAUCAGUCUCAAUGACUUUCUCCUUACCCUUCGACAUUCCCUAAGUUCUAACCAAAACACCACCACCGACUACAACCCCAAGUAAAGCAAAGAGAAAAGAAAUUAUCUACAACUAUCCGAGACCGAGGAGAUAGAAGUAAUACCUGAAGUAAUGGUUCAGUUAGAGAAAGGCAGGGGAGGAGACUUUUAUGCCGAGACUUCUUUGCCGGAGAGACAGAGACAGAGAUGGAGUAAAUGACGAAUUUUCCCUUUGAGAGGUUUUGGGUUUUCCUAAUGGAGAAUGAACUUUUGGAUUGCCAGCAUUUAAUAGCAUCGAAUCCCAAGGGUCUCGUAACCGUCGGUUUAAAAUUCAAAUAGAUGGGUAGAUUUCUGCCACAUCACCUGGUCCACAAUUAAAUGCGACACGACUCUUGGCAGCCUUUUCCUAUCCCGCGCGAGCAAGAACUGUCGAGUUUCUACUGUUGGCUCACUACGCUACCCAACACAAGAAACUGGGGGACUGGUGUUUGUGCGAUAUGUUUCGACGAAGACUAGCAGUGAUGAGCAGGCGUCUGGUAGCAGGGUUCCUCGAACAGGUAUAUCUUGCAAGAGUCUGGUAGCCGGGGGAGCAAGAGCAGGAGUAUCCUGCUCGUCCACGAGUACGUCAUCCACGAGGCCGGUCUCCUGUUGGGAGCGUAAAGCCAUUCCUGCUAUAUUUCUGCUAGCGGUUGAGUCGAGGAGACCCGGUCAACGACAGUUGAUGAGACAUGCUCUUCAGUUCGAGAAUCAAGGCGCGAAGGCCACGCAACCACCCACGACUACGGAAAUGGAGCAUCCACUUUCGAGAAGUGGGAGGAUGACAAGCGCAAAGGGAGGAAAUGCAUGGGCUCAGAAGUGGCCUAUAAAAAGGUAACCAACGAAGGUAAAAGGGUUAGCAAUUUUGAGAUUAUAACAGAGACUAAGGAAAUUCUAAAGAAGAGAAAACUAUUAAAAAGCCAUAAGAUCUGUGGCAAGCGUUCCCAGAGCCUUCAUAUCUGACUUGAGCGUCGGAGGGUUUACGCCGGGAAAACAACCGGCGUGCUCUGACUUGUUUCUGUGGACGCAGGAAUACUUGGAGAAGAAAGCAUACGAGGAGAGAUCCUGGUCGAGGUGAGGUUGAUCGAGCAGAUAUCCUGGUCGUAGGAAGAGCGUAACCAGAAUCUCGCAUCAACAAUUGUCUUUGCUCUCUAAUCUAUUCAAUUUUCUUUCUGGAGACAAGAUUUUGAUUCCUUUCAUCGUUACAAAAACGGAACCAUGGUUGAUGUGGGAGAGAUCUUACUCAACGCCUUCUUUUAGGUGAUGUUCGACAGGUUGGCUUCCCGUGAUUUGCUCAGCUUUGUCCGUCAACUUGGAGGGGGGGUCGAUUCCGAGCUCAAGAAGUGGGAAAGAAAGCUGAAGAUGAUUCAGGCGGUGCUCAACGAUGCAGAGGAGAAGCAACUGACGGACGAGGCUGUGAAGAUGUGGCUGGACGAUCUCCAAGACUUGGCUUAUGACGCUGAGGACAUUCUUGAUGAGUUUGCUACUCAAGCUUUGGAAAGCAAGUUGAUGGCGCAAAAUCAGGAUAGCUCUGGCCAACUUCUCAGUUUCAUCCAGGCUAGUUUGAAUCCGAAUGCUAUUAUGUUCAAUUAUAGCAUGGGGUCCAAGAUUAAAGAUAUCACUAGCCGGCUGGAGCAACUCUGCCAAGAAAGAAUUGAACUUGGACUGCAACGGAUUACUGGAGGGGCAUCAUCAACUACUGCUGCUGCACACCAGAGGCUACCCGGUUCAAUUGUCCCAACAGAACGUGAAGUAUUUGGAAGAGAAGAAGAUAAGGCCAAAAUUCUUGAUAUGGUAUUGGCCGAUACCCUAAGUGAUCAUGCCAACUUUGCUGUAAUACCCGUUGUUGGCAUGGGCGGGAUAGGAAAAACAACUCUCGCUCGGGAGGUUUACAAUGACAAGGCCGUUGGCGGUUCCAAGUUUGAUGUAAAAGCAUGGGUUUGCGUAUCUGAUGUCUUUGAUGUUUUGGGCAUCUCAAAGGCACUUCUCGAGUCAAUCACCCGCAGGCCUUGUCUUCUAAACAGUUUAAAUGAAGUGCAGGUUGAAUUGAAAGUAGCUGUGGAUAAAAAAAGAUUCUUGCUGGUCUUAGAUGAUGUUUGGAACGAGGACUACAGCUUGUGGGUAGACUUAAAAGCUCCGUUCCUGGCUGCUGCACCAAACAGUAAGAUGAUCGUCACCACACGCAAUUCAAAUGUUGCAUCAACAAUGGGACCAAUUGAACAUUACAAUCUCAAGAGUUUGUCAGAUGAUGAUUGUUGGUCCAUUUUCAUAAAGCAUGCAUUUGAAUAUAGAGAUCUUAACGCACAUCAAAUUUCAGAAUCGUUCCGCGGGAAAGUUGUUGCCAAGUGUGGAGGCUUGGCCCUGGCAGCAAAAACACUCGGAGGCCUUCUGCAUACGACGAGGCAUGAUGCGUGGGAUGAUACGUUAGAGAGCAAAAUAUGGGAUUUACCUCAACAAAGUGGGGUUCUCCCCGUAUUAAGAUUGAGUUACCAUCAUCUUCCUUCUCAUUUGAAAAGAUGUUUUGCUUACUGUGCAAUCUUUCCAAAAGAUUAUGAAUUCAAUCAGAAGGAGCUGACUUUCUUAUGGAUGGCUGGAGGAAUUAUUCGACAGUCACGAAACAGUGAGCAGCUGGAAGAUUUGGGCAGCAAGUGCUUUCAAGAUCUAGUGUCAAGGUCUAUUUUUCAACAAACCAGCUCUGGUAGUUCUAAAUUUGUAAUGCCCUAUCUUAUCCAUGAUCUUGCUGAAUUGGUUUCUAGAGGGACCAUUUUCAAGUUAGAGGAGUCCACCAACUUGUCGUCGAGGAGAUUUGAAAGAGUUCGCCAUUCUUCCUAUGCCCGCGGUUGGCAUGACGGUAAAAAUAAGUUUGAGGUUUUCUAUGAAAUUGAACAUCUACUAACAUUCUUGCCAUCACGCAUAAGAGGUGGCACUAAUACGAGUUACAUAACUCGAACGGUUCUAUCUGAUUUGUUGCUGAAUUUCAAAAGUUUGAGGAUGUUAUCUUUACAAGGAUACUGUAUUGGUGAGUUACCAAUUUCAUUUGAAGAUUUGAGACUUUUAAGGUUUCUCAACCUUGCUUACACUGACAUAAGAAGUUAUCUGAGUCAACAUGCAAAUUGCUGAACUUGGAAAUUUUGAUAUUAAGAAAUUGUUCUCGUUUGAUAAAGCUUCCACCCAAAAUGAGGAAUUUGAUCAAUUUACGCCAUCUCGAUAUAAGAGGUGCGAAGUUGCUGAAGGAGAUGCCAUUCGGAAUGAAAGAGUUGAAGAAGCUUCAAACAUUGUCCAAUUUUAUUGUGGGCAAGGGUGAAACUGCAUCUUGUUUGGAAGAUUUAAAAUGUUUAAACUUUCUUUGUGAUAAACUUUGCAUUGCUGGAUUAGAGAAUGUUAAUAAUCCACAGAAUGCAAGAGAAGCCGCAUUAUGUGAGAAACACAAUCUUGAAGCAUUGACUCUGGAUUAGGGGUUUCAAUUUGACAAUUCCUGAGGAGUAGUAGAAGAGCAUGUACUGGAAAAUCUACAGCCUCAUAAAUGUAUAAAAAAGGUGGCGAUCCGGAACUAUGGUGGUGCAAGAUUUCCCCUUUGGAUAGGAGAUCCUUUGUUCUCCAGGAUAGAGCUCCUAAAAUUGGAGAACUGUGACAAUUGUGUAUCUUUGCCAUCGCUUGGCCUAUUGAGUUCACUUAGACGGCUUGCUGUUAAAGGGCUGAAUAAACUAAAAAGCAUAGGGUCUGAGGUUUAUGGGGAGGGUUUCUCAAUGCCUUUUCCAUCAUUGGAGAUUCUAAGUUUCGAGAAUUUGCCAGAAUGGGAGCAUUGGGACACCGAUGUCAAAGGAAAUGUGCUUGUUGAAAUAUUUCCUCGUCUCCAUCAACUUUCCAUUGUGGAAUGUCCCAAACUCUCGGGAGAACUGCCUGAGCUCCUGCCCUCCUUGGAGACACUUUUUGUUAGUAAAUGUGAAAAGUUGGUAGUUCCAUUGUCUUGCUAUCCGAUGCUCUGCAGAUUAGAAGUUGAUGAGUGCAAGGAACUAGCAUGCGGGACUCCAAUUGAUUUUAAGUUGAUAACGUCUGUGACUAUUUCAAAUAGUUCCUUAGACAUGAAUGGAUGCAAGGGGAUGCUAUACGAUGGUCCAGCUGGCUCUUCACUACCAAAGCCUAUGAUUACUACAAAUGUUUCGGAGUUUGGAAAAUUAUUGAAGCCUGGAUUUCAGAUAUUAGAAACUUUGGUAAUUGCCAAUUCUGAACAGCUCAAGUCAUGGAGGCAGAAUGGGGAUUUUCCGGAAAAAUACACGGCCCCUGAACAUAGGUUUAAGAAACCAGUACGAGGGCUGAAUAUGCUCGCUUCCCCUGAAGAGGUAACAAUUGAAGAAAGUUGCGUACGUCUUGUUUUGUUUCCAGAGAUCAAUUUCUUUCCCAGAAAUCUGCGCUCUCUUCUAAUUAACAACAACACUGCUUUCAAAUCCUUACCCGAGGAAAUGAUGGAAAACAAUUCACAACUCGAAAGGUUGUAUAUCAGAGAUUGCGACUCUCUAACAUUCAUCGCAAGACGGAGGCUACCAGCAUCUCUUAAAAGGCUUGAGAUAGAAAAUUGUGAGAAAUUGCAACGUCUGUUCGAUGAUGAAGAGGAUGCUUCUUCUUCUUCACCUUCACCCUCGUCUUCCCCAGUGAUGCUGCAACACCUGAGUAUAGAGAACUGCCCAGAGCUCACCAGUUUAUCAUCGGGUGUCCAAUUCCUUGAGGCGCUUGAAGACCUCGACAUACAGGGUUGUCCAAAGCUGGAGUCAUUACCGGAUGGCCUGCCCAAUCUUAAAUGUUUACAGAGCAUUUAUAUACGGGGAUGUCCAAGUCUUGUUUCCUUCCCAGAAAGAGGGCUUCCCAACACGAUUUCAAGGGUUGACAUUUGCAGUUGUGACAAGCUCAAAGCCUUGCCCAAUGAUUUGCACAAACUCAACUCUCUUCGAGAUUUAAGAAUACGGCUGUGUCGAAAUCUUGUAUCGUUUCCAGAAGAAGGUUUUCCUACCAAUCUAACAUCACUUACAAUUGGAAAUUUCAAAAUGUAUAAGACACUCGUCCAGUGGGGGUUGCACGGGCUUACCUCUCUUAAACGCCUCUCGAUCAGUGGAUGUCAUGAAGCAGAGUGUUUUCCAGACGAGGAGAUAGGAAUGACGCUGCCCACCUCUCUCACUCAACUGCUCCUUUAGGGAUUCGAAAAACUGAUAUCUCUGUCUUCGACGGGUUUUCAAAGCCUCAACUCUCUUCAAUACUUAUUGAUCUGGGGUUGCCCAAAUCUCACAUCAUUCCCAGAGGCGGGUCUUCCAUCCUCACUUUUGGAUUUAGGCAUUUACAAUUGUCCAAAGCUUAAAAGAGCGUGCAAAAGAGAUCAAGGAAAAGAGUGGCCCAAAAUUGCUCACAUCCCUCGCAUUGAGAUAGACAGAAAAUUCAUAUACGAUCCAGAAUCAGAGGAGUAGAUUCUAUUACAAAGGUCAGUUGAUUUCUAUUAUCCUCUAUAACAAGCUCCUCUUAAUUUUUUUUUUCUAAGUAAUAAUUUUGCAGUUCUGUAUAAUUAUUAAUCGUCUGCUCUUAAUUGAAAAUGUCACUCACUUGAUUCCGUUUUCACUAGUCAAAUUGUAUGUUGAGGCUAUUUGCUUUUUAAUUAUAACACUUAUCUUAAAAUUUAAUACCAAAUUUUUUUGAUUCACUUCAAUUAGCAUUUUGUUUUCCCCAAAUUAGGCAAGCCGAGAGCUUCAUUAACUAGAGUUUUUUAUUUUUCGGACCUUGCAUCUGAAAGGUUCAGUGUAUUUUUUUUUUUUUCAAAUUUAUUGUUCAGAUCUCAGACGAGUAUACGGUUUAGAUUACAAAACACCUAUGAUUAAUUUCUUUUUUUUUUUUUUAAUUUCAGGGAGAAGAAGUGGUCAGUUUCAAUCCGGAAUUGGAAUAUGGCAAUUUGGUUCAAGCACACACACCUGGUCACUUGGUCAGUGAACCUGAACUUUACGCAGUUUUUUCAACUCAGUGAUUUUUGGAACGCAUAUUGGUGUAAGGAAAUCAAUAGAAAUUUAUGCAUAGUCAAAUUCUGAUAUUUGCUAUAAUAUUAUACAUUCUAAAGUUUCUCCAGUUUGUUCUCAGAUUACCAUCAUUUUUUGCCUUCACCAAAAAAAAAUCGAGUGGCUUUCCAGUGGAUAUUUAAUCGGAGGUAUGACUGGAUUUUUUUCACUUCUGUAAAUCUUGCAUUUUAAACUGGCAAAUUUAACUUUAAUUUUAAUACGACUUGUUUGAGGGAAAUACUCCGACGAGACCAGACGUGAUGAGCAGAUGUUUGGUGGCAGAAGUCUGCGAGCAGGUGUGUCCUGUAAGAGCCAGGUAGCAGGGAAACAGGGGCAGAAAUAUCCUGCUCAUCCACGAGCAUGUCAUCCGCGAGGCCAAUUUCCUGUAAGAAACAUAAAGCCAUUCCUGCUGUAUUCUUGCUAAGGGUUGAUUCGAGGAGACCCGGUCAACGACAGUUGGCGAGGCAUGCUCUCCAGCCCGAGAAUCUAGGCACGAAGGCCACGCAACCACCCACGACUACGGAAAUGGGGAAUCCACGUUCGAGAGGUGGGAGGAUAACAGACGUAGACUGCGGAAAACUGGGAUUCAGAGGAAGCCUAUAAAAAGGUAGCCAACGAAGGUAAAAGGGUUAGCAAUUUUGAUUCUAAAAGAGAGAAAACAACCUAACAACCAUAAGAUUUUUGGCAAGCGUUCCCCGAACCUUCAUAUCUGACUUGAGCGUCGGAGGGUUUGCGCCGGGAAAACAACCGGCGUACUCUGACCUGUCUGUGUGCGCAGGAACCUCUGGAGAAGAAGCUUUACGAGGAGAGAUCCUGGUCGUGGUGAAGUUGAUCGAGCAGAGACCCUGGUCGUAGAACGAGGAGAACCAGAAUCUCGCAUCAACACGACUUUGUUGGUGCCUUGUGUUCCAGAAACUAGAAUGAUGUGUAGUUUUCAGAUUAAGGGGCUUGUAAAUUCUCUAGUAAGAAUCCAAUAAUUUGCUUUUGCACAUUCAUUUUAUUUGUGGAUCCUUGCAUCUGAAUUUGAUCAAUCCAAAAGGAAUUGCUUUUAGACAGAAGAAGAAUUGCAGUACCUAGCCUACGACAUAGUAAAUGGACCUGCAAACCUGUAACUAUUAGUUUGAGGUAAAAAAUUCAUGACCCUCACAUGUUAACUUCUUCUAGUUACUUUCAUCAAAAACACAUUUAAGAAAUUUGCAAUUUUUUGUUAGUUUUGUAUACCGAUGUUGUUUUCUGUUUUAGCAUUUGUAUAAUCUACUGUAUUAUAUUUUGGCGGUUGCAGUAUCUGAGGUAUCUUUUGCAUUUAACUUGCUUUAUUUGUUUUGCUUGUGACUUAAGAACACCAAUAUUUGCCAGAGAUUUAGAGAAGCAUAUCAAGAUGCUUGGCAAACUUGACAAACUUCAAGAUCCUUCAUUCUUCACGACCCAAAACUUGUGAGUACACUUAUGCCCGCAAUUAUUGUGAAACGCUUGCAAUUUUGAUGCAGCGAAAUGGUUUGUUGAUGCAAAGGUUUAAACUUUUAAGAUUUACACUGCAGGGUAGUUGGAUGCUGUAUAGUCGAACGGCCACCAACAUCAAGAACUAUAACUCCAAGACCGGGUUUGCAUUAAUUCAAUCAGCUGAAAUAAUGAUGCAAAUGACACUAUCAGCUGGACUUAGAGACCAGUCAGAUCAAUCAUCCUUUUAUCAACAGUUAAUGUCAUGAUGGUGUCUAUCGGAGGAAACAAAGGAUGUGUCGGAAUCAAUAUGAACAGUGAGAAGAAUGAGAGGAGCUUUGAUUAUAAGUAGGCUCAAUGAACUCAUGCUGGUAAGUGGUAAUUAAAGAAAUUUGUGCGCUUAGUAGCAUUCAAUAUUUUCUGUUUGGGAUAUAGUUGAUGAGUUGAUACUCUGAUUAAGAAGCCUGAUUAUAGUAGCUGACUUUUUUUUUGUGGUUUGCUGUUGUUUAUUCUUUCGAUUAAUUUCAACAUUAGGUUGAUCUGUUGAAGAACAAACUUGGGUUUGAUUAUGCUUUAACUACAAGGAAGAGCCAGACUUGGAUGCAGGCGUUCAGCUUUUAAUGGGUAAGAACAAAUGUAUGCUUUAACCAUGUUUCUCACUUAUUACAAUGCACACAUUGAAGGCAUCUGAGCUGAUCCUGAAAAUGUGAUGGAAAUACUUCUCUGUUUACAUAAAACAGACAAAUAGAGAUCUCUGAUCAUGCCUGAGAAUUCGUUGCAUUUAAAAUUUCUACCAUUGCCAAAAAUAGAAUAAACUACGGAUACAUUAGCUUAAGACUCAAUUUUGAGAAGGAAGUUUGCACAUGCAGCCUAAAAAAUCACGUCCGUGUUGUAUACUUGUAUGUUUCUUUGGGAAAUGAAAGAUUCUGUGUUCUUUUAUUUCAAGUUUGCUGAAAUCACAUUUGUUUUCUUAGAUGCUUUUGGGAAGGUAACAACAUCAAUUUCAUAAAUGCUGGGGUAAGAUGCAUCACGCAGUGCUACUCAACAUGAGAAUUCCCGGCCGCAUUACCUGUAUGUUGAGUGAUCGCACAGUACAACCUUUAGAAGCUUGUAAGGAGUAGACAACUAGAUGCGAAUAGUUUCAAUAUGGAUUCGCAUCAAAUGAUCUCUUGCCAGUGAUUACUAUAACCUCUAUCCCAAAAUUCUUGGAACUGGUCAUACCAAUAAUGAAGUAUUGUGUACGUUGAAGACGUAGCUCAAGGCCUUGCGAAAGCUCCGUCAGCCUUUGUAUUGGAAAACAGUUGGUUGUAGUUGCUUCUGAAUGAUAUUAUUAAUAGAUACUGUAAAAAUGAAGUGUGCCACUCAUUUUCAGAGCCCUGUUAAGAUGUGUUGGUAAUGUGUUUGAAGGUUGUUUGAUUUGUGUUGUAUUCAGCUAUAAAUCAAAGAUUCAGAACAUGGUUAUGUUACUGGUUUCCAAAUAAAAAAAUUGCCUUGUGAUGUUAGUGUUCAUUGUUUUCACAGGAGAUCAGGUUCCCUGUUGAUGAAUCAAGAAGGCAAACGCAUCCAUGCCUUAAGUUCAAAUGUGUCUCUUCUAUUUUCUAUUACUGACUCCUUUAUUUUGAUUUCUUCAUUGUAAUGGAAUUGGUUUUCAUUCCAAAUUAGUCAAAACCUCCUAGAGUCAUUAAGUUCUGUUAGCAUUUGAAGAUAGAACUAGAACUAAAUGAUUGACUGGAUUAAAUUCCGAUAAAGAAUUAAGUUAUGUAUUUAGAGAUAUUUUGUUUUUUUUUUCAUUUGUUCAAUUUGGUUAGUGGUGAUUUCUUAAAGACUCAAUCCAUGUGCGUUUAUGCAUUUUUCUUUUGCCUUAAUUUCUGUUUCUUGGGGAGUUUAUACAGAUUCUUAUUUUAUGCUUCACAUGCCACAUGAAAGAUCGAAGCAUUUUGUGUGAUUAGAACUGACUUGCAUCACAGUAACUUUAAACCACUGCCACAUUUUUAUAAUAACAGUCUGAGAUCUCCCUGAAGGAUUCAAAGCAUUUUAUUUUAUAUUAACCUCCUUUAAGUGGGUUUCGACACUACCACAAGUUCUUUAAAUACUAAAACGAUUUUGAGUCUUUUGUAUCAUCUGAUUGAAAUACCUGAAAGCACUCGUGGCUGCAAAAAUAUAUCGAUUUUGAGUAUGGCGUGCAUGUAAAUUAUAUCGAUUUUUUCUAUAUGACAAGUAAGACUCUCUUUUACAAUGGCACGGAUGCGUCAUUGAGUAAUCAUGAUUCUUGCUGGUAGUGCUUUGUUGUAUCAAUCUGCUAGCUAUUCAGCUUUCUUUCUUUCUUUCUUCUUUUUUUUUUUUUUUUUUUGUUUUCAAAUAGCUUGUGGUUGUAGAAAUAUUUCAAUUAAACUAUACUUAAGUACUUAUUUAGUAUAACUUCUUUACUAGCCAAAAUAAUUUUUUUUUGGUUUUUUAUAAUUUAAUUAUACUUUAACUAGAGUUUUUGGGAUUAAACAAGUGAUAAUUUCUCUCUAUUAAGAAAAACUCAAAAUUUUUUAAUUACUAGAAUGCGUCUAAAUUAAAUUACAAUUAUAGACACUAAAAUAUAGUAAAUUUUUUUUUUUACUCUUUAAAACUGUCUUUACAUUCGAUAUCAUAUUUUUUUCUUAAAAUCUAAAUUGAUAUUUUUAUUUUAUUUUUGAUUAAUCUUAGAACACAUAUAAAGUGAUUCAUAUUGAUUUUAUACUAACAAACUAUCAUAGCACAUUCGAAAAUAAUUAACUCGUUCUUAUUUGCAUAGUGAAAAAGGCAAAUAGCUCACCCAAAUGUUAAGGAACUGGAGAGCUGCUGCUGGAGACGAAAGGAUGUGAAAAGCAUGGUAAAGAAAAAUUGCAUAAUUCUCACUUAGAAGAGGAAGAAAAAAAAAAUACAAUUAGAAUGAGAGGUAGCCAGUAGCCAGUAGCCGCCACCACCACCAGUCAAACUAUUUCGACACACUAAUACUGUAAUACAUAUCAAAAUGCAAUAUCGGUCCUAACAAAAUGAAAAUAAAAAUUCAUUACGAAUAUGUGUUAAAGAUAUCCCAAGUAUUGAUGUGAUUGAAAUAUUUGAGAUUGAAGUAGAAAUAAGACUCAAAAUCAAUUGAGAGGAAUAAAUGAGAAACUCUAAUACUAAUAAAAUAUAUUCACAAAUCCUAAUGCUAAUUAAAAUCACGGAUUAAAAAAAAUAAUAUGAAUGAAUUACAGGCGCAACUGUUUCAUUAAAAAAUUAAUAAAAUCGUGUAUUAAUAUUUUGUACACAUACAUUUUUCCAUAUAUAACUUUUGGUAAUUUAGUUUUCCACUUAUCAUUUUUACUCCAAAAAAAUAAUUGAGAAUAUUAUUUAUGUUUUGGUGCAAAAUAUUUAAACAACAUAAAAAUUUUCAGUUUAAUAAAUCUAAACAAUUCUCAAGUUAUAAAUGAAUUUAAUGGGUUUAAUUAGUAAAAAUACUAUUAUUUUAUAAAUUGGGUUUAGUAAUGGUAUAUUGGGUAUUUAAAUGGGUUUGUUGAGUAAAUUUUAAAAUUUUAAAGUUCAAGGGUAGGUUUAUUUAGUAAAUGGGUUAAUGCAGCAAUUUUCAAACUAAAUUUUUGGAAAAAGAGGCUAUUGAGUUUUUUUUAAGAAAAAGAAUUAAAAUGUUGAGAAUACCUUUAUUUAAUUUUAUAAUCUAAUUUUAAAAAAUUUACCCAAUAAAUUUUAUAAUUUUUUAUAAAAAUUAUCAUUAACAUCCAAACAGCUGAAGAUUAAAAAAAAAAAAAGAAGGGAACUGUACUAGCAAAAGUUAGAUUAACAAUAAAUUUAGUCCAAAGAAUAAAGUUAUAGCUAAAAAGUGCUCCUAUCCUAUUUUUCUCUAUUUUAACAAUAAUCUUCCAAUCCAUUUUACAAUGGACUUAACAAAUGGGCUCAAUCUCUAAACUUCAUUUUCUUUUGCUAACCCAUGGCCAUUAGCCAGAAAGCCUAAAACAAUUUUAGGAUCACAUGUGUAAAUGGAACCCCAAGAUUGAUCAAGAAUUAACAAGACAAGAUGAAGAGAUGAUCUUGUAACUAAGAAUGAAGAAAUUGAAUCAAGACAGUACUCUAGUAAAACCCAGAAAACAGAGCUUGAAGAAUCACGCACAAAGCAGUAAAUUUGUAAAACCAGAAUUGGAGCUUCACUUCUCAAGAUAGACGAAACAGGAUACAAUCUAGCUUUGGUCAACUUCGUUUGGCCACGUCAUAAAGUCUUCCCCCACAGUCUUUCCCGCCAAAACAGAAAAGCUUUAAAAGCCAUUUACCCUCCUGAGUUACUUGCUCCUAUUACAUCAAGGCCCUGUAAGUCUAUAUUUAUUAUUACAAAAGCACCCUUAAACCGAGAUUUGAGAUAUUUUUUCAAAGAUCGAAGCGCAUGAUUUCACGGCUAUGUUGCAUAGUGAAUUUUAGUGCUUUACAGUUAAGGGAUAGUUUAAAUUCAUUACAAAGCAUUCGCAAAGAAAUUGUUUUUAAAUGAAACUCCUCGUCUUGACCAGAUUAUUUAUUAUUAUUAAAAAAAAAAUGUUCAAAACUUAGCCAAAGUGAUAAACUCGUAAUUAUUCUACAAAGGGAACAAUUUUGAACGGUGGGAAAUUCCAUAAUUAUGCUUUUCUGUGAAUUAUUUUAAAUAAAAUUAUAAAAAUUAAUAUAAAAUUAUAAUAAUGAUAGAGCCACAAACUCUUGUACAAAUUUAUUUUAUACAAACUCAUGUGGCAUGAUAAGAUUGGUUGAAUUAAAUAUUACUUGGCCCACAUGAUUUGUUUUUAUUAUUUUAUAUUUUUAUUCAACCAAUAAAUUAAUACCACGUCAGUUUGUACAAAAUAAAUUUAUACAAAAAUUUGUGACUCGAUCAUCACUCAUAAAAUUAAUACCCGGUAAAGACUGUAGAGAGACAAGUGCCCCCAACAGAAUCAAGUGAAUAUGCCCCACAAAGAUCACAUGAUCAUUUCUGUUCUUUUUCUUUUUGAUAAUUUUAUCUGUGGUUUCAACUUUUAUGCUUUAUUGUCGUAUCCCGUUGAGGGCUCCGCUGCACCCAUUACAACUUACCCCUAAAUUGCCUCUUACUAACUAAACCGUUAGAUUUUAUGGAAGCACGUUCAAUGUUGAAUUUUAAUUAUGUCAUCGAAUUUCGUUUAGCUCCUUAAACUCCAUUUUAUUUGUAAUUUCUUCAUAAAAUAUUCAAAGCUUCAUCAAGCUCCUGAUGGACCAUCAUGGCUAGGGGUGCAUUAGAGCCGAACUGAAAUAUGUUAGUUCAGUUCAGUUUGGUCAGUUUAAAUCGAAUGGUUUAGAAUAUAUAAACUGAUCAAUUUUAAUUUUGAAUUGAACCGAACCGAAAAUCAAUUGGUUCACUAUUAGUAUUUUUGUAUAAACAAGAAUGAUUAGUGAUUAUAAUUAAAUUGGACUAAAAAAAAUUCAAACUAAGGUGAAAAAUAUCAAAUCUUAGACAAUAUAAAAAAAAAUAUUAAAUUUUUUUAACCGAAACGAACCGAAUUAUUUUGACUCAGUUUGGUUCAUAAUUUUUUAAACCAAACUGAUUUAUUCCCACCCCCUAAUCGUGGCUCUCUAUCUUUAGUCAUUCACCCUUGAGUUUGAUGCCAAUUGUUGGGUUUCAAAUGAUUAUACACUCAAAUGGAACCCUCAUAACAAAAAACUAACAGAAACAAUAAGAACACGAUGUUAAAAUCUUAAAUCAAUCGCAAAAAAGCACCCAAAACAGAUCGAUUAGGAACAGUUAAGAACAAAAGAUUUGAUGGUUCAAAAUCAUAAUGUGACCUACGUACUUUCAUCCAAGAAUCAUACUAAUUGCUUUACUAGUUGUCAAACUCAAGAUCACAAGAUUGUUUAUCACUCUACAUAAAAAUUUUUUUUAGAAGAAAUACUCCCCAAUUUUUCUCUUAAUAGUUAUGAAUCAACACCCCUAGGAAGCCUGUUGAUUUACUUUUCCUUAUUUCCUAUGAUCGGUUGCUGCAACUUAAUCCUUGCCAAGCUCCAACAUAGUCCAAACACUUUUAACGGUACAGGCAUAGUGCACCUUCAGAAACUUUACAGCUCCUCUUAAAACCUCAGGCAUCGUAAGCACAUUAAGCAGCCGACAACACUCUUCUUCAUUUCUUCAUUGUCAAUUUCCUUCUUGGAACAUUGCUCCAUUGAGAGUCUGCUAGAAUUGCUCCAAUUAUUAUUAUUAUUUAAAAAAAAAAGAAAACCCUGCAAUAAGAGUAUAAGACUAAGCAACGGUCCUUUUUUUUUCCCCAUUCUUGAACCUAAAGUAUUUGAGUAUGCAAAUUAAUAAAUAAAUUCAUUUAUUUUUAUUAAAAUUUUGUAAAAUUAUAAUUUUUAAUAAAAAUAAUUAUUAAAAUUUUGUAAAAUCUAAAUUUAGAAAAAUUCAGUUGGGCACCUCUAUUUGAGAUUUAUUUUUUAUUAAAUUUAGGGAUAUUUUUAUAAUUAUAAUUUUUAAUUUUAAAAGUUUUUAUAAGAUAAAAUAGUCUUUUAAUUUAUUUAGGGGGUAAAAUUGGUGUUUUAUUAAAAUUAUUUAAUUGUGUUAAUGCAAAAGUGGCUAUUUGAUACAAAUGUGAAAAGAAAGGUGGUGCAAAAUAUAUGUUAAAAUUUUAUAUUGGUUGGAUGAACAUAAGCUAAAAUAAAGGUGGUGCAAUGAUAAUUUCCCUAUCCUAAAACUUAAUUGACUUAAUUCUUACGGUGCAAGGAAGAGGUUUCCAAGUUUAAAUCUAAAGGCUUGUAUUUAAUUUGGGGUUGGGAAAGCACUGAGAAAUAAAUGUAACUAAGGAAAAAAAAAAAGUCACGCAGUCCAAAUAAGUAGAUAUAUUUAAUAUGAGGUGGGGAUGGGUGAACUGUAAUUCAGAAAAAAAUAAAAUAAAAUUUUAUAUAAAGUUGAGGGUGUGUUUUAAUGGUUUCUUAUGCUGCGUUUAUUUUUUGGACUAGAGUGAGAAUUCUAAAAAGUGAGAAUCCUAUGAUUAGGUGUGUGGAGUGGGAGUGGGAGUAUGGUAUUUACUUAGACUAAAUAAAAGUAUGGAUUGUCAAUCAGAAUCUCAAUUAUUUGUUACUUUGUCUUGGAUUGAGAGUAAAUUAUUUUAAAUUACAAUUUUAUCCUUAUGUAAAGAAUUAUAAUUUGUAAUUAAAAAAUUAAUAAAAAUAUAUUGGAAAAUAAAAUAAAUAUUUUAUUAUAUUUAUAAAAUAAUAAUAAUUAAUAAAAUUCUUAAUUAUGUAAAUCAUAAUUUUUUAUUAAUUUAAAUUUAAAUUAUGUGAAUAAAAUUAUUAAUAAUAGCAACACAAAUGAAACAUUAUUAUUAAUAAUAUAGUAUAAAAUUAAUAUUUUUUUAGAAUAAAAUAUUUAUUAUUAUUAAAUAAAUAAAUAAUAUUUAUUAAAAUUAAUGUUUAAUAUUAUUAAUUUAAAUAUAAUAUUUAUUUAUUUUUAUUUUAUUUUAUUAAAUUUAAUAAAAUAAAUAUGUUAUAAUUAUUAUUUUUAAUAAAUAUGAUAUUAUUUAUUUUAUUAAAUAUUAUUUAUUUAUUUUAAUUAUGAGGGUAAAAAUGGAAGAGGGGGAGUGGAUUCCCACUCCCACCUCCCCCCAUGGGAGUGGGAAUCCCACUCUCCCCUUAAAAAUGGUAAGUAAAUAUUAGAAUGGGAAGAAUCUACACUCUACACUUUCUAGAAAAUAAACACUACCUUUAUUUAAAUCGAUUUGUUGGAUAUUUAGCUAAAAUGAGAGUAGCUCUCUAAUAAUUAUUGCAUUAUUACAAACAUAUCCAACGGUUAUAAUAGCGCGCUGAAUCAAUGCUUCAGAAGGAUGACAGUCUGAGUGAAAAGGAAAUAAACGCUUUCAAUUGAAUUACUACCACUACACUCCAAUACUCUAUUAUUGUUUGUGUGCUUGCUUGUGGACCUUUUUACUUCUUACUAUCAUUAUUGAAUUCCAUUUCCAAAUUUUCAGCAUACUUUUGCUUUCUUUCAGUAUCUUCAGUUUCUCUUUUGCUUGCUAUCAAUUCAGUUUUCUUCUUGUGAAGAUCGAACGGAACCAUGGUUGCUGUGGGAGAGAUCUUACUCAACGCCUUCUUUCAGGUGUUGUUUGACAGGUUGGCUUCCCGUGAUUUGCUCAGCUUUGUCCGUCAACUUGGAGGCGGGGACGAUUCCGAGCUCAAGAAGUGGGAAAGAAAGCUGAAGAUGAUUCAGGCGGUGCUCAACGAUGCAGAGGAGAAGCAACUGACCGACGAGGCCGUGAAGAUGUGGCUGGACGAUCUCCAAGACUUGGCUUAUGACGCUGAGGACAUUCUUGAGGAGUUUGCUACUCAAGCUUUGGAAAGCAAGUUGAUGGCGAAAAAUCAGGAUCGCAUUGGCCAGGUUCUUAGUUUCAUACCGGCUAGUUUGAAUCCGAAUGCUAUUAUGUCCAAUUAUAGCAUGGGAUCCAAGAUUAAAGAUAUUACUAGCCGGUUGGAGCAACUCUGCCAAGAUAGAAUUGAACUUGGGCUGCAACGGAUUGCUGGAGGGGCAUCAUCAACUACUUCUGCUGCACAUCAGAGGCGAGACAGUUCGAGUGUCCCAACAGAACGUGAAGUAUUUGGAAGAGAAGAAGAUAAGGCCAAAAUUCUUGAUAUGGUAUUGACCGAUACCCCAAGUGAUCGUGCCAACUUUGUUGUAAUACCCAUUGUUGGCAUGGGCGGGAUAGGAAAAACAACUCUUGCCCGGGAGGUCUACAAUGACAAGGCCGUUGAAGAUUCCAAGUUUGAUGUAAAAGCAUGGGUUUGUGUCUCUGAUGUCUUUGAUAUUUUGGGCAUCUCAAAGGCACUUCUCCAGUCAAUCACCUCCGCAGCUAGUGAUCUCAAGACUUUAAAUGAGGUGCAGGUUCAACUGAAAAAAGCAGUUGACGGAAAAAGAUUCUUGCUGGUCUUAGAUGAUGUUUGGAACGAGAACUACAACUUGUGGGAAGACUUAAAAGCUCCGUUCCUGGAUGCUGCACCAAACAGCAAGAUGAUCGUCACCACACGCAAUUCAAGUGUUGCAUCAACAAUGAGACCCAUUGAACAUUUCAAUCUCAAGAGUCUGUUGGAUGACGAUUGCUGGUCCAUUUUUAUAAAGCAUGCAGUUGAAGGUGGAGAUCUUAACGAGGAUCAAAUUUCAGAAUCAUUCCGCAAGAAAGUUGUUGGCAAGUGUGGAGGCUUGCCUCUGGCAGCAAAAACUCUCGGGGGCCUUCUGCGUACGACGAGGCAUGAUGGGUGGGAUGGUAUAUUGGAUAGCAAAAUAUGGGAAUUACAUCAACAUAGCAGCAUUCUCCCUGUGUUAAGAUUGAGUUACCAUCAUCUUCCGUCUCAUUUGAAAAGAUGUUUUGCUUUUUGUGCCAUCUUUCCAAAAGAUUAUGAAUUCACUGAGAAGGAGCUGACUUUCUUAUGGAUGGCUGGAGGUAUUAUUCGACAGUCAAGAAACAAUGAGCAGCUGGAAGAUUUGGGCAGCAAGUGCUUUGGUGAUCUAGUGUCAAGGUCAAUUUUUCAACAAACAGCAAUCUCUGAUAGUUCUAAAUUUGUAAUGCACGACCUUAUCCAUGAUCUUGCUGAAUUGGUCUCUGGAGGAACCAUAUUUAGGUCAGAGGAGGCCAAUACUCUAUCAAGAAGAUUUGAAAGGGUUCGCCAUUCUUCCUAUACCCGUGAUUGGUAUGAUGGUAAAAAUAAGUUCGAGGUUUUCAAUGAAAUUGAACAUCUACGAACAUUCUUGCCGUUAAGAGGUAACUAUUGUACUAGUUACAUAACUCGACCGAUUCUAUCUGAUAUGCUGCCAAAGUUCAAAAGGUUGAGAACGCUAUCUUUACAAGGAUACUGUAUUGGUGAGUUACCAAUUCCAUUUGAAGAUUUGAGACUUUUAAGGUUCCUCAACCUUGCUGACACUGACAUAAGAAGUUUACCUGACUCAACAUGCAAAUUGCUGAACUUGGAAAUUCUGAUAUUAAGAAAUUGUUCCCGUUUGAUAAAGCUUCCGCAGAAAAUGAGGAAUUUGAUCAAUUUAUGCCAUCUGGAUAUAAGAGGUGCGAAGUUGCUGAAGGAGAUGCCAGUCGGAAUGAAAGAGCUGAAGAAGCUUCAAACAUUGUCCAAUUUUAUUGUAGGCAAGGGUGAAUCCGCAUCUGGUUUGGAAGAUUUAAAAAGUUUAAACCUUCUUUGUGAUGAACUUUGCAUUGCUGGAUUAGAGAAUGUGAAUAAUCCACAGAAUGCAAGAGAAGCCGCAUUAUGUGAGAAGCACAAUCUUGAAGCAUUGACUCUAACAUGGUGGCCUCAAUUUGACAGUCCUCGAGGUGUAGUAGUGGAAGAGAAUGUACUUGACGUUUUGCAGCCUCAUAAAUGUAUAAAAAAGGUGGCAAUCAGGAACUAUGGUGGUGCAAGAUUUCCACCUUGGAUAGGAGAUACUUUAUUCUCCAAGAUAGAGCUCCUUGAAUUGAAGAACUGUGACAAUUGUGUGUCUUUGCCAUCGCUUGGCCUAUUGAGUUCACUUAAACACCUUGCUGUUAAAGGGCUGAAGAAACUAAAAAGCAUAGAGUCUGAGGUUUAUGGGGAGGGUUUGUCAAUGCCUUUUCCAUCGUUGGAGGUUCUAAGUUUUGAGAAUUUGCCUGAAUGGGAGUAUUGGGACACCAAUAUCAGAGGAAAUGUGCUCGUUGAAAUGUUUCCUCGUCUCCAUAAACUUUCCAUUGUGGAAUGUCCAAAACUCUCUGGGGAACUGCCUGAGCUCCUGCCCUCCUUGGAGACACUUGUUGUUAUUAAAUGUGAAAAUUUGGUAGUUCCAUUGUCUCGCUAUCCGAUGCUCUGCAGAUUAGAAGUUGAUGAGUGCAAGGAACUAGCGUGCGGGACUCCAAUUGAUUUCAAGUUGAUAAAGUCUGUGACUAUUUCAAAUAGUUCCUUAGACAUGGAUGGAUGCAAGGGGAUGCUAUACGAUGGUCCAGCUAGCUCUUCACUGCCAAAGCCCACGAUUACUACAAAUGUUUUGGAGUUUGGAAAAUUAUUGAAGCCUGGAUUUCAGAUAUUAGAAACGUUGGUAAUUGGCAAUUCUGAACAGCUCAAGUCAUGGAGGCAGCAUGGGGAUUUUCUAGAAGAAUAUAUGGUCGCUCGCCAAAGGUUUAAGAAACCAGUACAAGGGCUGAAUAUGCUCGCUUCCCCUGAAGAGGUAACAAUUGAAGAAAGUUGCGUACGUCUUGUUUUGUUUCCAGAGAUCAAUUUCUUUCCCAGAAAUCUGCGCUCUCUUCUAAUUAACAACAACACUGCUUUCAAAUCCUUACCCGAGGAAAUGAUGGAAAACAAUUCACAACUCGAAAGGUUGUAUAUCAGAGAUUGCGACUCUCUAACAUUCAUCGCAAGACGGAGGCUACCAGCAUCUCUUAAAAGGCUUGAGAUAGAAAAUUGUGAGAAAUUGCAACGUCUGUUCGAUGAUGAAGAGGAUGCUUCUUCUUCUUCUUCUCCUUCAUCCUCGUCUUCCCCAGUGAUGCUGCAACGCCUGAAUAUAAAGAACUGCCCAGAGCUCACCAGUUUAUCAUCGGGUGUCCAAUUCCUUGAGGCGCUUGAAGGCCUCGAGAUAUGGGAUUGUCCAAAGCUGGAGUCAAUACCGGAUGGCCUGCACAAUCUUAAAUGUUUACAGAGCAUUCAUAUAGAUGGAUGUCCAAGUCUUGUUUCCUUGCCCAAUGACAUGCACAAACUGAACUCUCUUCGAGAUUUAAACAUACGGGCGUGUCCAAUAUCGUUUCCAGAAGAAGGUUGUCCUACCAAUCUAACAUCACUUACACUUGGAUAUGUCGAAAUGUAUAAGACACUCGUCCAGUGGGGGUUGCACAGGCUUACCUCUCUUAGAAGCCUCGACAUUUUUGGAUGUGAUGAUGAAGCAGAGUGUUUUCCAGACGAGGAGAUAGGAAUGACGCUGCCCACCUCUCUCACUCAUCUGCACCUUUUUGAUUUCGAAAAAUUGAGAUCUCUGUCUUCGACGGGUUUUCAGAGCCUCACCUCUCUUCAAUCUUUGGAUAUCUGGUUUUGCCCAAAUCUCACAUCAUUCCCAAAGGUGGGCUUUCCAUCCUCACUUGUGGAAUUACGCAUUAGAGAUUGUCCAAAGCUUAAAAAAGCGUGCAAAAGAGAUCAAGGAAAAGAGUGGCCCAAAAUUGCUCACAUCCCUUGCGUUGAGAUAGACGAUAAAUUCAUAUACCAUCCAAAAUCAGAGGUGUAGAGUGUAUUAUUAAGGUCAGUUGAUUUAUGUUAUCCACCAUAACAAGCUCCUCCUUUUUUUUUAAAUAAUAAUUUUGCAGUCACUCGCGUGAUUCCGUUUUCACAAGUCAGAUUGUAUGUUGAGGCUAUUUGCCUUUUAAUCGCAGAUUAAAUUAUAACACUUAUCUUAAAAUUUAAUACCAUAGACAGAUAGACGAUUUUUUAAUCCAAAGUUUUUUUAUUCACUUCAGUUAGCAUUUUUUUUUUCCCCAAAUCAUGCAAGCCGAGAGUUUCAAUCAACAGAAUUUUAUUCACUCAUUGACUUUUCAACUGCUGUGGUUAUUUAUGGGUGAAAGAUAAAUUUCUUAGAUGGUAGAUAUAUCGACAUUUUAGAUUUCAGAUAUUUGUCACCAAUUUCAUUCCUUUUUUUAAAAUUUUUUUUAAGCAAGUUUGACUAAUUUUAACCAGAAUUGGAGUAUAAUAUUUUGGAGCAAGCAUACUUGAAAUUUCUGUCUUCAAUUUUUUUGAUGCUUUUUUAAUUUUGAUCUAGUAAAAAUACAUAGCCUUCACCGGCAGGAUUCUAGUCUUGGCUUUCACCUCUCUAACUCAUCUGUCCCUAUUGGGAUUCCAGAAAUUUAAAUUUCUGUCUUCAAUGGGUUUUCAAAGCCUCACCUCUCUUCGAUUUUUGUGGAUUGGGAAUUGCACAAAUCUCACAUCAUUUCCCGAGGUCGAGGAAAAGAGCGGCCCAAACUAUCAGCGGUGUUGAUUCUCUUAUUAAGGUCAGCUGAUUUCUAUUAUCCACUCUGACAAUCUCCUAUUAGUGUUUUUUUUUUAAAAAAUUUGCAGUUCUGUAUAAUUGAAAUGCCACUCACUUGUUUCCUUCUUCACAGGUCAGAUAGUAUGUUAAAGCUAUUAGUGCUGCCUCAUAGGUUGAUUACUCACAGAUGAAAUCAUAACUUUUAUCUUAAAAUUUAAUAGCAUACACAGAUAGACGAUUUUUAGUCCAAAGUUUUUUUUAUUCACUUCAAUCAAAAUUUUAGAUUGCAGAUUUUUGUCGAGUAUUUUCAUUCCAAUUUUUUCAUUUUUUAUUUUAAACCAGAAUUGGAGUAUAAAAUUUUGGAGCGCGCAUACUCUGAUGCAUGCAAUUAACUGUUUUUAAUCGUUGGAUUUUGAAAUUAAUGAUGGUAAGAUGUGUACUUAUUCUUUCUUCCAACAACCUUGCCUUCUUUCUUCGGUCGCAUAUCUAAUGAAUAUUUCUCUGUUUAGUUAAGGAUGAAUGCUUGGAGUGGGGUACUUGGUAACAUUUCUGCCUUAGAUGAAUCCUUGAAGAAAUGCCCGCAGUUCCUGAGACCAAAUACAGGUCUGAUUCAAAACAGCACCUUUCCCAGAAAAUAUGAUCCAAGGCAAAGUCAUGUUCUGAUAAUGUUUCCUUAAGUACUAAGUUGCAAGGAAACUUGAUUCAUUAACUACAGUUUUUUAUUUUUAGGACCUUGUAUCUGAAAGGUUCAGUGUUUUUUUUUUUCAAAUUUAUUGUUCAGAUCUCAGAGGAGUAUAUGGUUUAGAUUACAAAACACCCAUGAUUAAUUUCAUUUUUUUUUUAAUUUCAGGGAGAAGAAGUGGUCAGUUUCAAUCCGGAAUUGGAAUAUGGCAAUUUGGUUCAAGCAAACACACCUGGUCACUUGGUCAGUGGUCACUUGGUCAGCGAACCUGAACUUUACGCAGUUUUUUCAACUCAGUGAUUUUUGGAACGCAUAUUGGUGUAAGGAAAUCAAAAGAAAUUUAUGCAUUGUCAAAUUCUGAUAUUUGCUAUAUAUUAUACAUUCUAAAGUUUCUCCAGUUUGUUCUCAGAUUACCAUCAUUUUUUGCUUUCACCAACCAAACAAAAACAAAAUGAGUGGCUUUCCGGUGGAUAUUUAAUCGGAGGUAUGACUGGAUUUUUUUCACUUCUGUAAAUCUUGCAUUUUAAACUGGCAAAUUUAACUUUAAUUUUAAUAGGACUUUGUUGGUACCUUGUGUUCCAGAAACUAGAAAGAUGUGUAGUUUUCAGAUAAAGGGGCUUGUAAAUUCUCUAGUAAGAAUCCAAUAAUUUGCUUUUGCACGUUCAUUUUAUUUGUGGAUCCUUGCAUCUGAAUUUGAUCAAUCCAAAAGGAAUUGCUUUUAGACAGAAGAAGAAUAGCAGUACCUAGCCUAUGACAUAGUAUAUGGACCUGCAAACCUGAAACUAUUAGUUUGAGGUAAAAAAUUCAUGACCCUCACAUGUUAACUUCUUCUAGUUACUUUCAUGAAAAACACAUUUAAGAAAUUUGCAAUUUUUUGUUAGUUUCGUAUCCGAUGUUGUUUUCUGUUUUAGCAUUUGUAGAAUCUACUGUAUUAUAUUUUGGCAGUUGCAGUAUCUGAGGUAUGUUUUGCAUUUAACUUGCUUUGUUUGUUUUGCUUGUGACUUAAGAACACCAAUAUUUGCCAGAGAUUUAGAGAAGCAUAUCAAGAUGCUUGGCAAACUUGACAAACUUCAAGAUCCUCCAUUCUUCACAACGCAAAACUUGUGAGUACACCUAUGCCCGCAAUUAUUGUGAAAUGCUUGCAAUUUUGAUGCACUGAAAUGGUUUGUUGAUGCAAAGGUUUAAACUUUUAAGAUUCACCCUGCAGGGUAGUUGGAUGCUGUAUAAUCGAAAAGCGACCAACAUCAAGAAUUAUGACUCCAAGACCGGGUUUGCAUUAAUUCAAUCAGCUGAAAUCAUGAUGCAAAUGACACUAUCAGCUGGACUUAGAGACCAGUCAGAUCAAUCAUCCUUUUAUCAACAGUUAAUGUCAUGAUGGUGGCUAUCGGAGGAAACAAAGGAUGUGUCGGAAUCAAUAUGAACAGUGAGAAGAAUGAGAGGAGCUUUGAUUACAAGUAGGCUCAAUGAACUCAUGCUGGUAAGUGGUAAUUAAAGAAAUUUGUACGCUUAGUAGAGUUUCAAUAUUUUCUGUUUGGGAUAUAGUUGAUAAUUUGAUACUCUGAUUAAGAAGCCUGAUUAUAGUAGCUGACUUUUUUUUUGUGGUUUGCUGUUGUUUAUUCUUUCGAUUAAUUUCAACAUUAGGUUGAUCUGUUGAAGAACAAACUUGGGUUUGAUUAUGCUUUAACUACAAGGAAGAGCCAGGCUUGGAUGCAGGCGUUCAGCUUUUAAUGGGUAAGAACAUAUGUAUGCUUUAACCAUGUUUCUCACUUAUUACAAUGCAUGCAUUGAAGGCAUCUGAGCUGAUCCUGAAAAUGUGAUGGAAAUACUUCUCUGUUUACAUAAAACAGGACAAGAGAUCUCUGAUCAUGCCUGAGAAUUCGUUGCAUUUAAAAUUUCUACCAUUGCCAAAAAUAGAAUAAACUAGGGAUAGAUUAGCUUAAGACUCAAUUUUGAGAAGGAAGUUUGCACAUGCAGCCUAAAAAAUCAUGUCCGUGUUGUAUACUUGUAUGUUUCUUUGGGAAAUGAAAGAUUCUGUGUGUUCUUUUGUUUCAAGUUUGCUGAAAUCACAUUUGUUUUCUUAGAUGCUUUUGGGAAGGUAACAACAUCAAUUUCAUAAAUGCUGGGGUAAGAUGCAUCACGCAGUGCUACUCAACAUGAGAAUUCCCGGCCGCAUUACCUGUAUGUUGAGUGAUCGCACAGUACAACCUUUAGAAGCUUGUAAGGAGUAGACAACUAGAUGCGAAUAGUUUCAAUAUGGAUUCGCAUCAAAUGAUCUCUUGCCAGUGAUUACUAUAACCCCUAUCCCAAAAUUCUUGGCAUUGGUCAUACCAAUAAUGAAGUAUUGUGUACGUUGAAGACAUAGCUCAAGGCCUUGCGAAAGCUCCGUCAGCCUUUGUAUUGGAAAACAGUUGGUUGUAGUUGCUUCUGAGUGAUAUUAUUAAUAGAUACUGUAAAAAUGAACUGUGCCACUCAUUUUCAGAGCCCUGUUAAGAUGUGUUGGUAAUGUGUUUGAAGGUUGUUUGAUUUAUGUUGUAUUCAGCUACAAAUCAAAGAUUCAGAACAUGGUUAUGUUACUGGUUUCCAAAUCAAAAAAAUGCCUUGUGAUGUUAGUGUUCAUUUUUUUCACAGGAGAUCAGGUUCCCUGUUGAUGAAUCAAGAAGGCAAACGCAUCCAUGUCUUAAGUUCAAAUGUGUCUCUUCUAUUUUCUAUUACUGACUCCUUUAUUUUGAUUUCUUCAUUGUAAUGGAAUUGGUUUUUUAUUCCAAAUUAGUCAAAACCUCCUAGAGUCAUUAAGUUCUGUUAGCAUUUGAAGAUAGAACUAGAACUAAAUGAUUGACUGGAUUAAAUUCCGAUAAAGAAUUAAGUUAUAUAUUUAGAGAUAUUAUGUUUUUUUUUUUUUCAUUUGUUCAAUUUGGUUAGUGGUGAUUUCUUAAAGACUCAAUCCAUGUGCGUUUAUGCAUUUUUCUUUUGCCUUAAUUUCUGUUUCUUGGGGAGUUUAUACAGAUUCUUAUUUUAUGCUUCACAUGCCACAUGAAAGAUCGAAGCCUUUUGUGUGAUUAGAACUGACUUGCAUCACAGUAACUUUAAAUCACUGCGACAUUUUUAUAAUAACAGUCUGAGAUCUCCCUGCAGGAUUCAAAGCAUUUUAUUUUAUAUUAAACUCCUUUACGUGGGUUUGGACACUACCACAAGUUCUUUAAAUACUAAAACGAUUUUAAGUCUUUUGUAUCAUCUGAUUUAAAUACAUGAAAGCACUCGUGGCUGCAAAAAUACAGUUGGGGCUAUUUCUAAAGUCUUCAACAGCAUUUUCUUUUUAACCUUUAUCCUCAUGGUUGUUUUUGCAGUUGUUCUUUAAGAAAACAUUUAAAAGGUUCUCUUUAUGGAUUUUUGAAAAUAAUUUUAACAUGAGCAAUUUUCAGAAGCACUUUAGAUGUCUGGCAUUUAGGAAAUUUUAUUUCGGUGUCACAUAAAAUACUUAGGAAGUUAAAUUUAUUUAUUUAUGAGCAUGUGCCAGUGCCCAGUGGCAUCCUCUUCACUUGUGAUAGUCAAAUGUAUUAUACGAUACAAUAUUAGCUUGACUGUAGCACAGAGGAGAAUAGGGUUGGUGUUGGUCUGAACCAGCUUAUGUAACAGCUGCCAAAGGAUAAUUUAAUUGUACUUUGAGUAAAGCUUUUGCGAAUUAAACAAGUGAUAAUUUGUUUUUAUUAAGAAAAACUUAAGGAAUUAGGCUAUUUUAACUGACCAAAUUACACAUUAAAAAUUCAUUUACAAAAAUAGUUUUUAGUUAUUAAAAUAUUCCUAAAUUAAAUUAUAAUUAUGGACACUAAAAUAUUUUUUUUAUAUUUUACUCUUUGAAACUGUCUUUAUAUUCGAUAUUAUAUUUUUUUCUUAAACUCUAAAUUGAUUUUUUUUUUUGAUUAAUUUUAAAACACCUAUAAAGUGAUUCAUAUUGAUUUUAUACUAACAAACUAUUAUAGCACAUUCGAAAAAUAAUUAAAUCGUUCUUAUUUACAUAGUGAAAAUGCAAAUAGCUCGUUCAAAUGUUAAGGAAUUGGAGAGCUGCUGCUGGAGAUGAAAGAUGUGAAUUAAACAUCAGAAAAAAAAUUAUGUUUACUAUCUUGCCAGACCAAGCACCGAAAAGCAUCGUAAAGAAAAAUUAGAUAAUUUAGAAGAUAAAGCACGUGGAAUGGAGGCAGAAAGCAAGUAAUGAUAACUCUUUCGACAAACUAAUAUAUACCAAAAUGCAAUAUCAAAAAUGAAAAUAAAAAUUCAUUACGAAUACGUGUUAAAGAUAUCCCAAGUAUAGAUGUGACUGAAAUAUUUGAGAUUGAAGAAGAAUUAAGACUCAAAAUCAAUUGGGAGGAAUAAAUGAGAAACCUCAAUACCAAAAAAUACACGCGCAAAUCCUAAUACUAAUUGUAAUUGCAGAUAAAUAGCAUAAUACGAAUAAAUUCCAUGGGCAACUAUUUCAUUGAGAAAUUAAUUAAAUCGUGUAUUAAUAUUUUGUAUACAUAUAUUUUUCUAUAUAUGACUUUCGGUAAUUUAAUUUUCCACUUAUCAUUUUUACUCCAAAAAAAUAAUUGAGAAUAUUAUUUAUGUUUUGGUGCAAAAUAUUUGAACAAUAUACAAAUUUUCAGUUUAAUAAAUCUAAACAUCUAUUAAGUUAUAAAUGAAUUUAAUGGGUUUAAUUAAUAAAAUUACUAUUAUUAUAUAAAUUGGAUUUAGUAAUGGUACAUUGGGUGGGUUUGUUGAGUAAAUUUUAAAAUUUUGAAAUUUAAGGAUGGGUUUAUUUAGUAAAUGAGUUAAGGGAGUAGUUUGUUGGGAUUCACAUAACGCCACCAAAUUCAAAUGUAAAAUUUAUGGAAAAAGAAGCUAUUGAGUUAUUCUUUUUAAAAAAAGAAUUAAAAUGUCAAGAAUACCUUUAUUUAAUUUUAUAAUCUUAUUUUAUAGUCAUAUUUUAUUUCCACCUUAACAUAAUUUUAAAAAACCUUAACUAAUAAAUUCUAUAUUUUUUUUAUAAAAGUUAUCAUUAAUAUCCAAACGGCUAAAGAUUUUUUUUUUUAAAAAAAAAGAAACUAUGCUUACAAAAGUUGUAUACAUUAACAAUAAAUUUAGUCCAAAGAAUAAAGUUAUUCCAAACAAGCACUCCUAUUCAUCUUGCUAAUGAAUCAAGAUGACUGAAUCCAUUCUCUAAGCCAAAUCUAUUUUCACUUCUAGGUCAGAAAUUGUCAUUAAAAAAGUGUUUGAUAAAAUAUGCUCUGGGAACACUAAUUCGUCAGAUGGUUACUCCAAGUUUAUGAAAUCAAUGGGGUUUCAUCAUAUUCAUAACAUUCUUCUUUAAUGUCUAUUCUAACAAAGAAAUUACUAGAAAACUUUUACUAGAAAAACUAACCACAAUUCAUCAUUCAUUUAUAUCUUAAGUAAGCGUAAGAUUUUAUCAUUAAAAUCUCAUCAUGAAAAAACUCAUGGGAGAAAAACUAUAAAAAUUGAAGAAAAAAGAGUAUGGCGUGCAUGUAAAUUAUAUCGAUUUUAUCUAUAUGACAAAUAAGACUCUCUUUUACAAUGGCACGGAUGCUUCAUUGAGUAAUCAUGAUUCUUGCUGGUAGUGCUUUGUUGUAUCAAUCUGCUAGCUAUUCAGCUUUCUUUCUUUCUUUCUUCUUUUUAUUUUUUUUGUUUUCAAAUAGCUUGUGGUUGUAGAAAUAUUUCAAUUAAACUAUACUUAAGUACUUAUUUGGUAUAACUUCUUUACUAGCCAAAAGAUUUUUUUUUUGGUUUUUUAUAAUUUAAUUAUACUUUAACUAGAGUUUUUGGGAUUAAACAAGUGAUAAUUUCUCUCUGUUAAGAAAAACUCAAACGGUAGGGUUAUCUCAAUCCACCAAACUAUUUAUUAAAAAUCCACUUAUGAAAAUAAUUUUUAAUUAUUAGAAUGCCUCUAAAUUAAAUUACAAUUAUAGACACUAAAAUAUAGUAAAAAAAAUUUUUUUUUACUCUUUAAAACUGUCUUUACAUUCGAUAUCAUAUCUUUUUCUUAAAAUCUAAAUUGAUUUUUUUUUUAUUAAUCUCAGAACACAUAUGAAGUGAUUCAUAUUGGUUUUAUACUAACAAACUAUCAUAGCACAUUCGAAAAUAAUUAACUCGUUCUUAUUUGCAUAGUGAAAAGGCAAAUAGUUCAUCCAAAUGUUAAAGAAUUGGAGAGCUGCUGCUGGAGAUGAAAGAUGUGAAAAGCAUGGUAAAGAAAAAUUACAUAAUUCUCACUUAGAUGAGGAAGAAAAAAAAAAGAAUACAAUUAGAAUGAGAGGUAGCCAAUAGCCACUAGCCGCCGCCACCGCCACCAGUGAAACUAUUUCACAUAAUAGAAGAUAAAGCACGCGUAAUGGAGGCAAAAAGCAAUUAAUGAUAACUCUUUUCGACACACUAAUACAUAUCAAAAUGCAAUAUCGGUCCUAACAAAAUGAAAAUAAAAAUUCAUUACGAAUAUGCGUUAAACAUAUCCCAAGUAUUGAUGAUGUGAUUGAAAUAUUUGAGAUUGAAGUAUAAAUAAGACUCAAAAUUAAUUGAGAGGAAUAAAUGAGAAACUCUAAUACUAAUAAAAUACAUUCACAAAUCCUAAUGCUAAUUAAAAUCACGGAUUAAAAAAAAUAAUAUGAAUGAAUUACAGGCGCAACUGUUUCAUUAAGAAAUUAAUUAAAUCGUGUAUUAAUAUUUUGUACACAUACAUUUUUCCAUAUAUAACUUUUGGUAAUUUAGUUUUCCACUUAUCAUUUUACUCCAAAAAAAUAAUUGAGAAUAUUAUUUAUGUUUUGGUGCAAAAUAUUUAAACAACGUAUAAAUUUUCAGUUUAAUAAAUCUAAACAUUUCUCAAGUUGUAAAUGAAUUUAAUGGGUUUAGUUAGUAAAAAUGCUAUUAUUAUAUAAAUUGGGUUUAGUAAUGGUAUAUUGGGCAUUUAAAUGGGUUUGUUGAGUAAAUUUUAAAAUUUUAAAAUUUAAGGGUGGGUUUAUUUUAGUAAAUGGGUUAAGGCAGCAAUUUCCCAAACUAAAAUUUUUAGAAAAAGAGGCUAUUUAGUUUUUUUUUUUAAAAAGAAUUAAGAUGUUGAGAAUACCUUUAUUUACUUUUAUAAUCUUAUUUUAAAAAAUUUACCCAAUAAAUUUUAUAAUUUUUUACAAAAAUUAUCAUUAACAUCCAAACAGCUAAAGAUUAAAAAAAAAAAAAAAGAAGGGAACUGUACUAGCAAAAGUUAGAUUAACAAUAAAUUUAGUCCAAAGAAUAAAGUUAUAGCUAAAAAGUGCUCCUAUCCUAUUUUUCUCUAUUUUAACAAUAAUCUUCCAAUCCAUUUUACAAUGGACUUAACAAAUGGGCUCAAUCUCUAAACUUCAUUUUCUUUUGCUAACCCAUGGCCAUUAGCCAGAAAGCCUAAAACAAUUUUAGGAUCACAUGUGUAAAUGGAACUCCAAGAUUGAUCAAGAAUUAACAAGACAAGAUGAAGAGAUGAUCUUGUAACUAAGAAUGAAGAAAUUGAAUCAAGACAGUACUCUAGUAAAACCCAGAAAACAGAGCUUGAAGAAUCACGCACAAAGCAGUAAAUUUGUAAAACCAGAAUUGGAGCUUCACUUCUCAAGAUAGACGAAACAGGAUACAAUCUAGCUUUGGUCAACUUCGUUUGGCCACGUCAUAAAGUCUUCCCCCACAGUCUUUCCCGCCAAAACAGAAAAGCUUUAAAAGCCAUUUACCCUCCUGAGUUACUUGCUCCUAUUACAUCAAGGCCCUGUAAGUCUAUAUUUAUUAUUACAAAAGCACCCUUAAACCGAGAUUUGAGAUAUUUUUUCAAAGAUCGAAGCGCAUGAUUUCACGGCUAUGUUGCAUAGUGAAUUUUAGUGCUUUACAGUUAAGGGAUAGUUUAAAUUCAUUACAAAGCAUUCGCAAAGAAAUUGUUUUUAAAUGAAACUCCUCGUCUUGACCAGAUUAUUUAUUAUUAUUAAAAAAAAAUGUUCAAAACUUAGCCAAAGUGAUAAACUCGUAAUUAUUCUACAAAGGGAACAAUUUUGAACGGUGGGAAAUUCCAUAAUUAUGCUUUUCUGUGAAUUAUUUUAAAUAAAAUUAUAAAAAUUAAUAUAAAAUUAUAAUAAUGAUAGAGCCACAAAUUCUUGUACAAAUUUAUUUUAUACAAACUCAUGUGGCAUGAUAAGAUUGGUUGAAUUAAAUAUUACUUGGCCCACAUGAUUUGUUUUUAUUAUUUUAUAUUUUUAUUCAACCAAUAAAUUAAUACCACGUCAGUUUGUACAAAAUAAAUUUAUACAAAAAUUUGUGACUCGAUCAUCACUCAUAAAAUUAAUACCCGGUAAAGACUGUAGAGAGACAAGUGCCCCCAACAGAAUCAAGUGAAUAUGCCCCACAAAGAUCACAUGAUCAUUUCUGUUCUUUUUCUUUUUGAUAAUUUUAUCUGUGGUUUCAACUUUUAUGCUUUAUUGUCGUAUCCCGUUGAGGGCUCCGCUGCACCCAUUACAACUUACCCCUAAAUUGCCUCUUACUAACUAAACCGUUAGAUUUUAUGGAAGCACGUUCAAUGUUGAAUUUUAAUUAUGUCAUCGAAUUUCGUUUAGCUCCUUAAACUCCAUUUUAUUUGUAAUUUCUUCAUAAAAUAUUCAAAGCUUCAUCAAGCUCCUGAUGGACCAUCAUGGCUAGGGGUGCAUUAGAGCCGAACUGAAAUAUGUUAGUUCAGUUCAGUUUGGUCAGUUUAAAUCGAAUGGUUUAGAAUAUAUAAACUGAUCAAUUUUAAUUUUGAAUUGAACCGAACCGAAAAUCAAUUGGUUCACUAUUAGUAUUUUUGUAUAAACAAGAAUGAUUAGUGAUUAUAAUUAAAUUGGACUAAAAAAAAUUCAAACUAAGGUGAAAAAUAUCAAAUCUUAGACAAUAUAAAAAAAAAUAUUAAAUUUUUUUAACCGAAACGAACCGAAUUAUUUUGACUCAGUUUGGUUCAUAAUUUUUUAAACCAAACUGAUUUAUUCCCACCCCCUAAUCGUGGCUCUCUAUCUUUAGUCAUUCACCCUUGAGUUUGAUGCCAAUUGUUGGGUUUCAAAUGAUUAUACACUCAAAUGGAACCCUCAUAACAAAAAACUAACAGAAACAAUAAGAACACGAUGUUAAAAUCUUAAAUCAAUCGCAACGGUCCUUUUUUUUCCCCAUUCUUGAACCUAAAGUAUUUGAGUAUGCAAAUUAAUAAAUAAAUUCAUUUAUUUUUAUUAAAAUUUUGUAAAAUUAUAAUUUUUAAUAAAAAUAAUUAUUAAAAUUUUGUAAAAUCUAAAUUUAGAAAAAUUCAGUUGGGCACCUCUAUUUGAGAUUUAUUUUUUAUUAAAUUUAGGGAUAUUUUUAUAAUUAUAAUUUUUAAUUUUAAAAGUUUUUAUAAGAUAAAAUAGUCUUUUAAUUUAUUUAGGGGUAAAAUUGAUGUUUUAUUAAAAUUAUUUAAUUGUGUUAAUGCAAAAGUGACUAUUUGAUACAAAUGUGAAAAGAAAGGUGGUGCAAAAUAUAUGUUAAAAUUUUAUAUUGGUUGGAUGAACAUAAGCUAAAAUAAAGGUGGUGCAAUGAUAAUUUCCCUAUCCUAAAACUUAAUUGACUUAAUUCUUAUGGUGCAAGGAAGAGGUUUCCAAGUUUAAAUCUAAAGGCUUGUAUUUAAUUUGGGGUUGGGAAAGCACUGAGAAAUAAAUGUAACUAAGGAAAAAAAAAAAGUCAUGCAGUCCAAAUAAGUAGACAUAUUUAAUAUGAGGUGGGGAUGGGUGAACUGUAAUUCAGAAAAAAUAAAAUAAAAUUUCAUAUAAAGUUGAGGGUGUGUUUUAAUGGUUUCUUAUGCUGCGUUUACUUUUUGGACUAGAGUGAGAAUUCUGAGAAGUGGGAAUCCUGUGAUUAGGUGUGUGGAGUGGGAAUGAGAGUAGGGUAUUUACUUAGACUAAAUAAAAAUAUGGAUUGUCAAUCAGAAUCUCAAUUAUUUGUUACUUUGUCUUGGAUUGAGAGUAAAUUAUUUUAAAUUACAAUUUUAUCCUUAUGUAAAGAAUUAUAAUUUGUAAUUAAAAAAUUAAUAAAAAUAUAUUGGAAAAUAAAAUAAAUAUUUUAUUAUAUUUAUAAAAUAAUAAUAAUUAAUAAAAUUCUUAAUUAUGUAAAUCAUAAUUUUUUAUUAAUUUAAAUUUAAAUUAUGUGAAUAAAAAUUAUUAAUAAUAGCAACACAAAUGAAACAUUAUUAUUGAUAAUAUAGUAUAAAAUUAAUAUUUUUUUAGAAUAAAAUAUUUAUUAUUAUUAAAUAAAUAAAUAAUAUUUAUUAAAAUUAAUGUUUAAUAUUAUUAAUUUAAAUAUAAUAUUUAUUUAUUUUUAUUUUAUUUUAUUAAAUUUAAUAAAAUAAAUAUGUUAUAAUUAUUAUUUUUAAUAAAUAUGACAUUAUUUAUUUUAUUAAAUAUUAUUUAUUUAUUUUAAUUAUGAGGGUAAAAAUAAAAGAGGGGGAGUGGAUUCCCACUCCCACCUCCCCCCAUGGGAGUGGGAAUCCCACUCUCCCCUUAAAAAUGAUAAGUAAACACUAGAAUGGGAAGAAUCCACACUCUACACUUUCUAAAAAAUAAACACUACCUUAAUUUAAAUUGAUUUGUUGGAUAUUUAGCUAAAAUGAGAGUAGCUCUCUAAUAAUUAUUGCAUUAUUACAAACAUAUCCAACGGUUAUAUAUGCUUGCCUGUGGAAAUAAAAGUCCCAAGUUUCUUUGAAAGGUAAGCUAGUGUGAAUGUUUUCAUCCGUGCAACUUACUUGAUGAAUGAAGUUUUCAUCCCUGACCUUGAUGUUUCUGGUGGCUACAAUCAUUUCAGCUGAUCUAUUCCAUUUUGUUAAGGUGAGAAUUUAGAGUGGCUUUAACUGUUAGCAAAUAGCCUAAUGUAAGACUUGAUCAACUUCCUGCCCUGUUGUAUGCUUAUGAAUUUUGAUAGAGUUAUGAGUUUGCAGAAGCUACUGUAUUAUAUGUUGUUAGAGGCUGUAAAAAUGAGGCAGAUCAAACACACAUUUAAAUUUCAAUGACAAUUUACUAGAAGUAAAUUUCCUAUGACCCUCCAGGUGACUAAUCAAUGAGAACUUGACAAUAACAAAAGAAAGUGUAUGAGCUUUGCAGGCGGGCACGCCAAUCUUGACUGCAUGGCACCAUCCGCCAUUUGCAAGUGAAUAUCAUUAUUGUUUAAUCAACAUGGUGGAGUCCACUGGGACCACACCACAUGGUCAGUCUUAUCUCUAUUCCUCAAUUUUCAGUAUUCCAUACAUCAAAACAAUUUCAGUUUUGUUAUCAAUUAUAAUUUCAUUGUUGGAGACGAUUCUGAUUCCUUUCUUUCUGACAAAACGGAACCAUGGUUGCUGUGGGAGAGAUCUUACUCAACGCCUUCUUUCAGGUGUUGUUUGACAGGUUGGCUUCCCGUGAUUUGCUCAGCUUUGUCCGUCAACUUGGAGGCGGGGUCGAUUCCGAGCUCAAGAAGUGGGAAAGAAAGCUGAAGAUGAUUCAGGCGGUGCUCAACGAUGCAGAGGAGAAGCAACAGACUGACGAGGCUGUGAAGAUGUGGCUGGACGAUCUCCAAGACUUGGCUUAUGACACUGAGGACAUUCUUGAUGAGUUUGCUACUCAAGCCUUGGAAAGCAAGUUGAUGGCGCAAAAUCACGAUAGUUCUGGCCAGGUUCUCAGUUUCAUCCCGGCUGGUUUGAAUCCGAAUGCUAUUAUGUUCAAUUAUAGCAUGGGGUCCAAGAUUAAAGAUAUCACUAGCCGGCUGGAGCAACUCUGCCAAGAAAGAAUUGAACUUGGACUGCAACGGAUUACCGGAGAGGCAUCAUCAACUGCUGCUGCUGCUGCACACCAGAGGCCACCCAGUUCGAGUGUCCCAACAGAACGUGAAGUAUUUGGAAGAGAAGAAGAUAAGGCCAAAAUUCUUGAUAUGGUAUUGGCCGAUACCCCAAGUGAUCAUGCAAACUUUGUUGUAAUACCCAUUGUUGGCAUGGGCGGGAUAGGAAAAACAACUCUUGCCCGGGAAGUCUACAAUGACAAGGCCGUUGAAGAUUCCAAGUUUGAUGUAAAAGCAUGGGUUUGCGUAUCUGACGUCUUUGAUGUUUUGGGCAUCUCAAAGGCACUUCUCGAGUCAAUCACCCGCAGGCCUUGUCUUCUAAACAGUUUAAAUGACGUGCAGGUUGAGCUGAAAGCAGCUGUGGAUAAAAAAAGGUUCCUGCUGGUCUUAGAUGAUGUUUGGAACGAGGACUACAGCUUAUGGGUAGACUUAAAAGCUCCGUUACUGGUUGCUGCACCAAACAGCAAGAUGAUCGUCACCACACGCAAUUCAAGUGUUGCAUCAACAAUGAGACCCAUCGAUCGUCACCACACGCAAUUCAAGUAUUACGAUCUCAAGAGUCUGUUAGAUGAUGAUUGCUGGUCCAUUUUCAUAAACCAUGCAUUUGAAUCUACAGACCUUAGCGCACAUCGAAUUUCAGAAUCAUUCCGCGAGAAAGUUGUUGGCAAGUGUGGGGGCUUGCCUCUAGCAGCAAAAACACUCGGGGGCCUUCUUCGUACUAAAACGCAUGCUGAGUGGGACGGUAUAUUGGAUAGCAAAAUAUGGGAUUUACCUCGGCAAAGCAGCAUUCUCCCCGUGUUAAGAUUGAGUUACCAUCAUCUUCCUUCUCAUUUGAAAAGAUGUUUUGCUUUUUGUGCCAUCUUUCCAAAAGAUUAUGCAUUCACUGAGAGGGAGCUGACUUUCUUAUGGAUGGCUGGAGGUAUUAUUCGACAGUCAAGAAACAAUGAGCAGCUGGAAGAUUUGGGCAGCAAGUGCUUUGGUGAUCUAGUGUCGAGGUCAAUUUUUCAACAAACAGCAAUCUCUGAUAGUUCUAAAUUUGUAAUGCACGACCUUAUCCAUGAUCUUGCUCAAUUGGUCUCUGGAGAAACCAUAUUUAGGUUAGAGGAGGCCAAUACUCUGUCAAGAAGAUUUGAAAGGGUUCGCCAUUCCUCCUAUGCCCGUGAUUGGUGUGAUGGUAGAAAUAAGUUGGAGGUUUUCAAUGAAAUUGAACAUCUACGAACAUUCUUGCCAUUUUGCAUAAGAGGUGGCGUUACUUCUGGUUGGAUAACUAGCACGGUUCACUACGAUUUGUUGCCGAAGUUCAAAAGGUUGAGGAUGCUGUCUUUAGAAGGAUACCAUAUUGGUGAGUUACCAAUUCCAUUUGAAGAUUUGAGACUUUUAAGGUUCCUCAACCUUGCUGACACUGACAUAAGAAGUUUACCUGAGUCAACAUGCAAAUUGUUGAACUUGGAAAUUCUGAUAUUAAGAAAUUGUUCCCGUUUGACAAAGCUUCCCCAGAAAAUGAGGAAUUUGAUCAAUUUACGUCAUCUGGAUAUAAGAGGUGCAAAGCAGCUGAAGGAGAUGCCAUUUGGAAUGAAAGAGUUGAAGAAGCUUCAAACGUUGUCCAAUUUUAUUGUAGGCAAGGGUGAAUCUGCAUCUGGUUUGGAAGAUUUAAAAAGUUUAGACCUUCUAUGUGAUGAACUCUGCAUUGCUGGAUUAGAGAAUGUGAAUAGUCCACAGAAUGCAAGAGAAGCCACAUUAUGUGAGAAGCACAAUCUUGAAGCAUUGACCCUAGAAUGGGGGUCUCAAUCUGACAGUCCUCGGGAUGCAGUACUAGAAGAGAAGGUACUUGACACUCUACAGCCUCAUGAACGUAUAAAAGAGCUGGCAAUCAGGAACUAUGGUGGUGCAAGAUUUCCACCUUGGAUCAGAGAUCCUUCGUUUCCCGAGAUGAAGGUCCUUAAAUUGGAGAACUGUGACGAUUGUGAAUAUCUGCCAUCACUUGGCCUGUUGAGUUCACUUAAGCACCUUGCUGUUAAAGGGCUGAAGAAACUAAAAAGCAUAGGGUCUGAGGUUUAUGGGGAGGGUUUGUCAAUGCCUUUUCCAUCAUUGGAGGUUCUAAGUUUUGAGAAUUUGCCUGAAUGGGAGUAUUGGGACACCAAUAUCAGAGGAAAUGUGCUCGUUGAAAUGUUUCCUCGUCUCCAUAAACUUUCCAUUGUGGAAUGUCCCAAACUCUCUGGGGAACUGCCUGAGCUCCUGCCCUCCUUGGAGACACUUGUUGUUAGUAAAUGUGAAAAGUUGGUAGUUCCAUUGUCUCGCUAUCCGAUGCUCUGCAGAUUAGAAGUUGAUGAGUGCAAGGAACUAGCAUGCGGGACUCCAAUUGAUUUUAAGUUGAUAGAGUCUGUGACUAUUUCAAAUAGUUCCUUAGACAUGAAUGGAUGCAAGGGGAUGCUAUACGAUGGUCCAGCUGGCUCUUCACUGCCAAAGCCUAUGAUUACUACAAAUGUUUCGGAGUUUGGAAAAUUAUUGAAGCCUGGAUGUCAAAUAUUAGAAACUUUAGUAAUUGGCAAUUCUGGACGGCUCAAGUCAUGGAGGCAGCAUGGGGAUUUUCUAGAAGAAUAUAUGGUCGCUCACCAAAGGUUUAAGAAACCAGUACAAGGGCUAAAUAUGCUCGCUUCCCCUGAAGAGGUAACAAUUGAAGAAAGUUGUGUGAGUUUUGUUUUGUUUCCAGAGAUCAAUUUCUUUCCCAGAAAUCUGCGCUCUCUUCUAAUUUGCAACAGCACUGCUUUGAAAUCCUUACCCGAGGAAAUGAUGGAAAACAAUUCACAACUGGAAAGGUUGUAUAUCAGAGAUUGCGACUCUCUAACAUUCAUCGCAAGACAGAGGCUACCAGCAUCUGUUAAAAGGCUUGAGAUAGAAAAUUGUGAGAAAUUGCAACGUCUGUUCGAUGAUGAAGAGGAUGCUUCUUCUUCUUCUUCUUCUCCUUCAUCCUCGUCUUCCCCAGUGAUGCUGCAACACCUGAUAAUAGGGAAAUGCCCAAAGCUCACCAGUUUAUUAUCGGGUGUCCAAUUCCUUGAGGCGCUUGAAUUCCUCAAGAUAGAGCAUUGUCCAAAGCUGGAGUCAAUACCGGAUGGCCUGCCCAAUCUUAAAUGUUUACAGAGCAUUUAUUUACUCAAUUGUCCAAGUCUUGUUUCCUUCCCAGAAAGAGGGCUUCCCCACACCAUUUCAUUUGUUUGCAUUUGCGGAUGUGACAAGCUUGAAGCCCUGCCCAAUGACAUGCACAAACUCAACUCUCUUCGACAUUUAAGCAUACAGCUCUGUCCAAAUCUUGUAUCGUUUCCAGAAGAAGGUUUUCCUACCAAUCUAACAUCACUUACAAUUGGAGAUUUCAAAAUGUAUAAGAUACUCGUCCAGUGGGGGUUGCACAGGUUUACCUCUCUUAGACGCCUCUAUAUCGUUGAUUGUGAUGACGAAGCAGAGUAUUUUCCAGACGAGGAUAUAGGAAUGACGCUGCCCACCUCUCUCACUCAACUGGAACUUUCGGGAUUCAAAAAAUUGAUAUCUCUGUCUUCGACGGGUUUUCAGAGCCUCACCUCUCUUCAAAGAUUGCGGAUCUGGGAUUGCCCAAAUCUCACAUCAUUUCCAGAGGUGGGCCUUCCAUCCUCACUUUUGGAAUUACACAUUUACAAAUGUCCAAAGCUUAAAAAAGCGUGCAAAAGAGAUCAAGGAAAAGAGUGGCCCAAAAUUGCUGACAUCCCUUGCGUUGAGAUAGACAAUAAAUUCAUAUACGAUCCAGAAUAAGAGGAGUAGAUUCUACUAUUAAGGUCAGUUGAUUUGUAUUAUCCGCUAUAACAAGCUCCUCCUUUUUUUUUUUUAAAUAAUAAUUUUGCAGUCACUCACGUGAUUCCGUUUUCACAAGUCAGAUUGUAUGUUGAGGCUAUUUGCCUUUUAGUCGCAGAUUAAAUUAUAACACUUAUCUUAAAAUUUAAUACCAUAGACAGAUAGACGAUUUUUUAAUCCAAAGUUUUUUUUAUUCACUUCAGUUAGCAUUUUUUUUUUUCCCCAAAUCAUGCAAGCCGAGAGUUUCAAUCAAGAAUUGGAGCAUGGGAAUGGAAUUUUUGUGAAAACAUAAUGGAUGAACGAACAUUUCAUCUGUGAUCUCAAAGUCAACAGAAUUUUAUUCACUCAAUGACUUUUCAACUGCUGUGGUUAUUUAUGGGUGAAAGAAAGAUAAGGGCAAUUACAAAAAAUUUGCAAAAUUUGUCAAUUUCUUAGAUGGUAGAUAUAUCGACAUUUUAGAUUUCAGAUAUUUGUCACCAAUUUCAUUCCUUUUUUUUUAUUUUUUCAAGCAAGUUUGACUAAUUUUAACCAGAAUUGGAGUAUAAUAUUUUGGAGCAAGCAUACUUGAAAUUUCUGUCUUCAAUAUUUUGAUGCUUUUUUAAUUUUGGAUCUAGUAAAAAUACAUAGCCUUCACCGGCAGGAUUCUAGUCUUGGCUUUCACCUCUCUAACUCAUCCGGCCCCAUUGGGAUUCCAGAAAUUGAAAUUUCUGUCUUCAAGGGGUUUUCAAAGCCUCGCCUCCCUUCGAUUUUUGUGGAUCGGGAAUUGCACAAAUCUUACAUCAUUUCCCGAGGUCGAGGAAAAGAGCGGCCCAAACUUGCUCGCAUCCCUUGGGUUAUGAUAGAUGGAAAAUUCAUAUACGAUCCAGAGUCAGAGGUGUUGAUUCUCUUAUUAAGGUCAGCUGAUUUCUAUUAUCCACUCUGACAAUCUCCUAUUAGUGUUUUUCCCUUUUUUUUUUUCAAAAUUUUGCAGUUCCGUAUAAUUGAAAAUGCCACUCACUUGUUUCCUAUUAGUAUGUUGAGGCUAUUUGCUUUCUAUCGGUGUUUGUUAAGGUAAUUACUCACAGAUGAAAUUAUAACUUUUAUCUUAAAAUUUAUUGCCAUUGACAGAUGGACGAUUUUUAGUCCAAAGUUUUGUUAUUAACUUCAAUCAAAAUUUUAGAUUGCAGAUUUUUGUCAAUUAUUUCAUUUUUUAUUUUUAUUUUAAAGCAGAAUUGGAGUAUAACAUUUGGAGCGCGCAUACUCUGAUGCAUGCAAUUAACUGUUUUUAAUCGUUGGAUUUUGAAAUUAAUGAUGGUAAGAUGUGUACUUAUUUUUUCUUCCGGACAACCUUGCCUUCUUUCUUCGGUAGCAUAUCUAAUGAAUAUUUCUCUGUUUAGUUAAGGAUGAAUGCUUGGAGUGGUCUGAUUCACAACAACACCUCUUCCAGAAAAUAUGAUACAAGGCAAAGCCAUGUUCUGAAGCAGAAAUGAUACAGCAGUUGCGGUACCCGAGGUACCUUUUGCAUUUAACUUGCCUUUAUUUGUUUUGCUUGUGACUUAAGAACACAUCAUUUCCCAGAGAUUUGGAGAAGCAUCUCAAGAUGCUUAACAAACUUGACAAGCUUCAAGAUGCACUUGCUCCCAAGCAUUGAUUCUUCACAAUGGAAAACCUGUGAGUACACUUAUGCCCGCAAUUAUUGUUAAGUGUUUGCAAUUUUGAUGCAGCGAAAUGGUUUGUGGAUGCAAAGCUUUAAAACUGUUAAGAACUACCCUGCAGGCUUGUUGGAUGUUGUAUACUUCAAAAGCCACCAACACCAAGAACUACAACAGCAAGACUAGGUUUGCGUUGCUUCAAUCAGCUGAAAUAAUGAUGCAAAUGACACUAUCAAGCUGGACUUAGAGACUUGUCAGGUCAAUCAUCCAUUUCAUCAACAGUUAAUGUCAUGAUGGUGGCUAUCAGAGGAAACAAAAGAUCUGUUGGAAUCAAUUCAAACAGUGAGAAGCAUGAGAGGAGCAUUGAUUAUAAAUAGGCUCAAUGAGCUCAUGCUGGUAAGUGGUAAUUAAGAAAUUUGUGAGCUUAGUAUAGUUUCAAUUUUUUUCUGUUUGGGAUAUAGUUGAUAAGUUGAUACUCUGAUUAAGAAGCCUGAUUAUAGUAGCUGACUGUGCUAACUGCGUUCUUUUAUUUUUUAUUUUUUUGGUUUGCCGUCGUUUUUUCUUUUGAUUAUUUGUUCAACAUUAGAUUGAUCUGUUGAAGACUACGAGGAAGAUCCAGACUUGGAUGCAGGCGUGCAGCUCGUAAUAGGUGAGAACAAAUGAAUGCUUUAACCAUGUUUCUCACUUAUGACAAUGCACGGAUCAAAGGCAUCUGAGUUGAUCCUGAAAAUGUGAUGGAAAUAGGUCUCUGUUUUCAUAAAACAGAACAAAUAGAGAUCUCUGAUCACGCCUGAGAAUUCAUUGCAUUGAAAUUUCUACCAUUGGCAAACAUAGAAUAAACUGGGGAUACAUUAGCUUUAGACUCUAUUUUGAGGAGGAAGUUUGUACUUGCAGCCUAUAAAAUCAUAUCCCUGUUGUAUGUUUCUUUGGGAAAUGAAAGAUUCUGUGUGUUCUUUUAUUUCAAGUUUGCUGAAAUCACAUUUGUUUUCUAAGAUGCUUUACAGAAGGUACCAACAUCAUUUUCAAAAAUGCUGGGGUAAGAUACAUCGUGCAGUGCUCCUCAACAUGAGAAUUCCUGGCCGCAUUACCCAUAUGUGGAAUGAUCUGAGAGUACAACCGUGAGAAUGUUGUAAGGAGUACACAACCAGAUGUGAGUAGUUUGAAAAUGAAUUCGCAUGGAAUGAUUUCUUGCCAGUGCAGAAAUGGCUUGGUUCAAAAUAUGCUCAGCUUCAUUGACACUCUUCGGUAGGCCUCUCCGUCCUUCCAUUCUUAACUACAAUACUACUCUUGUCUGUCUAGUUAUGGAAUCUCUCUUUUAAUCCUCAAAGUUUGAAUUAUAUUAUAUUGCCUCUGUGUUACCGCAGAAACUGAGUCAGUUGGUGAUCCUUCAAAACAAGAAAAACCAAAAACAGAUACAGCGCGCGAUAAGAUAAUGAGACAGAUGGCUCCCGUUGCUGCAUGCCACUUGCUUGUGUGCGUAUUGGGACCAUCAUCAACAACAUUGACGUAAACCCAGCUCAAGGUGGGAAGCUAGUUCGAGCUGCAGGGACGUUAACCAAGAUUUUGAGAAAGAACCCACUUCAAGGUGUUGCUUAGUUAGGCUACGUUGUGGAAAUGAGAAAGUGAUUGACCCUAGAUGUCGCGCCACCAUUGGUACAGUGUCUAACCCCAGCCAUGGAGCUAAAAAGCUUAGUAAGGCAGGUCAGAGAAGUUGGUUGGGUCGAAGAGCUGUGGUUAGAGGAGUAGCCAUGAUUCCAGUUGAUCACCCUCAUGUUGAACAAAGCAAAAGUAGCGGUAACAAUGGAAGGUGUUCACUCACACCUUGGGGCAAGCCUUGUAAGUCUGGGAAUUAAACUGCAUCUCCUAAGAAGAAAGAGAAAUCAGCUGUCUGAUAAUAUUGUCCUUUUCUGCUAUUUGGUCUUUUUAACAUUGUUACACUGUUUUUACAUCUUUGAGGUUAGUUUUAGACCAAUUUUUAACUGAUCCAUAAUGAAACUGAAGUUUAAUUUUUGAUUAAACUUUCACUGGUUUUACUCUUCUGUCACUUCAAUUUAGCAUUGAUUUAAGAUACUGAAUUCUGUGCUUGGAGCUUGUAAAUUGGAAAGAGAUAUUUUGGGAUAGAAUGUAGAUUUUGUGUUUUGCUUUCUCAAGCUAGUUGUGACUUCUUAAAAGAGUCAAUCCAUGUCUUUAUAUAUUUUUCUUUUGUCUUGAUUCUGUUUCUUCAUACAGAUUCUUAUUUUAUGCUUCACAUACCACAUGAAAGAUGAAAGCCUUUUCUGUGAUUAGAAUUGACUUGCAUUAUAGUAACUUUAAACCACUUGGAUAUUUUUAUAAUAGCAGUCUGAGAUCUCCUUAAAGGAUUCAAAAGCAUCCACUGGCAUCCACUUUACUCGUAUCGGUCAAAAGUUUUGUGCAAUACAAUAUUAGCUUGACUGUAGCGCAGAGGAGAACAGGUUGGUGUUGGUCUGAAUUCUGAUAUUUGAAUAAAUAUAACAGCUCAUGUGACUCCACCACUUUUUACUUGUUCUGUAGUCUGUACCUACCUCCAUUGUCGGCACUGCCCAUACAAGGUCUUUUAGCUUUUUAAAAAGUUUCAUGAUAUUCCAUAGUUCACAUGGAUUUCUACAGUUUGUAGAAAACCUAAUUAGGGCACAUUUAAUUACUAUGCAGAAGAUUCUUUUAUCUUGCUCACCAAUAAUUCUUUGUACUUAUUUGAAAGAUGUGUUUCAAAAAAAUAAAAAAAAACUAUUUGAAAGAUGAGAAAUCCCUUAGCCGAACGACAAACUCAUCUAUCAGUCCUAUCAAAAAAAAAAAAACUCAUGUUUUAGUGGUUUUUUUUUUUCACUUGUAUUCAGUCGCACAAGUGAAGAUUGUGGGCAAUUUUUUCCUUGAGUAAAAUUGGAAUAGAUGUUUUUAUUGACACAAAUUUUUGAGCUAUGUUUGGGAAACCCUUAGACUUAAGACUUUGUUACGAUGAUAUGUAUCUAAGCUUUCAACAGACCGUUGAGGUCUUAUUAUCAAAAUACUAGAAAUUUACAAUUCAAUUUUGGUAAGGACCAAUUUAAUAAUGCUGUAAUUUUUAAAAUAAUUACCGUUAACUGUGUUGUAAAAAUAAUCAAUUAUGAAGAAAAUUAAUUAAACAUUUAGUAAACUUUAUUUUUACAAGUGCUUUGAAUUUUAAAAAUAGUCAUAUGUGUUCAGAAAAUCUCACUUCUAAAAUAGUAUAAGAAUGGAAAAAACUUAAAAAGACAAAUGUAUAAUAUUUAUUUACACAUGCAUUUAUAAAUAUGUGUAUAUAAUAACAUUUUAUGUGUACAUAUAAUAAUUGAUAACUAAAAUAAAUAUUUUUAUUUAUUAAUUAUUUUUUUGUCUCAAUGUAAUUGGUAAUACUUUUUUUUAAUCUUCUCAUCCUAAGUUUUUUUAUUGUUUUGUACAAAAUUCAAGGUUUGGACUUUUAUAAAAUGUCCACUCAAAAAUAAAUUGUUUUCUAACUAAGAUUUGUUGCUAAUGUAUAACUCAAAGUAAUACUAGCUAUUUGUAAUUUUAUUUCAAAAUUUUUAUUCAAAUGAUAUGGUAACUAAUGUACAUUAGUUGAUAGCAAUUUUUUUUUUUUUACAAUAUUCAAAUCAAUCAAUUGCAUCAUCUCAACAUUUUUAUGAUGUCGUGUUAUUUUAAACGAAUUUUUUAUUUUUAUAUAAAAUUUAUUAUGUUUAACAUCAUUUGCAUAACUUGACCUUUUUUUUUUCCUACAAAUAUUAAGUCAAAUUUACUCACCCUAUAUUUCUAUCUAAAAUCUACCUAAAACUCAUGCAUCACUGUAAAACAAAUCCAAAGAUUGCGGUACGUUUUUCUUGGUAACAAAUCAAUAAUUAGGUCAAGUACUACUACUAAGCGUGCUCAAUUAAUUCUAAAAUACUACGGUGAUCAAAAUCAUACUUGACGCAAGAGGAUAAGGGCUAAACCUCAAUUAGGCAUUAUUCAUCCAAAAUUCGUUGACCCGGCAUUCUUUGCAAGUUGUAGCACGGGACAGCUAAGAUUAGCAAAUGCUGUGGACCAUAUGCCCCCAUACAUUUGUGACAUGUGAAACUUGGCAUUAAAGGAAAGGCAACGUGUUAAAAUUUAAUAGCGCCCAAUUCUUCAUUGAAUGAUUAUCAGAUCCAAUGAGCAUCCUUUGAUUGGAUUAUUUUAAGUCAAUUAUUGGUGGAUUGGGGCCCACUUGACUCUACCAAAUCGGGCUCCACCAUAUCACCUAUUAACGACCACCUGUCCUUAUCAUAAAUAGCAAAUGUCACUUGUUUUAUUUUGUAUUUUACCAAAAGCAAAGUCACUAUGAACCCAAAUGAAAGUGACCCCAAUUUUGGGGGUCAUGAGCUUUGGAUUAUUAUGGACACAAGAGACAAGCGCAAAGUUUCUCAUUUAUCACCGGAUAAGAUUUAAGUUAUCAACCCAACAUUAAUAAAUUCUGCUUAAAGUAAAGUUUGAAGCUUCAUUUUGCGAAUAUUCAAUGGUUAACAUUUAAGUAAUUAACCUGAUAUUAAUCCAAUUAAACUUUUUAUGUAAUCCAAGUCAAAAAUAUGUUGAUAAACCUAAAUUAAUCUAAUUGGACAUAUUAUUUCAACUUGAAAAGGCGAAUCUAUCAUUUUUCAAUUAAUUUUGAAUCAAGCUAUGUAAAAUAUAAGCUUAUUAAAGACAUAUUUUUAUCAUGUUAAAAUAUCGAAAUACUUCUUACUCGUUUCGUAAUAACAUUAACAAACCUUUUGGUAAAUUUGACAGUCCAAUCAAUUCAGUUGGUUUUUUGUUAUUGAAACUCCAACAAAAUUCAUCACGAUUAUUAAAAACCCAUUAAAAAAAAAUGAAGGUAACUAUUUAAAAAAUUCUAAUUGAAUUAUUUAACAACUACAUUUCAACUAAAUUGUGUUGCUAAUUAACUUCCUCAACUUAAACUAUAUUUUUCUCAAUUAAUUCAUAACAAAUAAUGUUAGAUAUUUUAUUCGAAUAAUAACAUUCAACAUCCUUAUUCUUUAUGAUUAUUGCAUAAAAACAUAUUUUAUCCAUUUACAUCACAUAUGUUCCUAAAUUGUAUAAGAAAAUCACCAAAUUUACUCUUGUAAGUUACUAUAUCAAUGAACAUGAAAUUCACUAAUCAUUAAAGUCUCGGAAUGACAUCAUGAGAGGGAUUCAGUUACAUUUAUUGAUAGGAUUAGAUAUAUGUCUUCUCAAAUAUUAGUAGGAGCAAUUUAACAGAUGCAGCUACUAAAAAUAUAGAAUUACUUAUCUCGUCAAUAACUAACGAUAUUUUUUAUCUAUGCUCAAUAAAUUGUAAUAUUUGUAGAUUGUAACAAUUGUUAAAAAAAAAGAGCUCCCUGAGACUAAAUGACAAAAGGACUGUUUUGAAAUAGAUAGAUAAAAUAUGCCCUUAUUUGAGAAAAUGUAAAACACUAGGGAUCUAAAUGUUAUUAUAAUCCCAUGCACAAAAAUACCAAAAAUAACUAAUAACAACUAACCGAAAAUCCCAGGCGUCAUAUUCCUUUUUUCCGCGUUUUAAAAUGCCCUCUGAUUCAUUCACAGUCAGACGCUGUCGGCAUUUCUCUUCUCUCCCUCUCUCUCCACGUAUUAAAACAUGUAAAGUACGGAAAAAUUUAAAAAAAAUUUUAAAAUUACAUAAUUUAAAAGAUAUAAAAUUAUAAAUUUUUAAAAUUAUACGGUUUUAAAAUUUUUUUAAAUUUUUUCGUAUUUUAAAAUUUCAGACUAAAAAAUUAUUAUACGAAUACUUCGUAUAACCGCUUUGCGCUUAAAAUCUGUGCCUAACAAACUCACGAAAUCACUCCUCAUUUUCCUCUCUCCCUCUCCUCCUCUCAUUCCCUUUCAAAUCCUUCCACCACCUUCCCCGCCUCUCUCUCUUUCUCUCUCCCCUCACCGCCACAGCUCAACUUUUCCAUGUAAACCACCACGGGCGCCGUCGUUUCAACCUCCCACUCAUCCGACGUCGUUUUGUGUGAAUAAGAUAACGAUUUAAAUUAAAAUACGAAAAUGGAGAACUUAACGGCGCAGUUGAAGCGAGGGAUAUCGCGGCAGUUCUCGACGGGAUCGCUGCGGCGGAGCCUGACGAGGCAGAUGUCGAGGCAGUCGUCGUUCGAUCCGAGGAGGAAUAACAUGAGGUUUAGCUUCGGGAGGCAGUCGUCGUUGGAUCCGAUACGCAGGAGUCCGGUUCAGGACGAGUUGACGGUGCCGGAGAACCUUGACUCGACGAUGCAGCUGUUGUUUAUGGCAUGCAGAGGUGACGUCAAGGGAGUCGAGGAUUUGCUGAACGAAGGCAGUGAUGUCAACAGCAUUGAUCUUGACGGACGGUUUUGGCGAGAAAUCAAAGAAUUAAGAGACAAUAUUUAGUUAAGCUAAUAGUAUUUGUUCUGUUUAGUACGUCGUUUUACCAACAAGCAUCCCGGCAUUGCACGCAUUAAUAAAUUUUUUUUAUCUGUUUGGACUGAUGGUGGUAAAAAAUUCCACAUACUUUAUAUUAAAAAGGAAAAAGGACAAACACACCCCUAACGUCAACUUGGAGGGGGGUCGAUUCCGAGCUCAAGAAGUGGGAAAGAAGAAAGCUGAAGAUGAUUCAGGCGGUGCUCAAUGGUGGGUAUGACGGCAAAAAUAAGUUGGAGGUUUUCUAUGAAUUUGAACAUCUAAGAACAUUCUUCCCAUUACACAUAAGAGGUGGCUCCAAAACUGGUUACAUAACUCGUAUGGUUCUAACUGAUUUGUUGCCGAAGUUUAAAAGGUUGAGGGUGCUAUCUUUACAAGGAUACCAUAUUGGACCAAUUCCAUUUGAAGAUUUGAGACUUCAAAGUAUAAUUACCCAAAGUGUAUACAAUAAAAGCCAAAUUUAAGAAAUUCCUGAACCUUGCUGACACUGACAUAAGAAGUUUACCAGAGUCAACAUGCUCAAUGUUGAACUUGGAAAUUUUGAUAUUAAGAAAUUGUUUCCGUUUGAUGAUACUCCCACCCAAAAUGAGGAACUUGGUUAAUUUACACCCAGACUCUUUUCUUUUGACAUGGGGUUAACGAUCAAAGUUGGUUUCGUGCGGUAUAUAUUUACAAAUUGAUAGGUAUGCCUGGUGUUGAUGCAGGAUUCCGGUUCUUCUCGUUCUACGACCAGGAUCUCUGCUCGAUCAACUUCGUCACGACCAGGAGGUCUCCUCGCAAGACUUUUUCUCCAGAGAUUCCUGCGCACACAGACAAGUCAGAGUACGCCGGUUGUUUUCCCGGCGCAAACCCUCCGACGCUCAAGUCAGAUAUGAAGGUUCGGGGAACGCUUGCCACCGAUCUUAUGGCUUUUUCGUGGUUUUCUCUUCUUUUUAAUUCCUUUUCUAAUGAGAAAAAUGCCAACCCUUUUACCUCGUCGGCUACCUUUUUAUAGGCUUCCUCUGAAUCCCAGUUUUCCGCUCUUUUCGAGACGGUAUGGGACUCUGACUGCUGUGUUAUGGGCAAACGUGGGAUCUUGCGUGUUACGCCACCGUUCUGGGAAAAGCGCGGCAGUCGUGGUUCUGUGAGAUCUUGCGUGUUACGCCACGGUUCUGGGGAAAGCGUGGCUGUCGUGCUUAGGUUCUCGGGCUGGAGAGCAUGUCUCGUCAACUGCCGUCGACCGGGUCUCCUCGCCUCUCGACCUCUAGCCGGAAUGACCUUAUGCCUCUUACAGGAAAUUGGCCUCGCGGAUGACCUGCUCGUGGACGAGCAGGAUAUUUCUGCUCCUGUUCCCCCGCGUACCAGGCUUUUACGGGACACACCGGUUCGCAGAACUCUGCCAUCAGAUAUCUGCUCACCGUGCCUGGUCUCGUCGACGUAUUUCUCCCAAACACCGGUCCCCCAGUUUCUGGUGUUGGGUAAUGUAGUGGACCAGCAGUAGAAACUCGUUAGUACUCGCCCGCGUGGGAUUGGAAAAGGCUGCCAAGAGUCAUGUCGCAUUUAAUUGCGGACGAGGUGACGUGGCAGAAAUCCCCCCCUCCAUUUGAAUUUCAAACCGACGGUUAUGAGAUCCUCGGGAUUCAGCGCCGUUAAAUGCUGGCAACCCAAGAGUCCGUCCUCAUUAGGAAAACCAAAUCCUCUCGAACGGCAUAUUCGUCAUUCACUCCGUCUCCGUCUCUGUCUCCCCGGCAAAGAGGUUCCGGCAUAAAAGCCCUCCAUCUCUGAUUUUCACCGACUGAACCGUUACUUCAGGUAUUUCUUCUAUCUCCUUGGUCUCGGAUAGUUGUAGAUAAUUUCUCUUCUCUUCUGUUGGGUAGUAGUUGGUGGUGUUGUGGUUAGAGCUUAGGGAAUGUCGAAAGGCAAAGAGAAGGUCAUUGAGGUUGGUGACGACGAGUUGGACUUCCUGCCUAGUCUGCUCACCGAUCCUGCUUUUGACCCCGGGAUCCCCUUAGAGCCCAUUAGGUCUAGUGUCGGGACUAGUGCUAGGAGGAUGUCUCCCCAAACAACCUCUACGAGCGGAAGUAAUGGUGAGGAGAGAUCUUCUGGCUCCGAGGAUACUUUGAGUGAGAAUGGCGAAGGUGACUCUGGUGAGGUGUCUCCAUCUGGAACAUCACGACCAGAAGAACGGGGUAUAGUAGGAGGCAGAGCCUUGUCGCGCGAUUAUGCCAUUGAUUACAUGACGUGCACGACCUCGUUUGACGAGCUCAAUGACCUCCGGCUUAGGUAUAGCAUUCCUGGUGAGAUACCUCUCAAGGUCCCAGGAAAGAAGGAUGCUCCCAGCCGGCCUCCUAGGGGAUAUGUUACCCUGUAUCUGGACAGCUUUAAGUACGGGCUGAGGUGUCCCUUGCAACCUUACUUUGCCCGGAUACUUAACGGGCUAAAUCUAGCUCCUGGUCAGCUGAAUCCCAAUGGGUGGAGAGUGCUCUCUGGUCUGUUCAUAUUGUGGGACAGAUGUUGCCAAAGCGAGCCCACGGUUGAUGAGGUGAAGCACCUGUACCAGCUAAAGAGCAGCCCCAAAGAUGCCGUCUGGUACUACUUCCAAUCUAGCACCAAGAGCAGGAAACCUAUAACCGACCUCCCUACUGGUGGUGGUGGGAAUUGGAAGAGAAAAUUCUUUUUUGCUGGGGGUCCUUGGGGUCAGGUUGCACAAAUGGACGGGAAGGAUUAUCGGGUCCCACCCCGUUUCACGGUCCCAGGUUGCCUGCUCGCUUUAGAUGUCUUGUAUCCACAAUUGUUAUUGCUUUAUUGGCUUGUCUCUAACCAAGUGUCUGUUUGCGUUGUAGUUUCUUGGGGUGUUCACUUCCCGCUCCCACCUGACCAGCUCAAACGGGUCAAGGCUGUGCUCGCCAAUUCCUGCUCGAGUCGAGAACUGCUAACUACAUACAACUUGCUCGAAUCUCGCUUGAUACUUCCUGGCCAUAGGAUGGAGGACGCCGUGAUUGGGGCUCUGACCCGAAAACGUUCUCGACCUCCAACCACGAAGAGGGACCAGGGUAAGGAUGCCCCUGCUGCAAAGCGGGCCAGCAUCGUGCAGCAGGUCCCACCCUUGGAGAUUUUACCUCCUGCUCCUGAAAAAGUCGGGGAAGCUAGUGGAGCAGCCACAGAUCCUGCUUCCUCAUCUGUUCCUGUCGGGCCUCGAUCUCGCUUACCUGACAGCCGAGCAGAACACCUGGUCCCCUACCUCAAUGAGUUGUCUAAACUCGUGAGCAAGAAGGACCUGGAGGACUUCGACGGCUGCACCUUGGGUGAGCUGGUGGGGGCCAUGCAGCAUAGCGCUUUCCACCUCAGCUGCAUGACCACCUAUUACAAGGCUAAGGUUGGUCGAUACGAUCGGAAAAUGAAGGGGGAUAUUCAAUCGGCGACGACCAGAGCUGACAUUGCCGAGAAGAAAGCAGGGGAGCUGAACCUCGAGAAUCUGAAGCUGAUAGAGCAAGAAUCACUUGCUCAAGCAAAGACCAUUACCCUCGAGGAGGAGCUUACCAAGGUCAAGGAGGAUCUGCAAAGGCAGAAGGCUAUGUAUGAGGCCCAGCUCGAAUCUCUCCGGGACUCCAACCGAGCUCAGGUCGAGAACUUGGAGAGGGAGGCAGAGAAUCAGUACGACCAGGGACUUCGGCAUUCCUAUCGUUGCAUCAUGGCCGUCCUCGGGAAGCAACACCCUGAUCUGAAGAUGGAUGACCUUGCGGCUGGUGUUGCCCAACAUAUGGACGAGGAGGCGGCCAAGGAAGAUGCUGAAGGGGUAGAGCCGAUCGUGAUCGAGGAGGAAAGCUCUCCUCCUCGUGCAGUCCCUGCUGAUGUUGGCGAGGCGAGCACCCCUCCGGACGCAACUGGCGAUACCCCUCCCGCACCUGAGGAGGUCCAGUCAACCGAUGCUGCUCGGCUCACUGAUCUACCAUCUUUUUGAUAUAUUUCUUUUUGUAUUGUAAUAAACAACGUUUAUGAAAUUUAUCCCCUCUGUUAGCCAUUAACACAUUAAUAAAGAUGUUUUUUGAUUACUUUCUCGUCUUGUAAUCAUCACUUAUUUUCCGUUUGGGAAUCUGCUCGUCUCGUCUGGUCGAGCAGGUUCUGGUUUGGCAUAUGGUUUUGCAACAUGCCUUAGAAAAAUUUCUUUUUUUUUUUUUUUUUUUUUUUUUUUUUUUUUUUUUGCUUGGGGAUUCUGCUUGCCUUCGCGUGGUCGAGCAGGUCCUGGCAUGCUUGGCUUCAGUCUCGCCAUAAAAAGGCUUUGAGACUUGGUGAGGCCUUUGCAUGCCUUAGAAAACUUUUUCGAUGCUUGGGGAUUCUGCUCGACUUCGCUCGGUCGAGCAGACCCUAGCAUGCUUGGCUUCCGUCUCGCCAUAAAAAGGCUUUGAGACUUAGUGAGCCUUUGCAUGCCUUAGGUGGCUUCUUCAAAGCUUGGGAUUCUGCUGCCUUCUCGUGGCCGAGCAGAUCCGGGCAUGCUUGGCUUCUGUCUCGCCAUAAGACAGGCUUUGAGACUCGACGAGCCUUUGCAUGCCUUAGAUGGCUUCUUCGAAGCUUGGGAUUCUGCUGCCUUCUCGUGGCCGAGCAGAUCCGGGCAUGCUUGGCUUCUGUCUCGCCAUAAGACAGGCUUUGAGACUUGACGAGCCUUUGCAUGCCUUAGAAAUUUUCUUGGUUUCAAGCGAAAGGAAUUCCUCGACGUUCCAUUAAUGGCAGGAUUCGGCUUACAUGAACUUGUUUGGACAUAAAGCGUGAAAGAUAAACGAUAAUGAUCAUGAGCAAAAAUAGCUUUCAGAUGUGAACAAAUCUUACUGGAAGUAUUUUCGGAGGUGUGCUGCGUUCCAUGGGCGUUUCAGCUCGUGGCCGUCCGUGCGAACCAGCUUGUAAGCUCCGGGUCCCGCUAUCUGCUUGACUCUAUAUGGCCCUUCCCAAUUCGGUCCCAGCACUCCUUGAGUCGAAUCUUUGGUGCUCUGAUUCACUCUUCUCAGUACCCAGUCUCCGACCUUGAAUUGCCGUAUGUUCACCUUCUGGUUAUAAUACCGAGCAACCCUCUGUUGGUAAAGGGCUGAUCGCUCGGCUGCUUGCUCCCUCCUUUCCGUUAGCAGAUCAAGAUUCAAACAUAUCUGCUCGUCGUUCUCCUGCUCGUUGAAAUGACCUGUCCGGUGUGUGGUCGUUCCUAUCUCAGCCGGCACGACCGCUUCAUGUCCGAAAGCCAAAGCGAACGGUGUCUCCCCAGUUGCGGUUUUGUGGGUUGUUCUGUAUGCCCAUAGCACACCUGACAGCUCGUCAACCCACGCACCCUUUUUUGCUCCAAGCCUGGUUUUCAAAAGCCUCUUGAUGGUCUUGUUGGCUGCUUCUACUUGUCCAUUCGAUUGAGGGUGAGCAGGCGAGCAAUACUUCAGCUCUAUCCCGAGGUUCUGGCAGAAAUCCCUGAAGCUGUGAUUAUCGAACUGCCUGCCAUUAUCCGUUACCAAGGCAUAAGGGAUCCCGUAUCGACAGACCAGGUUUCUCCACACGAAGUCUGUUGUUUUCUUCUUUGUGAUCCUGCUAAGGGCUUCUACCUCUAUCCACUUCGUGAAGUAAUCUAUAGCAACUAUUGCAUGUGUUGCUGCUCCUUGUGCCUUUGGCAAUGGGCCGAUCAGAUCAAUUCCCCAUUGAGCAAAUGGCCAAGGGGAGGCCAUGGAGGUGAGCUUCUCUGGGGGUUGGUUAGAGAAAUUUGCAAAACUCUGGCAGCUUACACAACUCCUGGUCUUCUCUUGCGCAUCCUGGUGCAUUGUCGGCCAGAAAUAUCCCUGCCUAAGAACCUUGUGGGCCAGGGACCUCCCGCCAGAAUGAUUUCCGCAAAUUCCUUCAUGUACUUCUCUCAGUACGUAAUCCGCGUCGUCCUCAUCCAAACACCGAAGGAACGGUAGUGUAUAUCCUCGCCGAUACAGCGCCCCAUCAAUCAUCGUGUAUCUCGAGGCCUGGGCUCUAAUCUUGCGAGCUCGCAGCUUAUCUGGUGGUAAUACUCCGUCUCUAAGGUAUGAAACUAUCGGGUCCCUCCACGAGCAUUUUUGUUCUAUCCGCAACACCCCCGAAUUCUGAUCGAUACUUGGGCUGGACUUCACCUCCAGAGGGACCGACUUUGGCAUUUUUGGGUCGGCUACUGCUGCCAUCCUCGCCAAAAUGUCUGCUCGACUAUUCUGCUCCCUGGGGAUCUGUACCACCUCCACUGCUUCGAACUUCCCCAUCAUCUGCCUGACUAUCUUCAGGUACUGCUCCAUCUUCUCCUCUCUUGGUUGGAAUCUUUCACUGACGUGAUUCGCAACCAGCUGGGAAUCAGUUCUGAUCUUAACUCUGUCUUCUUUCACGGCCUUAGCCAAUUCCAGACCUGCUAUCAAGGCUUCAUACUCUGCCUGGUUAUUUGUGGCUGCAAAUUCCAACUUUACAGCAUAAGAGAUCUCCUCCCCCUCAAGGCCUUCCAGGACAAUCCCUGCUCCUGAACCCCGCUCCCCUGAUGACCCGUCCACAGACAUCUGCCAUACUUGAUUUUCGUCAUUGCCUAUAACUGCAUCCUGUUGAUCUGAGCAUACUUCGGGCUCUGUGAAUUCAGCUACGAAAUCGGCCAUUGCCUGGGCUUUUAUCGCUGCGCGGGGUUUAUAGUCUAUGUCGAACUCGCUCAGCUCUACAGCCCACUUGACGAGCCGACCAGAGGCAUCUGGCUUGUGCAGAGUUUGACGCAAUGGCUGGUUUGUUAUUACCGAGACCGGGAAUGCUUGAAAAUAUGGCCUCAACUUCCGAGCAGCAACCACAAGGGCAAGUGCCCAUUUCUCCAACAGUGGGUAUCUAGUCUCAGCGUCGAGUAGGGCCUUGCUGGUGUAGUAUAUCGGAUACUGAACUCCUUCUUCCUCUCUCACCAGAACAGAACUGGCGGCCCGAUCCGACACCGCCAAAUACAGAUACAACUUGUCCCCAUCCCUUGGUGUGGACAGCAGCGGAGCUUGCUGCAAGUAUUGCUUCAAGUUCUGGAAGGCUUCCUCGCACUCUGGGGUCCAUUCUGUUUUCUUUCCCCUCCUUAUCACUUGAAAGAAUGGCUGACACUUAUCUGUAGCCUUGGAGAUGAAUCUGCUCAACGCCGCCAACCUCCCUGUGAGGCUCUGCAUCUCCUUCAGGUUACGAGGAGACGUCAUUUGCACAAUCGCCUGGAUUUUCUCGGGAUUUGCUUCAAUCCCCCUAUGGCUCACCAUGAAUCCAAGGAAUUUCCCUGACUCGACCCCAAAAGCACACUUUUCCGGGUUGAGCUUCAUCUUAUACUUCCUCAAAAGCUCGAAUGUCUCCUCGAGGUGUCUGACAUGUUCCUUCGGGAUUUUGGACUUGGUGAUCAUGUCAUCCACGUACACCUCCAUGGUUUUCCCAAUCAACGGCUUAAAGACUUUGUUCACCAGCCUUUGAUAGGUGGCCCCAGCAUUUUUGAGACCGAACGGCAUUACCCUGUAACAGAACAAACCUUGGUUAGUGACGAAAGCCGUGCUCUCCUCAUCCUGCUCGUACAUGGGGAUCUGGUUGUAUCCCGAGAACGCGUCCAUGAAGCUGAGCAGACCAUGUCCAGCCGUUGAAUCUACUAGCUGAUCGAUCUUUGGUAGAGGGAAGCUGUCUUUUGGGCACGCCUUAUUGAGGUCUGUGAAAUCCACACACAUCCUCCACUUGCCGUUUGCCUUCUUUACCAACACCACAUUCGAUAUCCACUCAGGGUAACUGACUUCCCGAAUGAACCCUGCUCUCAAGAACUUCUCCACCUCGCUAUUUAUUGCCUCAUACAUCUCCUGGUUGAAGCACCUCCUCUUCUGCCUUACUGCCCGAGCACCUUUCUUUAUUGCCAGCUUAUGACAUGCUACCUCAGGGUCAAUCCCUGGCAUGUCUUCAUGUGUCCAAGCAAACACAUCAGAAUGAGCCUGUAAGCAUUUCACCAACUCCUGCUUUUGCUCUCCCUCAAGCCUCGACCCGAUUCUGAUCAUCUUUCCCGGAUUCUCUGGUCCCAGGCUUACUGUUUCCAGAUCUUCUACAGGUUCUUGUCUGCCCUUCUUGUUUUCCACUCGGGUAUCGAGGGAUGUUAUCUGCAUUGCUUCCCUUGCUGCCGAGGAGUAGCAGCUUCUUGCGAUCCUCUGGUCUCCUCGUACCACUCCUACUACCCCAUUCACCCGGUACUUCAGAGCGAGAUAGUGGUUGGACAACACCGCUUUGCUCAUCCUUAAAAAUGGCCGACCUAGGAUCAUCUGGUAAGGACCUUCCUCGUCCACUACGACAAAGUCCAGUAUCAUUGUUCUUUCUGUCAGGGAGCUCCCAAUUGUGAUAGGCAGCUCGACCACGCCCAGAGGGACCAGCUUCCCUCCUCCGAACCCCUUCAAGGAGGUAUUGGUGUAUUCCAACUUUCGGUCGGCUAUUCCCAUCUCUUCCAGGGUUGACUUAAAUAACACAUCAACUGAGCUCCCUGUAUCAAUCAGUAUCCGGUCAAACUUCUUGCUAGCGACAGUAGCCUUGAUGACUAAAGCAUCAUCGUGGGGGUAUAGAAUCCCUUCCUCAUCCUCAUCCGUCCACAUGAUUGGCACUUGCCUGACCCUUGCUCGUUUGGCUGCUGGGGUGUUGAAGAGUACCUCUUUACUGGUCAUGGCGUACCUAGCAUAAUUUUUUCUCGAUCUGUUGGAAUCUCCGGCCAAUGUUGGGCCCCCAGCUAUCACCCUUACUGCGGGCUGCUCGCGCCUCAAGUUUCUACCACUCUGCUCCCCUUCACCUGUUGUGGCCACCAUCGGGAAAGUCCCAUCCAUAAACUCGUCCAGGUACCGAUUUCUCACCAAAUCUUCGACCUGGAUCUUGAGAUCUCUACACUCUGCCGUGGUAUGGCCAUGGGUGCCAUGGAACUUACAAUAACGUCUUCUAUCCCUCCUGUUGGGUAGCUUUGUUAUUGGUGUAGGGAGGUGCAGCAGACCUCGAUCCUUUAUGGCCUCGUACACCUCAUCCAGGGACAUCUUCAAGGAAGUGUACCGCCCAUAGUCCGGGUCCUGGUCGAUCAGGUGCACUGCUCUUUCUCUGUUUGCCCCGCUUUGAGUUGGGGGCGGUGGAAGUAAUUCUGGUCUGCUCGCUCUGCUACCAUGUUGGUGAAGACCACCAGAUGCCGACUCAUGCCUUCUCCAAGGCUCCCUAGCUGGGGAACGAGGAGGUUGCGCCCCGCUGCGCUGAUACUGUGGUGGCCUCUGAUGAGGCUGGUAAGCAGUUACCCGACCUCCUGCUCUACUACCGGAGGCCUGGUGGUCUCUCCUCCUGAUCGGCCCAUUCCCCGGUAAUGCUUUCUUCUCUUUCCUCCCCAACCCUUCCAACUGGUCUGUCUUAAUCCGUGCAGCCUUCUCCUCUUCAAUCUCGAUGUCUCUCUUAGCCUGUUCGUAUGCGGCUGCAUACGUUUGAAUAGCUGGGCUUCUCAAAUUGUACCACAACCUUCCUAUCUUCACCCCUUCUUUCAAUCCCCUUAACGCCUGAGGGUGGUUGAAGGCUCCCAAGUCGAGGACAGCCCGAUGAAACCUCUUGAUGAAUUCCCGAAGGGUUUCUUGCUCCCCCUGUUUCAUGCUUUUCAGCUCCAUCAUGUCGUCUUCCGGUGCCAUUGCCCCACUAAACUGCUCCGCGAAUUCCUGGCACAUCUGCUCGAAGGUUUUAAUGCUGCCCCGAGGAAGUUUCCUGUACCAUUCUCGUGCACGUCCCUCAAGGGAUAGUGGGAACACCCUGCACCUUUGGGAUUGAGAUAAUCCUUGUACCCCAGUUAUGUCGUUGAAGCGCUCUAUAUGCACCAGCGGAUCAGUUCUUCCCGAGUAUCUGAGGUCUGGGAGGCGGAAAUCUCUCGGAAUAACUGCCCUCAUGAUUUCUGUUGCGAGCGGCGAUUCUCCGUCCAGCAUUAUCCUCCAACCAGGGGCUCUGUUCCUUCCUUGCAUGUCGUCAAUUAUCUGCGCUAGUCUGCGCACUUCCCCCUCCAGCUGCAACGCACGACCAGGGUCACGUGCUGCAACUUGAUCCCACUCUUGCUCUACAUCAUGCAAGUGUUGCCUCAACUCUGUUUCCUCUGCAUUCACCACCCCGUCGCCCUCGUCACCAGUCUGUCUUGCUGGGGACUGCUCUCUUUCUCUAUGAAAUUCUCCCUGCAGAGGUACGUUACCUCUCUCACCACCAAAUCUCCCGGGGGUUUGACUUCUCCCCGCACUAUCGGGACCUGGUGCCACUCCACCGCCUCUCACCCUUCCCUCUUGGGUUACCCUUCGCUCGCUCCGCAGCUCAUGCAGGAUGGUUGUCAAGGUCUCCAUCUGCUUUUCCAUCCGUUCCAUCUGGUCGAACAUGACUUUUUCCCGUGCUUCGCUGACUAUCUCCCUCAGCGUCACGGAAUCGUUAAGCCUCCUAUCACCCCCUUGUGCACUACUUCUUCCUGUCUCCAUUGCUUUUCACUUGCUUCACCCCUCUUCUUGCUAUCAACAGAAGCUUUUUGCUCUGGUCCCCACAGACGGCGCCAAAAUGUUGAUGCAGGAUUCCGGUUCUUCUCGUUCUACGACCAGGAUCUCUGCUCGAUCAACUUCGUCACGACCAGGAGGUCUCCUCGCAAGACUUUUUCUCUAGAGAUUCCUGCGCACACAGACAAGUCAGAGUACGCCGGUUGUUUUCCCGGCGCAAACCCUCCGACGCUCAAGUCAGAUAUGAAGGUUCGGGGAACGCUUGCCACCGAUCUUAUGGCUUUUUCGUGGUUUUCUCUUCUUUUUAAUUCCUUUUCUAAUGAGAAAAAUGCCAACCCUUUUACCUCGUCGGCUACCUUUUUAUAGGCUUCCUCUGAAUCCCAGUUUUCCGCUCUUUUCGAGACGGUAUGGGACUCUGACUGCUGCGUUAUGGGCAAACGUGGGAUCUUGCGUGUUACGCCACCGUUCUGGGAAAAGCGCGGCAGUCGUGGUUCUGUGAGAUCUUGCGUGUUACGCCACGGUUCUGGGGAAAGCGUGGCUGUCGUGCCUAGGUUCUCGGGCUGGAGAGCAUGUCUCGUCAACUGCCGUCGACCGGGUCUCCUCGCCUCUCGACCUCUAGCCGGAAUGACCUUAUGCCUCUUACAGGAAAUUGGCCUCGCGGAUGACCUGCUCGUGGACGAGCAGGAUAUUUCUGCUCCUGUUCCCCCGCGUACCAGGCUUUUACGGGACACACCGGUUCGCAGAACUCUGCCAUCAGAUAUCUGCUCACCGUGCCUGGUCUCGUCGACGUAUUUCUCCCAAACACCUGGUAUGACUGCUUAUGCUGGAUUUUAUGAGGUGUGCUCUCCUAAGCAAGGAGAGUGGGUCUUAAUAUGGGCAAGGGUGCAGUUGGUCAGCUUAUGGGGCAGUUUGCAAAGUUACUGGGCUGCUAUGUUGUCGGAAGUGCUGGAAGCAAAGACCAGGUAUACAAACAAACAAUCCGUAUCAGUUGCUUGAUUGUUCCCAUUUUGCUUUCAAAAUAUCUAACUUACAUAAGGAAAAUUUUCACCAUCUCGUCUUUUCUUUGAUUUUGAACGCUAAGAUUGAUCUACUGAAGAAUAGGUUUGGGUUCGAUGAGGCGUUCAACUAUAAAGAAGAUCCUGAUUUGAAUGCAGCCUUGAUAAGGUUAGUAUAUCAGCAAACUACAAAUUAGAAGACAUUUUUUCCUGAAAAUCAAAUAAUGUUUCUAAUUUGACAGGUGGUUUCCUGAAGGCAUUGACAUAUACUUUGAAAACGUUGGUGGGAAAAUGCUCGAUGCGGUGCUGAUCAACAUGAAAAUCGGUGGUCGAAUUGCUGUGUGUGGGAUGAUCUCGCAGUACAACCUUGACGAACCCAAAGGCGUACACAACUUGACGCGUCUUAUUUCGAAACGGGUUCGGAUGGAAGGAUUCCUCGUAUCGGAUUACAAUAAACUCUAUCCGAAAUUUCUGGAAAUGAUCAUUCCUCACAUCAAGGGGGGAAAGAUUGUAUACAUUGAAGACACGGCUGAAGGUCUUGAGAGUGCUCGGGCAGCUCUCGUCGGUCUGUUCUCUGGCCGGAAUCUCGGGAAACAGGUGGUUGCAGUUGCUUCUGAAUGAAUGAAGGAUUUGGUUGUUUACAUCAUGCUUCUACUCGUCCAUUUAUUUAAUAAAAUGGUUACGCUCAAUGAGUGUAAUUUUUAUGAUGCUAAAUUAAAUGUGGAAUGUGGCUGCUGGUUUGAUAAUGUUAAAAGUGCUAAAAAAUUUCAUGUUAGGCGCGGUGUGCGUCUGUAUAUCAUUUUUAGGUACGGGCAUUCUAUCUUUUUUUUUUAAUUAAUACAGACACAUUCUUAAACUGUAUGGUUUAAGAGAGAGUUAAAAAAAACUUUUACCACAUGGUUUAAAAGCGUAUCCGUAUGGAAAAAAAAUGAAAGUCCAUUGGAGAAGAAUUUUAUAUAUAGUCCAGGAUAUUAAAGUGCGGGAAAACUAUAGAGUUUUAAAAACUUAAAAUUUAAAACGUUUAAACUGCACGAUUUAUGUGUUUUUCGAUGUGAUCCCACAUUUUAAAAUUGUGGAUUGGAACAUUUGUCUUUGAGGGAAAAAAAACAAUAACAACAACUUCUUUUGGAGACCGUGGGGCUCAUAUGCAGAUUCAACCCCGAGCUAUACACUGGAUCUGGUGGGCUAGGUUUGAACCCAAAACAAGCUCUAUUCAUUACACGGUUCAGCGGGUUGGUCCAUUUGACGCUUCUAACUUAACAAUUUAAUCAUAAUAAAUUGAAAAAAUAAAAUAAAACCCACGUAUCUAAAUUAUUGUAUUGAGCUAUUGGUGCAGAGAAUAAGUAUAUAUGAGAACAAAAACAACACGAUGUAGUCGCUCGUUUUGUCACUUCUAAAAUCAGGAUUUAGAGCAUCACCAAAAGGCUCUUCAAAUAAGAUUUUAUUACUCAUUUGAAGAGCCACAUCAAUAUUUAAAGCUCCAAAAGACACUCUAAUUAAGAUUCUUCAAAUAAGAAUUGAUUCUCUCUCUUCAAAUUUGGAGAGUUAAUUUCUCCCUCUUCAAUUUAUAUUUUAUUACUUUUCAUUAAAAAAAGAGAGAGAAGUGCUUUAAUUGCUAUUGACUUUUCCUUUUAAAAACUAAUUAUAUGAUUAAAAUAAUAUUAACUUAUUUCUAUUUGAAGAGUCUUUUGGAAAAUAUCAUAUUUUUUCACCCUUCUAUUUGCCACAUAGGUAAGCAAAUAGAUAUUUGAAGAGUAAAAUUUAUAGAGGCUUUUGGAGAUGCUCUUAUGAUAGAGUCAUAGUGUUAACAGUACAUCGGUGUAUAAUUAUUUGUAAUGAAAUUAAUUAAUAUGGGUUUUAUGUUGUCUUUGUCAAUAAUCAAUUAAAUUUUUCGUUUUCAUUUAAAUGUUACUGAUCGAUGAAACAUUUGACUGCGUUCAAGUUAUCUUUUAAUUUUGUGAGAUCCACAUUGUUUUUAUUUCAAAAACAUAAUUUUUCAUAUUAUUAAAAAGCUGUUGCUUGGGCCUAGAGAAAUUGGAUUAAUGAAAUACCUUAAGGGUGUGUUUGACACAUUAUAUUGUAUUAUGUUGCAUUGCAUUAUUUUAUUUGGUGUUGCACUAUACUUUACUAAUUUUUUUGCAAUUAAUUUAAAUUACAUAGUUAGCAAAUAAUAUUUAUUAGUGCUUAGAAAAAUACUAAAUAUAGAAGUCUUAAAUUUUAGAAAUUUAACAAUUUUUUUACUAUAAAUGUUAAAAAAUAUAAUAAUUCUUCAUAAAGAUGGAAGCUUACAGCCUUAAGUUUUUGGAAGCAGAGCAUUUAUUUUUUAGUAUCUUCUAAAUAUAUAAUUUUUGAAAUAAAGAUAUAAGCACAUAAUUUAAUCACAUAGUCUUUAAAUAAUAUAACAACAUAAAUAAAUAGUUAAAAUGUGCAAGAUUAGUUCAAAACUCAUCUUAGGAUGAUAUAAUAAAAGUUUAUACACACCACAAGAUAAUCACAAAAUAAUAAAGUGAUAAAAUUAUUAUAACAUAUUCACUACCAAAAUAAAUUAUAUUAAAUAAUCCAAGUGAGAGUUCUGUAGUUUAUAUAAUAAUAUUAUUUAUGUUAUUAUUAUUAAUUUUAAAUUAAUAUUAUCCAAAUUUAUUCAUACUUAAAUAUGUAUUAUUAGUUAUAUUACAUUAUUUUUACAUAUUAAUUAUUGUAAUAUAAUUAAAUAAUGUAAAAUUAUAUUAUAUUUUUAUAUACUAUUUAAGUAUUUAUUAUUAAUUAUAUUCAAUUAUAAAUUUAUUAAUAAAUUAUAGUGCAAAAAAAAAUAGAAAUAAAAAUUAAUAUUGUAUAAUAAAUAACAUUCUGCUCCCAAUUUCUGGAUUUUAAAUUCCAAAAAUAGUAUUCACGUUCGCCACAUUCAAAAAUCCAACCUGGGCUUGGAGAUUCGAUUCAUCUCAUAGAUUAAUUUUAUAAACUAAUGUUUAGUGAAAAAUUAACCUUAAUGGGUCCUCCUCUCCAGGCCUAAUUCUUAAUUUUUUUUUUAAUUUGGUCCUACUUAAGUGGCUUCUAACGUUACCGUGUCUUUAUUUUGUGUACAGUUGUUUUACUAAUUUGUCAUUUAGUGCAAAUAACAGCACUCAACUUGUAAUAUCCAGUAUCCACAAAUCAGCCACUUCGGCCAAGGCCGAAGUGGUGGGCUGCUGCCCUCACAAUGCUUGUGAGGGCAGCGGUUCUAGCCCCCACAAAAGCAUUGUGGGGGUUAAAUGUUCUUUAUAUUUCCAAAAAAAUCCUUCUCUCUUGCAAAAUGUAAGUGGAGUAUGGACAUCCCUCUCCUGUGAGGGGUUAUUUGUCUGGGCAUGUACUUCAUAGAAUUCAUUGUAAUAAUGUAAGUCCCAAUCAUGUAUAUCUGAUUGUAAAUAUCAGUGUAAUAUCUCUGCUACAAUAAGCAGUUGUUGUAAAUAUCUGUCUGAUGAUUAAUCAGUAUUCAAAAAAAAAAAAGUAUCCACAAAUCAUGAACUCAUUUUUUAGUUCUUUCAUGUGUACUAACAUUCGUACAAAUAUACAAUAAGUUCAUAAUUUAGUCCAAGUUGACGAGAAAUUCUUGACCCACCCCUAAAUAUCUGUCCGCCAAUAGCGUGAAGUGGCCGGCAUAAAUUUAAAGCAGCUGGGACAUUGUAACUCAUCCAAAGAUUGUAUAACAUCUCUUUUUUGCUUUAUCGUUUUUCUCCAGUUGCAUAGUUUCUUAUCCUACCGCUUUAAAAACAAUUAUUCCUAGAAAUUUUCAUUUAUCUAAUGAAUUUUAAGAAUUUUUUCAGCAAACAAUUUUUACUUUUUUUUUUUUUUAUCAUUGAUGGGUAAAGAAAAUAUUAAUGAAAAAUGAGGAGUUAUUGGCUGGUUCAACGGAUUAAUUGCAAUGAUAAAUACAGGGAGGAUUGGAUUAUAUGGCAAAUUUUUAUAGUAAAUGUAAUAUAUAUGCUAACACUUUUUAUUUAUGGCAAAAUAUCUUCCUCUUUUGAGACUUUUCCCUCUAAGAAAAUUGGAGGAUACGACAAUAUAUAUAUAUAUAUAUAUACUAAUAUUUAUCAUUUAUAGAAAAGUAUCUAUCCCACUUAAGAUUUGCCCCACUAGAAAAGGAAAAAAAAAUCCCUCAAAAUAAAAGAGCGAAAUGGAAACAGAACAAAAUUUGAUUUUGUGGAUCUUGUAUUGUGUGAUAAGUCCGGCAUGCAAUUUUGGGCCAGCUUACCGUGCGCAUGGGAGCAUUCACAAAGUAUCUCUCGUCACUAUCGAAAACUUUUAACAGUCAAUACAAAUGCUUCCGUUUCAUCCCAUAAACAAAUAAAAUUCACAUCUGUACACAUCUACUUUGCUUUGCUAGAUAGAGUUCCUCUGCAUUUCCCAAUUGCCUAAAGAGAAGGGGAAAAGAAAAAGAGGGCCAAAAAAUGCCUGAAAUGGUAAGGAACAAGCAAGUGAUAUUGAAGGACUAUGUGUCUGGUUUCCCAAAAGAAACAGACAUGUACAUGACCGAAAGUUCCAUAGAAUUGAAGGUGCCAAAAGGUUCAAAUGGGGUUCUUUUAAAGAACUUGUACUUGUCCUGUGAUCCGUACAUGCGACCAAGAAUGACCUACAUCGAAGGAUCUUAUGUUGAAUCCUUUAAACCUGGCUUGGUUAGUGCACUCGCUCAUGGCCACGCUUUUCAUUUCCAUGGCUUCUUGCUCUUUUGUUAUAGAAAAUUUAUUUUUGGUUGCAGUUUGGUUCGACUGCUAAAAUCUCGUGCGAUAAUUGUAUAAGAUAUCUAGAGUUUGAACUUCUUUCACAUUAGGGUUCAAGGAAGUUAACUUAAAUGAUUUUCAAAAUUUUAAAUGUGUACCAAUGAAUUUAAUUUCAUAGCUUAAACUUAUUGUUUGAUCAUACUCUAACUUUGGACAGGAAAAUUAUAUUUUUCCUUUUGUUCUUUGACUUCGUGUAUGUUGUGUGAAGUACUUGUGCUUGAAAAUGAAUUGCUGACACAGAAAUUUCUAUGAAUGCAUGCAGCCCAUAAGUGGAUAUGGGGUGGCUAAAGUUUUGGAUUCAGAGAAUCCAGAGUUCAACAAAGGUGACUUGGUUUGGGGAAUGACUGGAUGGGAAGAGUAUAGUCUCAUUACGGCUCCACACUUGUUUAAAAUUCAGCACACAGAUGUGCCUCUUUCUUACUAUACUGGAAUCCUCGGUAAACUUUUUGUUUGCGCAAUUUAUGUGAGCAAAUUGUGUCUUCUUUUUCAUAUGUAAAUGUUUUUGAUAUCUUGAUGUGAAGGUAGAAAAUUGCAUGUUUUGAGUUUUUGCAUAUUUGAUGGAAACACAGAACCGUACCUGAAUAUUUCAGAACCCCCUUUUCUUUGAAGUUUGAACACUUUUCUUGAAUGUAUCAACUUUAUUUAUGGGAUAUGUUGCCAAAUUGGCAAAUCUAUUCGUUAUAAAACUUUCCUUUGACAGUUUAAUCUAAGCAGAUGUUAAUUCUGCAAAUAGAGUGUGCCUUAGUUUAGAUUGAUAGAUUUGUCUCCUUCUGUACAGUAAAAACUUUGAGCAUUUUCGCCAUAUUCUGAUCAAUACACUCCAACUAGUUAGUUCUUGAGGCGUUUCCUGGUUUCGUGGAGUGAGCCAAGAUGUAUACGUUUGCAAAUUGGCAAUGUCUUUUGCUUGAUGUGUUGUGAGUUGUGAGUGUCAAUAGGAAAGUUUCAAAGUGCGCAGUGCUCACUUGAGCACCCAUAUUACUUGGUGACCUGUUGCCUCAGCAAACAAGACCUCUGUUUUAUGAACUCCAAAAAGUUAUUCUGUUAAAAAGAUCGAGACAGAGGCCAUACUAUAUUUAUUAUUGCUAUAAAAGUGUCAAACAAUAUUCUUUAUUUAAUAUUCUAAACGAUUGAGCCAUUUAGUUAUGAUACUCUGCUGUACUGGGGCUAAUAAUCUAAGUCGGUUCAAAGUGGUAAAUUUAUAAAUUGAUAGGUAUGCCUGGUAUGACCGCUUACGUUGGAUUUUAUGAGGUCUGCUCUCCUAAGCAUGGAGAGUGCGUCUUCAUAUCAGCAGCAUCUGGUGCAGUUGGUCAGCUUGUGGGGCAGUUUGCAAAGUUAUUGGGUUGCUAUGUCGUCGGAAGUGCUGGAAGCAAAGACAAGGUAUGUAAUCUGUGUGAACUACUUGAUUGUUUCCAUGUUACUUUCAAACAUUUAAAUUAAAAAGGAAAUUUUCAUAAUCUUGCCUUUUCUAUGAUUUUCAACACCAAGGUUGAUCUACUGAAGAACAAGUUUGGGUUCGACGAGGCAUUUAACUAUAAAGAAGAAGCUGAUUUGAAUGCAGCAUUGAAAAGGUUAGCAUCAAUAAAUGCCUUAGCUUGAUGCAGCUUGAUGAAGUAUGAUACACAUUUCUGACCAAUAUACUGCGUUCCCUGAUCUCUUACUUGAAAUAUCUUGGUUUGAGAAUCUCAUGCCAAUGCCUUUAACAUUUUGGCAGGUACUUUCCUGAAGGAAUUGAUAUAUAUUUUGAAAACGUUGGUGGAAAAUUGCUUGACGCAGUGCUACCCAACAUGAAAAUCCGUGGUCGAAUUGCUGCAUGCGGUAUGAUCUCACAGUACAAUCUUGACAAGCCUGAAGGUGUGCACAACUUGAUGUAUCUUGUUUCGAAACGGCUUCGAAUGGAAGGAUUCAUUGUUCUGGAUCACUAUCACCUCUAUCCAAAGUUUCUGGAAAUGAUCAUUCCUCACAUCAAAGAAGGGAAGCUUGUAUACGUCGAAGACAUGGCUGAAGGUCUGGAGAGUGCUCCGGCAGCUCUCAUCGGUCUAUUCUCUGGCCAGAAUGUUGGGAAACAGGUGGUUGCUGUUGCUCCUGAAUGAAGAACAAGUUAGUGUUGUGUGUUCUUUUACCCUUUGACACAAAACUUCAAUGUUAAAGAGAGAAUGCUGCUCAUACUGCUUUAUAAAAUAAUCAAAUGAGUGCAAGUUUCAUGAUAUGUGCUGAAUAAAAAUAUUGGAAAUUAAGCAGCUAGCCUAGCUCCUUCUUGUAGUUGCAGUUUGAAUGAUGCUGCUGCACAACUGCUGCCGAAAAAAUCCUUAAUAGAUGAUUAGCAAGGUUUCAAAAAUAAAAAUAAAUGUUUGUGCAAUGUGCCGAAUAUGACAGCCACAAAGAAAGAGCAUACAAAUUGACUGGUUUUAUGUCUUCUCUAGGAGAAAGCUACAAUACAAGAAAUUGUAUUGAUGCCAUGGACCAAAUUUCUUAUUUAAACUUUUAAUUUUUUUUUAUUAAAAUUACUUAUGUUAUUAUGGUUUAUAUUUUUAGAAAUUCUUUAGAAAUUAAUACAGAACUAGUAGCAAGUUGAGAAAUCUAAUGAAUGGUCGAGAUAUGAUCAUGUUUAUUGAAUUAAAUUGACAAUCAUCAUUUUGAUAAAUUAUUGUUAGGAUAUUUGAUUCAUCACAGGUGUAAGUAACUAAAUGUGCUAAAAAAAAAGUUAAUGAGUUGUGAGUGUUUGAUAUUCGUUUGUUGUAAUUCUUUUAAUAAUUGUUGUGGGAAAAAAAUUAUGGUAAAAAAAUUAUAAUUAUAAAAUAAAAAUUAAUAAUAUAUUAUAAAUAAAAUUUUUAAAUAAUAAUUUUAAUAAAAUAAUAAAUAUAUUAUGAAUUUUUCAUUAUAAAUUUUUAAGUUAAAAUAAUAAAUAUUUAUUAAAUAUUUUAAUAGCACAACUUUUAAAUUAUAACAGUACAAUGUAAAUACCAGAGGUCUUAAAAAAUAAAAUUACAGUCAAGUUUUAAAACUGUUAAUAAUGCUAUUCAUAAAGGCGCUCGUCGUGUAAACAACACAUGGGACCCAACCAAUAAAUGUUUAUGAUCCUCAACUUUCCUCCUCACCGUCCCUGCAAACAAUUCUGAUUUUCUUGUCUGAGAAAAAAACUGAGAAACAAUGGCGGCCGAACAAGAAGCUGUGAGCAAUAAGCGGGUGAUUCUAAGCAACUAUGUGACAGGUUUUCCAAAAGAAUCGGACAUGAAGAUAACAUGUGGAUCAAUAAAACUGGAGGUAGCAGACGGUUUAAAAGACACGGUGCUUUUGAAGAAUCUUUAUAUUUCUUGUGAUCCUUACAUGCGAGAGCGUAUGAGCAAGCUUGAUAGACCUUCUUUUGUUGAUUCAUUCCAUCCUGGUGAGGUUAGUUCAUCACGACCCAUCUCUUGAUUUUUUUUUUUUUUCAUUUGCUUCAAGUUUUGAUGAGUUUCUGAGGUCAUUUGUACGGUUUUGGAAUGUGAACACUAUUAGUGAUUUUGGGGCUGUAACUGUCAUUAAUGAUAUGUAGUAAUUCAAUCAGAAUUUGGAUUUAGUGCUGAUAUGAUCUCUGCUCAUUUUUUAAAAUCUUGUGUCCAGAUGCAUUUUUAUAAUCUUGUACGGUUGAGAUUGUAAGUAGAUUAAUCUACGUGCAGUAUUCUUGUCUAAUGACUACUAACCACAACCUUAUGAGACGAUCGAAACCAAGCUCAGAUCAAUAAUCCAAUUGAGAGAGGGUCCUAACUCAAGCUUAUCGUGUGUAGGAAUAUUUCGGUUAAAUUGUAAUUCUUUUAAUAAUUGUUGUGAAAAAAAAAAAGUUAUGAUAAAAAAAUUAAUAAUUAUAAAAUAAAAAUUAAUAAUAUAUAAUAAAUAAGAUUUUUAAAUAAUAAUUUUAAUAAAAAAUAAUAAAUACAUUAUCAGUUUUUCAUCGUUAAUUUUUAAGUCACAACCACAAAUAUUUACUAAACACUUUAACACCAUAAUUAACACCACAACUAUUGAAUUAUAACUGUACAAUCUAGACGCCAAGAGGCCUUAGUAUGAAAAAAAAAAAUUACAGUUAAGUUAAAAUUCAUCAUACAGAUGUGCCACUUUCAUACUAUACCGGGAUCCUCGGUAAUGAUUUUUGUUACACAAUAAGAUUUGCUUAUAGUAAUAUCAAUACAUAUGCUGCUUAAAUGCUUUCUGAUUUUUUGCCGGCCAUUGUCCAUUUUGCCAGGGAGUCUAUAAUUGAAGGAAUUUACUGAAGGAAUGCUGAUUGUUGGGAAUUUGAUUAUUCUAGGUAUGCCUGGUGUAACUGCAUACGCUGGUUUAUACGAAGUUUGCUUUCCGAAGAAAGGAGAGUAUGUCUAUGUAUCUGCAGCAUCUGGAGCUGUUGGUCAGCUUGUUGGACAGUUUGCAAAAUUAGCUCGUUGCUAUGUUGUUGGAAGUGCAGGAAGCAAAGAAAAUAUAGCACCGUGCCUUCUAGCAGAAUUUUACUUGCUUUAUGUUCCAACUAAGCAUCCAUAUUUGAUCAUGAUAAUUAGCAAGGUCAAUAAUUUUUUUUUGACUAUUUUUUCAACGUAAGGUCGAUUUGUUGAAGAACAAGUUUGAACGAUGCUUUUAACUACAAGGAAGAGCCUGAUUUGGAUGCAGCACUCAAAAGGUCAGCUGCAACAAACGUUUCAACUCUAAUAUUUCAUUUUAAUAUUACAGAGCUUUGGUUGAAGUGUGUGAGUUGAUCCCAGAAACGUAACUUCAUCAGUGUCUCUGUUUUCAAAAAACAGGACAAAUAGAAAUCUGAUUUUGCUUUAAAAUUUCCCAGAUGCUUCCCUCAAGGAAUCGACAUAUAUUUCGAAAAUGUUGGGGGAAAGAUGCUGGACGCAGUGCUACUCAACAUGAGGCUCCGGGCCGCAUUGCAGUAAGCAGUAUGAUCUCACAGUAUAACCUGGAAAAACCCGAAGGCGUUCACAACUUAGAGCAACUGAUCGGGAAACGGAUUCGCCUGGAAGGAUUUCUAGCUGGUGAUUACUAUCACCUCUAUCUGAAAUUCUUGGAACUGGUCAUUCCUCCAAUCAGAGAAGGAAAGAUGCUGUAUGUGGAAGACAUGGCCGAAGGACUCGAGAAAAUUUCUCGUAACUGCUACACAUUAAACGCGUUUCACAUUUCCACUCUCUUUCUAUAAAUAAAUACGCACAUAAAAUUUCUCACCAUCCAAAAACAAAAUCUACAUAAAAAAUGGCGGGUGAAGAAGCAGUGAGCAACAAGCAGGUGAUUCUGAGCAACUACGUGACAGGGUUUCCCAAGGAAUCAGACAUGAAGAUAAUAACAGGCUCAAUAAACCUUAAGGUGCCAGAGGGUUCAAAAGACACAAUGCUUUUGAAGAAUCUUUAUCUUUCUUGUGAUCCUUACAUGAGAGGACGUAUGAGCGAGCUUGAUAAGCCUUCGUUUGUUGCCUCAUUCGAGUCUGGCGAGGUCAGUUACUUCAAUUCCCAUCUCUUGGUUUCAUAAUCUUUUAUGGUUUUAGAAGGUGUUUUAGGGAAACAUUGUGGUUUUGGUUAGUGGGCAUGAGUCUUUGAAGAGAUUAUAAUGUGUAGGACUAUGCAUGCAAUAAUAAGCAUAGGGGAUCUUGUUAGGAGAAGAUUCUCUUAGCAAAAUAAAAACUUUUAUCUUAUCAAAACAUAUGCAGGGAACUUAGUUAUGAUGUCAUGUUAGCAUUAUCUCUGAGGAUUUGAUUUCUUGAUGGGGAAAGGGGAAUUUAAGGUUACAUUAUUCAGCAAUGUUUUUUUUUUAAAAAAUUAUGUUCAAAUUAUGCAGCCUUUAAGCGGAUAUGGAGUGUCCAAAGUGUUGGAUUCCACGCCUCCAAAUUAUAAGAAAGAUGACUUGGGUGGCGUUUGUUUUUUAACUUAAUGACUUAAAGUGACUUAACUUAAUUAAUUAAGUUAAUUAGAGAUGUUUGUUUUUAUAACUUAAUGUGACUUUUUAAAUAAUUUUGACUUAAUAAAAUAAGCCAAUUUUAUUUACUUUUUACUUAAUAGAGACAUCUGAAUUAAGUCAAGUACUUUCUAAUGUCAAAAAUAUACAUGCUUUAUAAUUUAUUUUUCAUGUCUAUCCCAAAACUCACCCAUAGACAUUUACCCCACAUAAUAAUCUCAUCAUUAUUUUUUUAGCCGUCAUGAAAUCCCUCCUCACUUUGGUAUCAACUCCUCAACUAUUGAAGAUCAAAAUUACAUGCGACAACUUCGAGAUGAAUGGCAAAUCAACUGUUUCAAGCAUCUUAUUCGUUUUUUUUCUUUUUUAUAUUAUAUACGAUAAAAUUUGAAAUUUAUGGUAUUUUAUAUAUUAAAAUUCCAAAAUCAUUAUAUAUUCACUUGAAUAUAGUUUUACUUAUAAAUGUUAAAAUAUUGUGAUAUUUAAUAUAUUAUUUAUUUGACAUUCAAAUUUAAUAAGGAUACAAAUGUAAAAGUACAUAUUUUUCAGUUUUUUAAGUUGAAAAAAGCAAACAACUUAAUAAUUAUUUUUCGAGAUUCAGACGAAAAAACAAACAUAUUAUUCAGAUUCAGACAUUCAGAUCUAUUCAGAAUUUAGACUAAUUCAGGUCUAUUCAGAUUUCAGAUAAAAAAACAAACGCCACCUUGGUCCGGGGCUUAACCAGUUGGGAGGAGUUCAGUCUCAUCCAAUCACCACAACUUCUGAUUAAAAUUCUGGAUACAAGUGUGCCUCUGCCAUAAUUAAUUGACAGGUUGCUAUGUUGUUGGAAGUGCCGGAAGCAAAGAAAAGGUGAGUUUGCACCCUUAACCCUUACGCUCUAAAUAAAAACAUAACACCUUCUGAAAGAAUUGUGCAUAGAGAAUUUUGCAUGUCACAUUAUUUGUGUUCUAACUAAUCAUGGAUAUUUGAUCAUUAGUCUAACUAAAACUGACAUAUUACCACCUAGUUGACUGGUCUUUGAGAAAUGUUAGUUGAUAUAUGCUUGAAAUCAUACUUGUUUUAUUAGAUGAUUAUAUUAACCUGCUUCUUUUUCUUUGUGCUGUUUCUCGUUUGAUUACAUUUUCAACAUUAGGUCGAUCUAUUGAAGCACAAGUUUGGGUUUGAUGAUGCCUUUAACUAUAAGGAAGAGCCUGACUUGGAUGCAGCUCUUAAUAGGUUAGCACGAAUGAAUGCUUUAACCAUUUUUCUCACUUCAUUAUUACAAUGCGCUGAUUGAAGUAAUCAGUGUUGGCUCUGAAAAUGUAACGUAUACUUCUCUGUUUUCAUAAAACAGGACAAACAGUGAUCAGUGAUCUCAUUCGUUACAUUGAUAUUUUCUACCAUUGCCAUACAUAGUAUAAACUAGGAAUUCAGUUGCUUAAUAGAUAUUCAUUUCAGAGGGAAAUUUUCACUUGCAGCUAACAGAAUCAUGUUUGUGAUGUAUGUUUAUUUGGGAAAUGAAAGGAUUUGUUGCAUUAUUUUAUUCCAAGUUUGCUGAAAUCAUAUUUGUUUUCCCAGGUGCUUUCCUGAAGUUAUCGACAUCUAUUUCGAAAAUUUUGGAGGUAAGAUGCUUGAUGCAGUGCUACUCAACAUGAGAAUUUGUGGCCGCAUCGCUGUAUGCGGAAUGAUCUCACAGUACAACUUUGAGAAGCCUGAAGGUGUACACAACUUGAUGCAAGUAGUUGGAAAACGAAUUCGCAUGGAAGGAUUUCUUGCCAGUGAUUUCUACCACCAAUAUCCAAAAUUCUUGGAACUGGUUAUGCCGGCAAUCAAAGAAGGAAAGUUAGUAUAUGUCGAGGACAUAGCUGAAGGCCUCGAGAAAGCUCCAUCAGCCCUAGUUGGGAUAUUCACAGGUCAAAAUGUUAAAAAACAACUGGUUGUAGUUGCUCGGGAAUGAUAUGAUUACUAUAUGCUUUAAAAAGUGGACUUUGCCAUGCACUUUAAAAGCUUAGUGAAGAUGCCUUUGUCUUAUUUUUGAUACAUGUUAUGUUUGUUUGAUCAAGUUGUACUCAGCUAUAAAUCAAAGAUUCAGAACAUGUGUAUGAUACUGGUUUCUAAAUCAAUGAACGCGUUGAAAUGUUAGUGUUUUCACAGGAGAAUGCAAUUUAAUUCAUCAACAAUGUCCCAACAAGACCCUCAGAGCUGUAGCUUGUAAAGUUAAUUACGAUAUUUUUUUGUAAAGUAAAUUACCAUAUUUUUUUCUUUCCAAUAUAUUGCUUAUUUCAUAGAAAGUUUACAUUAAAGUCUCAUGUUUCUUUGAAAGGUAAGCAAGUGUGAACGUUUCAAUCUAGAGCUGGAAAAUGCAUUUCCGGGCAACUUACUUGAUACAUGAAGUUUUCAUCUCUGACCUUGAUGUUUCCCAUAGUUGCAUUCAUUUCAGCUGAUCUAUUUAAUUUUGUUUUCGAAGGAGUGACACAAAAUCUCCUUUGUUAAGGGGAGAAUUUAGAGUGGCUUUGACUGUUAGCAAAUAGCCUAAUGUAAGACUUAACCAACUUCCUGCCCUGUUGUAUGCUUAUGAAUUUUGAUAGAGCUAAGAGUUUGCAGAAGCUACUGUAUUAUUUGUCGUUAGAGGCUGUAAAAAUCAAACACAUUUAAAUUUCAAUGAAAAUUUACUGGAAGUAAAUUUCCUAUGAUCCCACAGGUGACUAAUUAAUGAGAACUUGACAAUGACAAAAGAAAGUCUAUGAACUUUGCAGGCUGGCAUGCCAAUAUUGACUGGGUGGCACCAUCCACCAUCUGCAAGUGAAUAUCAUUGUUGUUUAAUCAACAAGGUGGAGUCCACUGGGACCACACCACAUCGUCAGCCUUAUCUCUAUUCCUCAAUUUUCAGUAUUCCAUACAUCAAACCAAUUUCAGUUUUGUUAUCAAUUAUAAUUUUAUUGUUGGUGACGAUUCUGAUUCCUUUCUGACAAAAGGGAACCAUGGCUGCUGCUGGAGAGAUCUUACUCAACGCCUUCUUUCAGGUACUGUUCGACAGGUUGGCUUCUCGUAAUUUGCUCAGCUUUGUGCGUCAACUCCAAGGCGGGGUUGAUUCGGAGCUCAAAAAGUGGGAGAAAAAGCUGAAGAUGAUUCGGGCUGUGCUCUGCGAUGCAGAGGAGAAGCAACUGACUGACGAGGCUGUGAAGAUGUGGCUGGACGAACUCCAAGACUUGGCUUAUGACGCUGAGGACACUCUUGAUGAGUUUGCUACUCAAGCUUUGGAAAGCAAGUUGAUGGCGCAAAAUCACGAUAGUUCUGGCCAGGUUCUCAGUUUCAUCCCGGCUGGUUUGAAUCCGAAUGCUAUUAUGUUCAAUUAUAGCAUGGGGUCC